This 92041-nucleotide long non-coding RNA is filed under the name Physcomitrium patens. Its description in RNAcentral is "long non-coding RNA (PPAT_LNC009692)". The record is from RNAcentral. Lineage: Eukaryota; Viridiplantae; Streptophyta; Bryopsida; Funariales; Funariaceae.
AGAGGGAGUCCUGGGGACGAUCGUAGGUACUCUCUCAGUGACAUUUUCUCUAUUCUGAAAGGGUUCAUUUCGUCUUUGGCCGUUUUGUUGUAUUCGGCAUAUCCAAUCUAUUGCAGCGUUUCUAUCUUCUUUCCCUAAAGCGACACAUUGCCUACAGCGACGUUUAAUACUCCACUGCCUCAUGACUUGCGGCUCUCUUUCUCAUAUAGAACUUACUCCUGUACAAUUAAUGUCACCCUGUAUUUACAGUUAGACCUCUUCCUCAUUUCAGCACCAGCAUUCGGUGGUAAACCGAACAUCGUUAAAUCGCAGAACAGUCACAGGGUUUGGUGCAAAAAAGUACAUUAUGGCUCUACUUCACCACUAGCAGGUCUUACUCGGAUAUUUCUGGCAGAACUCUACGGGCCGCGUCAUCAUGGAAUUGUCAAGUAGAAUUUCAGCUUUUGAACAGACUCUGACAACUGUGUCUGGUAUUAGACACGGCUGUCUCUAGAAAAAGAUGGCUGUGUCUGGUGGUCUAUAAUGACGAUGUUCUUAUGAGCUGCUCUUUGUAAGCAUAAUGUGCUUGAAGGUUGGCAAACCAGUUUUUUAACAGUCUAGGGAGUAACUGACACCUCGAUGUUGAUACAGGGAUUUUUGAUGAUUGUGAAAGGACAUCUCAUAUUUGCCGAUCUUCUAGCAUCUGUUGAGAGAGAGUGAGGAUGCCCAGCUUCUCGCAAAUCCAGUUCCUUAGCAGUUGUAGUUAGGCAGAGUUGCUCUCUGUUUCAGGAUUCUCAUAACUCAUUUGCCAGAGGGAAGAGAGUGAGUGACGUAGCCUCUCUCAAUCAUCUUGCCGAGUUGCUCAGUUUCUGAAAUAGUAGGGCAGACAGAGAACAGCUCCCAUCCAGUGGCAAGCAAGAGGAAUAUGACGGUUCAGGCCACGAUCUUUGCCGAUGAAGCUGCUGCUGCUUUGCAGCCUAAUGGGGAGCCUUGCCCUUUGAGUGUUAUUAAGUCUUUCCAUUUUUAUAUGCGACCUGGUCGAGACUGUCAUUGGGCUCUACCCGACCCAUGUAAGUUGGUGCUAGUUGCAUGCUUGGGAUAUCAUCAGGUGAUUUGAGCUCCCAGUCUCUAACGGUUCAGUUGCAUGGUGUAAGGAUUUGUACCCUGAGCGGGAAGCAGAUCUUGUUUAUUUAUUUUUGUUCUUCUUUCUGCUGACAUCUGAUCGCUACUUAUUGCAGGUAUGGAGGAUUUGAUGGGGUUGGUCCUUACGGGCGAGGUGAGCUAAGCGAAGUUGAUUGGUUAAUUUUGGGUUUGCAAGAAUUUGCAUAAUUAAACAUGAAAUGGAAGGUUCUCAGGAGCUCUUCUUUUACACCUUUUAGUUUGCAGUAAGCUUUUGUCUAAUUGGAAAUUUGAUGGAGGUGAUGUUUCACUAUCGGCGUAUAAAUUUUUGAUGAAUUGUUUCAUAAUUGUUUUCAGGCCCGUAGACCUAUCGUAAUGAUAGCUCUAGUUAUUUAAAUGCUUUUUAAGGGCAGGGAAGCUUCAUAUCUGGUUGAUAUGUACUCAAAUAUUUCAAAUGGAAUAAAUGUCUUGAUCAGGUCGUGGAGGUUAUAGGGAUGGACCGUAUCCGAGUAUGUACGGAAGCAGACCUCCGCCACGAAGGUUUGGUUUCACUUAUUGGUUGUUGCAAAAAGUUCAGUGGUUUUAGAAUUUUAGCAUCAUUCCAAUAGGCGCUUGAUUGUCGAUUGUUUAUUUUAUAUUAUUGAUUGAGGUUUUGAGAUUCGUUUUGUUUUAUGAAGUUUUAGCUAUUGAUUUAGAGAAUUGUACAGGGAUGGGUUGAUGUCAUACAAACAAUUCAUUGUGGAGCUUGAGGAUGAUAUUCUACCCGGAGAAGCUGAGCGCAGGUAAUAUUCAAAUUCUGAAGGUCUCAUGUCCUCCAAUUAGGUAGAAUCUAGCCUGUGAUUCUUUCAAUGCGGUUCUUUGUUUGUGGUUGUUCACAUCUGUCCCAUACAGUCGUAUAUCCUUGAAGGAAUUUUGCACUGCUCAGUUGUUUAUUACGUUAACUAUGAAUGUUUAUUUCAUUUUCGCUCUUAUUUAUUUAUGGUUAAUGAUUGUGCACAUAGAUGUUAUCCAGAGUUUGGUUAUUAUGUAGCAAUAUCUUGGGGGACUACUUGUGGUUAGUUCUAAAACUUCACUUUGAGGGUUCGGGCAGCUUGCGAUUCUUAAAUUUAAAAUGAAACGUCAAAUUUUGCAUCUGCGUCAACUCUUACACCAAGAUCCUGUGCAGAUAUGAGGAAUACAAGUCGGAAUUCAUUACUACUCAGAAAAGAGCUUUCUUUGAGCAGCACAAGGAUGAUGAUUGGUAAGAUCUUGAAAGGAUCAAAAUAUGGAUUGUUGUCAGCGACACUCGUCUCGUACAUAUUAUUCGGCGACAUUUUUACGUAGCUUUUCUUUUUUAAAUGAUCCUGCGAUUGCUGAUCUGAAUUGAAAUCGUUUUUUUUUCAGGUUGCGUGAGAAAUACGACCCAGCAAGAUUGGAGAUUGUUCUAGUAAGGUGAGAUAUAUUCGCUUGUUGUGGCGAUGCUUUGUAAAACGUUAACCUACACUUUUUAGUGUCAGCAAAUUUAUGUCUUCUGCUUCUGAUGCACGUGAGCUUUGCAUUCUGUAAAGUGAAAUGAGUACAGUGAUCCUUCGUGCCAUUGCAGGAGAAAUGAAAAUGCCAAGAUUUUGUCCAAGGAGUUGCUGGCUGAGCUUCAGGCAGGGUCUCUCGAUUUGUAAGUUCUGAUUGCUAAUUAUGUGUAACCUUGUAGGCUCUAGUUAAACGUUUACGGGAUACUUUUCAAGUUUGGCUUCGAUCUAUGACAGUGUUAUUGAAAAGUGUAUGUGGUGGGCUUCUUGCUCAGGGGUCCGAGUGUACGAUCAUCAUCAAAAGACGACUCAGGGGAUGACGCAGACGGCAAUAAUAAAAGGAGGAAGUCUUCGCAAGAACACGUGAAAGCUCAAGAAACGAUCGUAGCUCCUACAGCACAUCCUGGAUGUUCAGAUCCUCAGAGAGUUCUGAAGGAUAUAGAACUUGGACGAUCACUUAUCAAAAAGUUGGACGCUGAAAAAGGGAUUGAAGGAAACCUUUUAUCAGUGGAUCAGAACACUGAAAAUGAGAGGACUGUGGGCGGUGGCUCAGUUGGGCCUAUUGUAAUAGUUAGGUCUGGUAAUCAUGUGAAAGGAUUAGAAGGUACCGAGCUUCUGGAUGUGGUUCUCACAUAUCUGUGGCGAGUACACUCUGUGGAUUACUAUGGGAUGAUAGAGUACAAGGAACAGCCUAAACGUCUACGGCACAUAAGGGCUCCGGAGGGUAAGAGUGGUGGAGAUACCAAAAAUGGUACAGAAGGAGCGGGUUUUGCGGACUGGGAGAAAAAGUUGGAUACAACUUGGCAGACACGGCUACAAGGUGGCGAUAUAAUUGUUUCCAUGCUUGGGAGAGAGAAGCUGGAUACCACGGCUAACGAAGCAUUGGAUCCAUUUGUGCGUAAGAUACGGGAUGAGAAGUAUGGCUGGAAAUAUGGUUGCGGUGCUAAGGGAUGCACCAAAUUGUUCCAUGGCCCAGAAUUUGUACAUAAACAUUUAAAGCUGAAGCAUUCUGACCUAGUUGCUGAUGUUGUUGCUAAGGCUCGGGAGGAGCUCUACUUCCAGAACUACAUGAGGUGAGCUUAUGAUUGCUUCGAAAUUAUUUCAGCAUCGUUUGUGCCUCAAUUCUAUUUUCCUUUUUGUGUGAUUUAUUUUAAAAUCUGUGAAACGGUAUGUUAUUACAUUGUAAGGUUUUCAAUUAUCAUUUUCUUGAAUUUUUUGGUGCAAUUUUUACACCAAUUGGUAUUAAGAGUGUUUUUGGUCGCCAUAAUUUGAUUCAAACGAUGAUUUAACUCUAGGAAUAGCUUAGUUCCGAUCAGUACAAUCUGUUCCUUCUGUGAGCUUCAUUCGUUGACAGUUAUUAUCCUUUUUAUGGUUCAGUGAUCCUGAUGCUCCUGGUGCAAAUCAAGUGACCUCUUCACAGCCUGGACAGGUAUGUUGCCUUGAAGUACCAGUGAUCCUCUUGAAUGUAUAUGGAUCUGUAGAUGGCUGAUAGAAAGCCUUGUUAUUUUACGUCCCAGGAUGCACGGCUGGAUGCCAGGUUUGUUUGUUUGUCAGAAGGCACUGUUAUUGCAGUUAAAGUUGGGACUGUCAUUGACUGAACUCUUUUUUGUUACCUUGCAGAGAGAUGAUGACAGAGGUCGAAGAGGUCUUAGACCUGGGUUAUCGGGACCGAUUGGUGGGCCUGGAAACCGAGCAGGUCCUGACUGGCCGCCUUCAGACCAUCCUUCCCGGGAUGGCAGAUUCGGGCCACGAAAUGGCGAUAGAUAUGAUCAAGGGCCAGGUGCCCGAGAAGAACAACGUUUUGAACGGGGAACUCGUGAUGAAAAAGGUCGUUUUGAUCGUGGAGGGCUUGAACUUACUCCUCCGCCUCGUGACUAUCCUCUCGGUGCUGGUGGUCCUCCUUUCGAAGGAGGUGGUCCAGCUCAAGGAGGUCCUUUCGAGGGUGGACCGAUGGAGCCUCCCAUGUUUGAUCAUUUUAAUGGGCCUCCUGUGCGAGGAUUACCUGGUGGGCUUUUUGUACCAGAUAUGCCCGGUCCACCCCAAGUGCUCAUGCCUGUUCCUGGUGCUGGGUAAGAAGUGAUUUCUAAUACCAGCGUUAGGAAUAGUUUGACGUGAACUUGCUUGAGGUUUUAAUUACAUCUUUUGAAUGUGACUUUUGUAAGCCGAGGCUAUCUUGACUUGCAUCAGCUUCUUGUAAGUUUGUACCGUGCUUGCAUCAAGCUACAAUAUUUCAUCAACUCUCUCUGAAAGGGUACUUACUGCAGUUUAUAUCUGAAUCUGGAUUUUUUGUGCAGUCCUUUGGGUCCGUUUGUGCCAGCACCCCCUGAAAUAGCAAUGAGAUUUUUGAGGGAAGGUCCUGGGCCGUUUCGCAUGGGAGGCUUUGAUGCUGGUUAUCAAGAGGAAGGUAAUGGAGGGCCUAGGGGUGGCAAGAGGGGCGCUCCAGGUCCUAUGAUGGAAGGUGGUCUUUUGGAUAUACCCCCCAAUAUGAUGCCUCCUCAUGGCAUGCGUCGAGACCCUCGGGGUGUGCGCAGGUGGGUUUUUGUUGCCUAGGGUCCUUUGGGUUUUUGUGGCCAACAGUGAUUCCUUGCUGACUGAAUAGCGCUUGGUCGUCCCACUUUUUCCUUGCAUUCAUCGUCUUCUUUUCUACGAAACCUUGCGUUCUAACUGAAAUUAUUUUGCUGCUGAACAGCUAUCAUGAUCUGGAUGCUCCUGAAGAUGAAGUUAGCGUGAUUGACUACAGGAGUUUGUAGAUAACUCCUUGAGAUUUUGGUCCAGUGGUAGACCUAGACCGCUGAUUUCGAAUCAAAACUAUGCAUUGUCUUUGUAAUUUGAUGGACAUGGAAUUCAAUGUUUGGCGUAGUAGUUAUGUGCCAUUGUAGGUGUGGUUCAUUUGGAGCAUGAAAUCUAGAUCUAUUGUACUUUGUGGGGGAAUUUUCCAUAAGUUUCCAUGCCUUUGAAGCACAAGUGACCGAAGAUUUUCUGCUCCUAUGUUGUCUUCCAAUGUCCUCUUGGCUCUCGACCAUCUUGCUCAAAUUACUAUGCUAGCGCCGAAACAAGACACGUAGACACAUAACUUCUAGAAAACAUGGACGACGACUUUCUUCGUUUAUGCAAUUUAUGUCUGGGUAUGCAGAGUUCAAAAUGAAUUGGAAUAAGCAUUCUCUACAAAUAGUAGUAUAUGAACUCUUGGAUGUUCAGAUACGUUACCAAUAAACAGUUGUUUUUAUUCAUUAGCAAUGACUUUUUUAAAAAUUCGAAAGUCUUUUUUUUUAAACAAAAUCUUCUGCAAAUAGUUCAUACAGCUAGAUACCAUAAUAUUAUGGUAUCUUUCAAAUUCACGUGGUUAUACAAAAUCGAUUGGGGUUUUUUCUAGACGGUGUGAAGCCACCUCCAAGUUUUCAAAUUCAAUAAUUUAUUUUAGGGACUCCAAAAUGUUUGUAUGGUAAAAUAGCUGGCGUAAUAAAGGUUUAUAAUAGUUUAAAUCAAAUCUCUUUCCAAACUAACUGUGUGUCAGUUCUAUUGCAACCAACAGCUCUUAAAAACAACACUAAUUUAUCGAUGUUUAAAAUUUUAAAAAUUAAGAAGUGAGAAAUUAGCAAUUAUGUCAACUGUUCACCAUCCAUACUAUCCCAAGUCACGUAUGAAUAAGGAGCUUUUGAUUUUUCCACUAUUGCAAUCAUACUUGUAAUUUAUUAAGGAAAUAGACAUUUAAUACAUUAAUCAAAUACAGUUUUGAUUUAGACUGCUGUGCUGUGUUCAACGAGCUUGAAUUAAAUUGUGAUUGUAUCUUACAUCGAGAAAAGUCUAUUUCUAAAAUAAAACGAUUUAAUUCUACAAUCACAAUUGUCAAUUACCAAUGCAAGGUUUAAUAGCGUGCUUCAGUUAAAUCUAAAUUCACACUCUCGAGAAGCACAAUACCCACAUCACAAUAUUAAAAUAAAAGACCAUCACAACAGUAGGACAAAAAAGCACACAGCAUACCCGCCCCCCCGCCCCCCCAGAAAGUAAAAGUAAAAGCAACAAUUACGUCAUGUGUUCCCCACGUUCGAACUCCAGACGAGACGGUACCAAUGUCGACAUCCCAGGAAUCUGACGCAACGUCAUACGACGACGUUCAUCCAUUAUAUCACCACCAGAGACGUUCAUCCAUGGAGCCAAACCACAUGCGCGCGGUUCAACAAACAGGGAGUGGAACCGAAAGGGGGGGGGGGGCAGGGAAAGAAGUAGCCAAAAGAUCAUUCCACAUUUAAUUUCUUUCUUUUUCAAAUCCCCAGCACAGGAGAGGAGGGAGGGAGAGAGGUUUCCUGCCCGUGAGUUUCACGCAAUCCUAUAACACAAGCUUCCCCUUCCCUUCGUGGUCGCGUAAGAAAGAGCUACUAGUUGCGAUCUGCGGCGCAACUGUCGUGGUGCGAAACUUGAGAGGCGUUUUUUCCCUGUCGAGAGGUGCGUAGCGUUUCACGCCAUGGCUGAGGUACGCGUCCGAGUGAAUCGCUUCCCGUUUCUGGUGAUUUUUGCUUGCCUUGAGAGCAGUACAGUGGAUCGGGAGUAGGAGCUUGAGAUUGUGUUGGAAUGGAAUGUGAUGGAUUGGAUGCGUCGUGUUUGCUGGAUGUUGUAUUACGAAUCGCGGUAGAUCACUAGGUUCUCGUCUUUUCGCGUAUGUGCGGAUUCGCUCGGUUCUUGUGAACUUGUUUUGUCGGUUGCUAUUUGUUUGAGUUGAGCGAGUUGAAGUUUGGCUACUGAUAGUGCCAUAAUCCCGCGUCCCAAUUUCUUGUUGGAAUGCUUGCUCAUACGCUUCUUAAUUGUCUUGCGGUUAAGAAGAGCAAAUUUAGCUGUGUAACAAGGUUUCGUUAGUCGUUUCAACAUGUGUUAGGGAGACCUGCUAUAGAAUCUUCAUUUGGUCUAAGAUUUUUUUAUUAGAGUUGCACUAGUACAUGUUUUAUUUUCAUUUUCAUUGGUUUCGUGAGACUUGUUGGAUUUUUUUUUUUUGUUUAUAUUUAUGUUUUUAUAAUUACUUCAGCUGUUUUUUUUGUUACUGUUUCCAACGCUAAACCACUCAAAGCUUUUAGAAUUUUCAUUGGAUUUCUGCCUUCUGUCUUUCUGGAAUGAAUGUGAAUGAGCUUGUUAGUUGUGCAAAAGCUCUGCAGUGAUUUCCGUACUUUAUGGAAACGCUCAGAACUACACAUUUUGUGUUACCUCUAUUCGUGAAUGUCCUAACAAAGCUUGUUUAAAUGUGUAGACUACAGUUUUGAAGGUGGCCAUGAGCUGCCAGGGCUGCGUAGGUGCAGUGAAGAGAGCCAUAGGGAAGUUGGAAGGUAAGUGUAUUUGUUCUAAAGACCGAUUGAUGGGAGUGGUUUCCUUACUCUGAAAAUAUGAAAAUCUGGUGGCAAGUUUCACUUUGGACUCUUUUACAUUACUCGUCAAAUUAGGGUCGAUACUGUUGUAGAAGAUAUCGAGAAAUUCGAUAAUUGAUGGGAUGCAAUGAUGUGUUAUGUUUGGCAGGUGUGGAAAGCUACGACAUUGACAUCAAGGAGCAGAAGGUAACAGUCGUAGGUAGUGUUAAGCCAGAUGUUGUCCUAGACCGUGUUUCGAAGACUGGAAAGGCUACCUCGUUCUGGAGUGACGAGAGCGCUGCCAAAACCGACCCUGCGCCUGAAGAUGCAGUUGCAGAGCUGUAAAUCGGCGUUGUUAUUAAUGUGGGCUACAUGGUAAUUGAAUUCCUGGCAAUUAUCUGAAAUUACUGAAUGCUUUUUCCACGCACAUAUUCCAUAUGUGUUGAAUUUUCCUUGAUAUUCCGUUAUGACAACUACCACAAAACUUUUUCGACGAUAAUGUAGCUAAAUACAAUCAGCAUACACAUGAUAAUAAACCGACUGUGAAAACUUCUCUCCACGGUUACCUUCAUAUUGAACAAUGUGACAAUAUACAUAACACUAAUGCAGUAACAUUUCUAUCAUAGUUACAACAAUUUUCUAACAAGAAUUUCUGGAAUAGUGUAUGACAGUGUACAAUUAUUGUUAAAUAAAUGGUUAACCACAGUCAUGACACAUUUGUGGAAAAUUUUCUAUACCCCAUUUCUGACUUUUAGCAAGACAAAUUUUCUUCCAAAAUUAUACAUUUCUAUUUCUGUGCCUUUUCACCACAACCAUUUCUGAUCAAGACGAGGGAAAGAGCAUACACAAAGCAACCAUGCAAAACGCCAGUGACACAGUUUACAACCUUACAUUACUAUCCACAUCAAACUGGUUGCGAAAUCGUUCAACAAAAUCGGCACCUACAUAUACGCACACUAACCAAUCACUGAUCAAUGCAUAAACCAUGGAACUUUUCAGUUACAACUACCCCAUCGUUCGUCUACCCGGGGCUUGAACUUGAGAUUCAAGGAUUCAUCCAACCCCUUUGCGUCUAUUUGUGCCUGAUAAUAAGGGGAAAAAGGAAAAGAAAAGAAAAAAAAGGAACCCAAUAACCUAACUUCAUUCCUUGCCCCUGAUUGCCAGCAUGAUCUUCUUCCUGGGUCCCUGAUAAAAGAAGCGGAAAAAUGAAACCAGAGUCAGUAAAGACGCGGUUCUUUGAAUUCAGAACUGCUACACCAAAUGUUUCCUCGCUCAAGUUUCACCACACUUUAGCAUAAGAAAACGAUGUAUAGGGAUUCAGCUUACCAUUGGGAUACCAAGUUCCUUAAGAUCGUUGUCACUCAUGAAUCGCAGGGCAGCCAUAUCAAUCUGAAAGCGGCAACAAAACCAGGUUCGAGAUAUAAAUCAGCAAAGCUCUAUACUCAAAUACUCAGGGUUAUCUUCAGCUAUACAACUAUAUGCUAGGGAAGAUUGGAAACAAGUAGAAAAAACUAAGAAUGGCUGUUACCUCCUCAGUUUGAAAAGUGAUCAAAUAUUUCUCGAGUCCCAAUGAAUGGAGAAGAGUUCGAACGGUCUGCUCUGCAGCCUAUCACAAGGAGCAAAAUAAAUUAGCACGACGCUCAUCAACAUGUACAAGUAAACACCCAAACUUGCUUACAAGCUGCAUGAACGAUUCAACCUAAAAGUUCCACAAUGGAAGAGUUUUGAUUUCAAGGGAAGCAAUUAAGGGCGUGGAGUUGGCUAAAAAACUUUGCUCGGCAAGCAGUUAAAAAGUAACCGUCGCUCAAGGUUUACACAAAUGGAAUGCUGAAAAACGAUCAGAACAGAGAAGGAAUUGGAUAGAGCACCAUUGGUAUAUCCGAAGGCCUCUUGACUGAAGCAGCUGGCCUGGCUGAGACAGGAGCAGGGGCAGUCACAGAGGCCACACCUUGUGUAACAGUGGAGCUGUUAUAAACUACAGACGCGACUCGCCGCUGCAGUUUGGGAGCUUCGUGGGCUCGUGAAGUUUGUUGGCUCUGAUCAGCAAGGCCUGACAACUUGUCCCGCAAGUCCACAACAUUUCCAGCUCUUGGUUGGUUAACAGUUCUUGAACCCGAUCUUUGCAACUUUGACCGCAGAUCCUGUCCGCCUAUAUGAGCAGCUGGGGUCAAGGAUGAAACUUGAGUUCUGAAACUUCGAUCUACUCUGUGAACCAAGACCUGUUACAAUAGCAUACACAGAAUAACGAGAUCGCGUCUGACAAAGGCGACGAUACUACAUCGCGCAACGAAUUCCACACCCUCAAAAAUGGAAGAACUAAAAAGGAUACGUUCUCGAGGACCAUCGUCACGGUCAUCAAAGUACAUAUCAUGUUUCCAUUGUCCCUCAACGUCUCUUAGCCUGCAUACAUUCACCCAAGACCCUGGUUAUAGAUAUCAAUCGAGUUCAGGAAGAGAUAGCCAUCCAAAACUUGUCAGGUCCCUCUCAGACUUGCAGAAUACUGAACUUCAGUCUCUAAGGGUUCCUCAAAAAACACGUUAUGGGAUAAUAUAUUUUAAUGUCUACAUACAAUGUAGCAAAAACUUACCUUUUGGCAGUUGACUGUGGUCCAGCAAAGGCCGGCUCGUUUAAGCCUCCCAAUCGAUCCCUAAUUGAUCGUUUCCUAUUCCCUACCCCAUUCGAGCGAUCGGCGUACAUCUCUGCGGGGGCUGUAACGCGCCUCUCGACCUGCAUACGAUAGUUUAUGAUACACACAUUAAAAACGCUUUACUGCACCUCCUUGGACCAUUACUUUGUGGACAUCGGAGCUAUAACCUAUCCAACUGGAUAGAUGACUCUCCAGGCAACUGAUUUGGAGGAACUAACUACAGGUUCAUUACCGCUGUCGCCACUCGUUGACACUGAUCAACAAUCUGGAACGACAAAACCAUGCUUACGCUUUUCCUUCUACAAUUCACCAUUCUGAAUAUUGGGUUCCAUCUGAAUCGCACAUCUCUACUUCGAAUCUAACUAUAAGGUUGAAAAGCGCAUAUUGAGACUUCUAUCCUCAAUAAACGACAAACAAACAAGCACAGAGAAGAAAACACAAAAUGACCGCGAAUCUGUAUAACCACAUAGCUUUGAAAGAAAAACAGAAAGACGCAUUACCCACAUCCGCGAAUUUCGUAACAACCAAUGGAUGCUACGCCCCAUACUUAAGGAACACCACUCAAAAAAAAGAAAAACGGAUACAAAAAAGCUAGGAAAAAGACACACGCGAACGAACGCCGCCAGAAUACACUCUGAAUACAGGCCUCAACACUAAGACCCGUUUGCUCCCAUACCCAUAAUCCAAUUCUUGCAAUCUUAUUCAUCGCGAGAAAGCUAGGGAACAAAACGCAUACAAAAGCUUACCCGCUUCCCGCCGCGCCCCAAGGUGACAGUCACUCGUGGAUGAGACAUCAAAUACGACCCCGCGCACGCCUCUGCCCUCCCUCUUCACGCCGGGUCCUACACCAACUCCAACCUGCACAAAACCUCUUCGACUUCGUCACAACACAAACAAACCCUACCACAAUUUCACCGUACAUCCCCGACGUCUCCACUCGCCAUAAGAAGCCGAUACCCACAUCAAUACCCAAAGACCAAAUACCCCCCUCCCCCAACAAAUAAAAAAUAAAAAAAAUAAAAAACAUAGACAACAUCAUUUACCUCAUCACUAAAACAACCCAAAUCAAUUCACGCCAUAGCAACCCCGGUGUCGGUAACAAAAGCUCUCUCUUUCUCUCUCUCUCCCUCUCCGCCUUCGCAAUGGAUCGGUGACGUUCUUGAGAAAAUGCUUGUAACCCUAGUCUCUCUCUCUCUCUCACGUUGUCUCCCUCCCCCCUCCCUUGUGCGCUCAAAGCUCGAAGGCCAGCAAAACGCAAACCCUAAUACAGUAGGGUCAUGAGCACAGUGAAGAGUGAGAGCGGAUUGUUUAGUUGGGGUGGUGCUUCAGUGAUGCACCACAGCUGCGAUGCCCCCUCCCUUCCCUGAUCGUAGCUUGGGCGUAGUAGCUUAGCUUGGCUCGAUGGUUGCAAACGGAGUCGAAGAAUCCCAGCACCAAAAGAGGUCCAGAGACAGACGAUGCGGGGUGAAGGCUUCUGGCACCGUCGUCGCCAACGACCGCCUCUUCUGUCACCGCCCCGUCAACGUCGUCCGCCACAAUAAACUUCCUUCGUCAUGGUUUCGUCAACGUCGUUCGGCACGAUAAAAUUUCUUCGUUAUAUUCCGUCAACGUGACUCAGAACGAUAAACUUACUUCGUUGUGGUUUCGUCAACGUCUUCGGGUGCCCGUCGUUCGUCCUCGUCCGCGCUGCGUGGUCCUUGGCUCCAUUUCAUUUGCCACGUAGAUUCGUUGGGAACUUUUCACACUGGAAUUUGUUGCUGCCCGUUCUGUGCUCUGGGUCCUCGUUCUUUUCUCUACUUUAAAGCUUUGGAUGAACGGAUUUUUGAUGUCCUUUAAAUGGACGUAUCUCGAAUCAUGCUUGAUUUGGUUGAAUUAUUGUUUUCAUUAUUCCAAGCAUUCAAUUACACAUGUAAUAAAAUACUUUUUCCUUUUAAUUUGUCAAGCUUCCUGACCUUUUACUGAGUAUUUGAUAUAUCAAAUGUUGAGCUUCAAAACAAGAGAAAAUAUAUAUAUAUAUAUAUAUAUAUAUAUAUUGUAGAGAUGCAUGCACAACACUAACCUUUAUUGACAUUAAUCAAAAUUUGGAAAAUUUUAAGAUAAAUAUUUAAAUGUAUAAUUGUUGAAAGGUUCAUAACAAGUAUGCAUUAUAUGCAUAUGUAUGUGUAUGUUUUGUGUAUAUCCCUUAUUUUCUUUUUCUUUUUUUCAGGUGAUACUCCAACUUCAUAUUUCAAAAUUUAAUGGAAGGAAAAUUCAAAUUGUAACAAAAAAAAACUUAUAUUGUACAUAUGAAUCAUGGUGAUGGUUUUUAGAAAACCAUGACUUAGAAAAACAUGUUUCAAAAAAUAGAAUUGUAAUCAAAUUUUGAUUUUUUUAAAACAAUAAUAAGUAUAUAUAUAUAUAUAUAUAUAUAACAAAACAAAACAAAAACAAAAACAAACAAACAACAAUGGAAGUAUCAACAACAAAAUCAAAGUGCACCACAAGUUUAUAUUGUGGAAAUCUUUGAAACAGUUGUGAAAAAGCCCACCUUGUUAUUCAACAUGGCAAGUUUAUAUGAUAUUGGCGUUUCUGCUGUGAUCAAUUGUACCAUCAUGUCAUUGCUUUUUAUUUUUUUCCUUGUUUUCAACAUUCAACCAUUAAAUGAUCGUGUCUAUCAUCCAAAGUUGUAUAUGAAAGACGCUCAAAGAAAAGGGAGCCCAUCAAGCAGAUCAAGUCAUCCAAAGAUGGAUCAAUAUUUUGAAACCAAAUGUCUACCAUACCUUCAAUCUUUUGCGUGGAUUGUAGAAGCUUUCCGCAUGUCUGAACAUCAAAUCAUUGAUCACGCAGGAUUAGAUGCUGCUAUUUUUUUACGUAACAUCCAAGUUGGGUAAAUUCAUUACUUGCAUGUACCAAAUACUUUAGUUCUCAAGUUAAACAAAUUGCAUGAUUUUUUAGGUUAUAUACAUACUUCACAUAUAGUUAUUGAGAGCAUUAAUGUUAGGAACCUAUGUCUUUAUUUUUAUUCUUAUUUUUUUAAAUUAUUUUAAAAUAUGAAUUGGAGAAUACCACCUUUGAAUUUUUUUUGAAUUAGGAAAAAUUAAUUAGUAAUAAUUUUAUUGAUUUUAAAAAAAUAAGUAUAAAAUUUGAUUGAAGCCUAUCUAAUUAGAGUACAAAAACAACAAUUAUGCUAGAUUCAAUCCAGAACCAAAACCCAGAAAUAAAAAUUAUGCUACAAACCUAUUUAUUAAACCCAUUUCUCAAAACAUACAAAAAUAAAUAUUGGAUUGAUUUUUCAGACUAAAUUGAAAUUAAAUUUAAAUAUAUGCAUACUUUUAAAUUCAGAUUAAAAAUAUUUAUUCCUUUAAUGACUGUGGGGCUAUCAACUAUUGUGACAAUCAACGUUGGGGGUGGUUAUUUAAAGAGUUUGGAUCAUGGAAAAGUUGCAAACAUCAACAACACACUUAAUUCAUCACCCACAAAUUCAUUAUUAUUCACUGAUAUUGAUAAACUUUCUAUAGCAAAUGUGCCAAGUGGAUCCAGUAGGUAAGUUUCAUUUUAUGAACAUAAUUAUAUUUGUAACCUGAAAUAAUUUAAUAUAUAGAAACUCAGCUUUGGUUAUGCUUUCCAAAUUAAUAUUAUGAGAGCAAAAUUACUAGGUUGUAUUGUUAUGAAUUUUCAAGAAAUGUAUGAAAUUUGAUAAUUUGAGGAUGUUAUUUAUCUCAAAUAAGAUUUACAAACAUAUAUAUAAGCUAAAUAAAAUCCUCAAAUAUAUAUGUGCACACACACACACACACAUAUAUAUAUAUAUAUAUAUAUAUAUAAUCUAUAUAUAUAUAUAUAUAUAUAUAUACAUAUAUAUAUUAUAUAUAUUAGGAAUAAUUGACUCACAAUGAAAGUAUUUUGUAGAUUGUGGACACAUCUUGUCAUGGCUUAUGUAUUCACAGCUUGGACUUGUGUGGUUCUGUAUAAUGAGUAUAAAACAAUAUCACUUAUGAGAUUGGAAUUUCUACGCAGUGCUCGUCGACAAGCAAAUCAGUUCACGGUGACAAAUUUAACAACAUUUAAAUCUACCAGCUUUUUACCAGCAUUUUAUUUUGAUGAUGCAUAUUCUUGAAAAAAAUAGCAUAUUUUAUUUUGUAAUAAAAUCAUAAAUAACAUCACUUGGAUUGAAAAUGAUAAUGAAAAUUAAAUUAAUUUGAUUAUGAAAGUAGGAAGAUCAUUGUUUUUUUCUACAAGUUUUAAAAUACAAAUUAACAGAAGUCUACUAUAAUCACAUAUGAACAAAUGUAGGUACUUGUUCAUCAAGUCCCUAAAUCAACUGUAGAAUCUAUAAAUAUUCAAGUCCAAAAAUACUUCCGAGCAAAUCAUCCUGAUUUUUAUCUUUCUCACCAGGUGCAUAUAUAUAGAUAUAGAUAUACACAUGUAUAUACACAACUAUACUUAUUCUCUUUUAUUUUGUAUUAAUUUCAACCUUUGAUUCAUGUUUAAUAAUUUUAGUUUAUUGUAUGCAUGAUAGGCAGCUAGUCUACAAUGCAAACCGUUUGGCUAAUAUUGUCAAAAGACGAAAAAACAAAGAAAACUGGUUAUCAUAUUGGCAUUUGAGAUUUAAGGCAUCAAAUGAGAGACCAAUGACAAGGGUGCAACACCUCAAAAAAAUGAUGUUGUCAUUAUUUUUAAUACUUUAUAAAAAAAAAAUAAUAAUAAAAAAUAAUAAUAAUAAAAAAAAAAAAAACAACAACAACAAAAACAAAAACAAUUAUAUUUCAAUUUUCAUUUCCGUUUUAUUUAUUAUUUUAUUAUUUUAAACUCAUUAAAAAAAUUCAGAACUUAUGUGUUACAUAAUACAUAUCAUGCAUUCAUUUUAAAAUAAUUUCUAUUUGAUAUUUAUCAAUGUAUGGGUAGUUGAUCUCCCAUCUUUUAAUGCCGUGUGUUUACAGCGUUAUGGAUGUGGAAUGUGUGGAACAAUGGUUGAUGCCAUAAAUCUAUACACCACCAAGAUUGAAAAAUUAAACAAAAAGGUAUCAAGCCAGCACCCAAUAAAUUGAAGCCCAUGCCAUACAUUCAGUCAAAAUGCUAGCAAAAACCAAACAAAACAACCCAAAACUUCAAAUGAAUCAAACAUGAAAUCAUACCAAAGAGCCAAAAAACUAAAACAACUAUUAGAUGAAAUAUAGAGCAAAUAUAUUUAAUCAAUUAGUUUACUUUUAAAUGUAACAAUAGGCAGAACUUGAAAGAGUGGCGGUUCUUCAAGACGCAUCAAGCACCAUGCCAUCCGCAUUUGUGUCAUUCAAGACUCGAUGGGGAGCGGCAGUUUGUGCGCAAACCCAACAAAGCUUUGAUCCCACCAAGUGGAUCACAGCGUGGGCUCCCGAGCCCCGUGACAUCUAUUGGCCAAACUUGGCUAUUCCGUACAUCAAGUUGGCUUGCCGAAGGGUGUGUGUGGGCAUUUGUUUGUUUGUGUUGGUGUUUUGUUUCAUGAUUCCAAUCACAAUUGUGCAAUCAUUUGCAAGCAUUCAAGGGCUUCGGACUCAAUUUCCUCAACUUGAGAAAGUACUCAAAAUGUAUAUAUUACCAACCUAUCUUGAUCAUGUGCAUAUGUAAUACAUGUGUAUAUGAAAUCAUUUAUGUUUUACAACUUGUUCUAAAAAUGAAAUACUGGGGGAGGUUGAUGGAUCUUUUAGAACGUAUUUUGCAUCAUUUGUUCAAGGAUAUUUACCCGGAGUCAUUUUGAAGUUUUUUAUGAAGUUGGUGCCAUAUAUGGUUCGAGGUUUAACAAUCUUUGAAGGCCAUUCUUCCUUUUCUAGACUUGAUCAGCAAGGAGCAAUGAAAUAUUAUUAUUUCAUGGUGGUUAAUGUGUUUUUUGGAAGCAUGCUUACAGGGUCUGCAUUGGAACAACUUCAAUCCUUCUUAAAUUCAUCAUCUGUUGUUCAGUGAGUUUUCAUUUACUUUUUUUUUUUUUUCUCUUCUUUUUAUUAAGAAACUACAUUGAAAAAAUAAAAUAAAAUAAAAAUAAAAAUAAAAUAAAAAUACCACAUCAUCAAAUUCAACCAUAUGAUUACUCUGCAUAACAUUCUUAAUACAAAAAAAAAAAAAAUAAUAAAAAAAAAUAGCAAUCUAGAAAAUUUCAAAUUUUCAUCUAUGAAUAUAUAUAUAUAUAUAUAUAUAUGUUACUUUUCUUAAACUCCAACAUUUUGAAGAAAUUUAAAAAGACAAGAUAGACAAAGGUGAGGAGACACUCAAAUCUUUAAACAAAAUACUUUGUGGGCAUUGAAUUGAAUAGGUUUUUGAAAACUCUCGCAUAUACGAUUCCCAUGAAAGCAACAUUUUUCAUAACGUUUAUCAUGGUGGAUGGUUGGGCUGGGGCCGCAUCAGAAAUUUUGCGUCCGUGGGGUUUGUUGUCCUACCACAUACAGAAUGCAUUUUUUGUUCAUACUGAGAUGGACAAGGUUCGGGCUAUGGAUCCAGGUCCUAUUAUAUAUUACGUCAACUUGGCACAACUCCAACUCUAUUUUCUCAUGGGAUUAGUAUAUUCAGUUAUAACUCCCAUUAUAUUACCGUUUGUUGUUGUAACAUUUGCCAUAAAUUAUGUUGUUUACCGGCAUCAGGUAUACUCCACAAUUCUAUUACAAUUGUCCCACCAUUGCUUGUUUGUUUUGUUUUUUUGUUUUUUGUGUGUGUUUAAAACUAUUGUAUCUUUUGUAAUAAUGAAAUAAUAAUUAUCAUUGUAUAUUAUAACACAACACAUUCUAAAGUUCCAACAUGAUGAAGUCUCUAUUGAUAAAUGUUUUGUUUCUUAAGAAGUAAUAAAGUGAUUAGUUUUGAUAUUCAAUUUUUAAAAAUUCAAACUUGUUAAGUGGCCAUAUUUACAAUUUAAUAAAUUGGUGUUUUCUUAAUUAGUAUUGUAUGGUAUAAAGCAUUGUGUCAAACAUUAUACUUAGGUGAUCCAUGUUUAUGAGGCCGCCUAUGAAAGUGCGGGGUCAUUUUGGCCUUUUGUUCAUGGACGAAUCAUAGUUGCACUUUACAUUGAACAAUUAAUGUUGAUUGGAUUAUUUCUUGUUCAAGGACCCAUUACAUUUAAAACUAUACAUGUCAGUGAUGACGAUUCACUAAAAGAAAAGGCUUUGAAAUUUUGCCAACAAGCAAUGAGUUCCACACCUUUUGUUGUUGCUUUGCCAAUAUUUACAUAUAUUUUUCACCGAUAUUGUAAAACCCGAUUUGAACCAUGCUUCCUAAAAUUCCCUUUGGAGGUAAAUAUCAUGCUAUUACAUAAAUAUUCAUUUGAAGCUUAUAUUGAACAUAUGAAGAAUGUGUGUAGAUAUAUAUAUAUAUAUAUAUAUAUAUACACAUUCAUACACAAAACAUAUGAUUCUAAAUUGUGCAGCAUGCAAGUAAAAAAGACAUGGAUGAUAGAACUAGAGAUCCCAACUUCAACAUGUCAGAAUUUAUCCAAAAUUCCUACAAACAUCCAGAUUUUUUGGAUGAAAGGGUUCUACAAGAGAUUAGAAAAGAAACUCAACUGCCCACAAAAAUUCAGACCAAACCCCAAAAACACAAAAAUGAGAUGUUGGACAACACAGUUGACAUUCCCAACAUGGUAGAGGGCACGUUUGUUUGCAACAACAAAUUCAUCUCUUGAAUAAAUUUAACUAAAAAUAAUGUGUAAUUAUUUCCUUGAUAUGAUAAAAAUAUUGAAUGUUUAAAAUUACUAAGUCCAUAGUAUUUGUCACUUCAUGCAAAUAGGCAUGUAGUGUAUUUUUACUUCUAUCCAAACAUAUCACGGCAAUGAAUGUUUAAUUUGAGGUUUUGUUCCACUCAUGAUAAAAAAAACUUAAUAACCUACAAAAUAAAUUGGAAAAUUAGUAUGUCUAGGCUUAUAUUUCAAUUUUAUUAUGCUGUUAGUAAUAUAAAAGUGGAGUAUAAAUUGGUGUUUUGUUGUAUGAUUUUUGCACCAAAAUUGACAUAUUUAUUACUCAUUAUAUAUUUAAAUUCCAUCCUCAUCUCUUGAUGAUUACGUUGUAUCCACAAGCAUAAAUGAAGGCAUAUACAUUAUUAUGCACUGACAUUGCUGUUGUAAAUAUCAAAAUUUGAUUUUACAACUAAAUUUGAUAAUUUAUAAUUUCUAAACGCAUUUUAUUUAUUACAAACUUUAUUUUUGACAGUAAAAACAGAUAUGUAUAAAUCACAAUUCAAAUUAUAACUAGAUCAACUUAAAUUUUUGUUAUAUUAGAGAACAUAUAUGUAUAUAUAUAUAUUUGAAAACUAUAAAGUAAUCUUGUUAAAACACUCAGUAAAAAACACAAAUAAUUAAAUAAAUAAUAAAGUAAGAAAGAAAUUAAUCAGGCUAUCAAUUAACAUCUAAUCAACUAUUAUUCUUAAUGCUUGUUGCAACAAAUGACAAAAUAUUGAAUAUUUCAAAAUCCUGAUUAAAUAGGAAGAUGAUGCAUCUUUUGUGCAAAUGAAAAACAUGGAUGUUUCACUUUCAAUAUUUGAAAAUAAAUCAGAAAAUCUGAGUACAUUUGAUUCAAGAACUACAGUUUCCUCAAGUAAAGACAUUCUGUCAAAUGUUGAUCCAAAUAUAGAUAAUAUAUUAAUACAAAGUAGUAAUUCUUCUAAACAUAUUGUAAUUAUUAAAUAAAUGAAAAAAAAAAUCAAGUAUCACAUGAAGAAUUUGAAAUUAUUGUAGAUAAUGCAAGUGCUUCCACGUCAUUGCAAAUAGAAGAACUAAACUCAACAAUUCAAAACAUAGUUCAAGAAAUAUAUGAACCAAAUGAAAUAAUACAACCAAAUACACAACCAAAUGAAAUAAUACAAAGUUAUCAACCAAUACCAAGAAUAACAAGAGUUUUACCUAAUUAUGAAAAGCCUUUGAAAAGAAAAAUAUGAAAGCAAUAAAAUAAUCAAAUAAAUAAACGUGGUCAGCAUGCACAGUUCGUUUAGUUUCAUUUGACUUUCAACUAUAUUCAACGGUUAUUUAUAUGUAAAUAGAAUAGUAUGGAACAAGUGAUUCUUUGUAAAUAUGUAUAUAACUUAAUACAUAUUUAUUAAAUAUCUGUUUUCAUUUUUAACAUUCUUUCUCGUUUUUGAACGUAUAAUGUAGGCAUUUUUGUUCUUUAAGGUUAUUUUUAAAUGUUAUCACUUUCUUAAGGUUAAAAUAUAUAUAUAUAUAUAUAUAUAUAUAUAUAUAUAUUAUGAUUAUAUGUGUUUUUAAAGAAGUGUACCUUUUUUAACUCCAAACUCUCAACGUCAAACAGACAUUAUUAAUAUUUAUAAAUACCUUAUUUAAUUUUCUUUUAAAAUAAAUAUAUACACAUUUCCAAGUUUAAAAGUUGAUUUUUUAUUUUUAUUUUUAUCAUUGGCAUUAAUAACUAUAAUGCAUUCAAUCGUUUUUAUUAAAAUUUAAAAUAAGCAUUAUUUUUUUCUAUCUACUUAUUCGAAUGUUUUUAGGCUAAAAAAGAAAGCAAACAAUUUUCACUGUUGUGCAUAACAAUGAAAAAUAUGUAUGUUUUUGAGUUUGUAUAUGUAUGUAUAUGUAUAUGUAUAUAUAUAUAUAUAUACAUAUAUAUGCAUUCAUACACCAAAGUAGCCAAUUCCAACUGUUGUAUUUUUUUAUAUAGUUUUAAUUUUAUUUACUUUUAGACAUAAAAAAAAUAUAUAUAUAUAUAUAUAUAUAUAUACAAGUAUAUAUAUGAUUUUAGUGUUUUUCUAUCUUAUUUCCAUUCAAAAGUUCAAAUGGUACCUAAAACCAUUAAAGUUAUUAUUAUGACGAUUUUCUUUUUUAUAUCUUUAUUACUUGUAACUCCACUCAUUCUAUGUUAUAAUCUAUAUCAGAACUUGCAAUUUUGUUGUUGAAUAAUUUCAAAGAAAAAAAGAAAACAACUUGAAGAAAUUUUCAAAAUUUUAAAGAAAUUUAGCAACUAUGUGCAUUAUAAGCCACAGAAAAUAAGAUUUUUUUUUGUUGUUGAACAAAAAUAUCUGAAAACAAAUAUAGAGCUCAACUUAGUCUUCAAAGUGAUAAUGUAAUUAGCUAUACAAAAUUUCAUUCUCAUAACAAAUUUUAAAGAUUAUCCAAGUAAUAUAGAAGUAAUUUGAAAUAAUAAAUAAAUAAAUAAAUAAAUAAAUAACAAUGGAGAUCUUUCUCAAAUCAUAACAUUAUGUCUGUGAAACAAUUCAACUUUGGAUAAGUGAAUUGAGAAAUACCUUAGUAAAUAAACAAUCUCAUAAAAUAUUAACUAUUACAUUUCAUAAUAUAUUUUGGUAAAUUAUAACCUACUAAUAAUCCAAAUCCAUACACAAUAUCUACAAAUAAAACUACUUUCAUAUCAAUUUACAUCAACAUACACUCUACCAUAUGAACUCGCAAUCUAUGCACUAAUACACACCUUAACUUCCACACCCACACAUAUCACACAUCCAUGAUAUGAAAUCACAACAAUGCAAAAUUCAUAUUAAAUGUUCUAAUAAGCUUUUAUUUACCAUAUACAACUCAAAAUAAUCAACCAUAUUUAUUUAUUUAUUUUCUUCUACUAUAGUGGAUGAUAUUGUCAUUCACAUCAAUAUUGACCUUUGUUCCAAUGAUCACUCAAACACAUGUCACGACCACGUUUAAUUUCUAUUCAUAGUGGGUCACAUGUAAUUCCUUUCACUUUGUAGUGCUUUAAUUGUAUUUUAAAAGACUUUAUUACACUAUCAAAUUGUUAUGAUAAUAUAUCAACAUUGCCAACGAUAUAGUACCAGAUAUCUUUUUAGGGUUUUGGGAGCCCAUGUGGUGCUUUCGCACGAGCCUUUAGAUUUUUAUGCUUGGCUGCAGUAGACUUUGUCGCAAAAUCUUCUUCAUGGCGUCGUUGCGUUACUGGGUGUGUGUGCGUGGGUCUUGCAGACGCUCAAUUAUCGGUACGCGCACCGUGUGUGAUUUCUAAUAAUAUCCUCGACGGUGCGAUAGAAGUGUGUACAAAAGCAAUUCGCGGUGAGAUCGCUACGAGGGAAGAACCUGAAGCUGUCGUGAAGAAGAAGUGAGAUAGAAUUGCCGUGUUUUUGAUCGUUUGCAGAGUUUCCAGCUUGAUUCGUGCGGUGGCGGGUGUGGAGGGCGGUGUUGGUGAGUGAAGGGAGGACCGAUCGAUCUCGUCAUGGGUGAUAAUCUCCAAGCUUCGAACUCAUCGGAAGGCGGGCUCGACCAGCUCCCUUUGAAUUGCUUAGGUACCAUCCUCUCGUUCUUGACUCCUCGAGAGGUUGAGAUAGCGGCGUACGUGUGCCGCUCCUUUCGUGAGGCUUCUAAAUGGAACUUUGUUUGGGAGAAGAUGCUGCCUCCAAGGUACGAGCAAUUGGCGGCACUUGAUCCGGCGUUUGAUGCGACAAGAUUUAGAGACCUGAGAGAAUUCUACUUCCAUCUCUGCCAAUUCUCGUUAUUUGCAAACAGCACGAAGGUGUGCCGCAUUUCCUUUUGUUGCUUGCUUUCCAGGUCUUGGAGCUAUUUUUUUCCCCCCCCGCUUCUAAACCUGGUCGUAAUCGUUUACCUCCUAAUCCCGUCUCUUUCCCGUGACUAGGGUUUCUGGUUAGACCGCAAUACCGGAGGGGCAUGCUUGGGUAUUGGAGCAAGGGGGCUUGACAUCACCUGGGGCAAUGAUUUACGUUAUUGGAAACUUACAACUAAAGAAGAUUCCUUGUCAGUGCAUCCUACCUUCAAGCUACCACACCAUGGAAGUGAUUCUUUGUGUAGAUGUGAGGUUACUUAAUGCAACAGCCGAGUGUAGAGUUCGAAUAACGACGUAUAUUUUUAGCAGCUUGCUUAUCCAAGCUUAGCAUGCACUGGAACAUUCAUUCAGUGCUUUGCGCUUCAUUUGCAGUCGGCAUUUGUAGUUUUUUGCUUCUCAUGUUUGCUUCUCAUGUUUGCUUCUCUAUUGGAAUGAUUGAAGCAGGUUUCCAGAGGUCGCACAAUUGGAAUCUGUGUGCUGGUUCGAAGUGAAAGGGGAAAUUCAGUGUUCACUUCCGCCGGGGGAUUACACGCUUUCAUGGCGCUUGUUUCUGGUGGAGGCGUAUAGUUGGGAAUCAGAACCCGUACACUUCACUCUCUCAAAGGACGGGUUGCAACACAUCGAGAGUAAGUGCUAUUUGACUGAGUUACCAGGAGAAGUGCCUGGGUUUAGAGUACCGACAAAACGGCAAUUGGACGAUGGUUGGGUGGAAUACGACGUCGGGGAGUUUACUGUUGGAAGUGACGAGAAAAAUUGUGCAGUCAGAUUUGCAAUGGUAGCUAUUGAGAAGCUCUACUGGAAGUAUGGCAUUUGCUUGGACGGCGCUGUCAUCCGCCCAACAAAUCUGAAGGCAGCAACACGUGUGAAUGACGAUGAACAGACAGUACACGAAGCUGAGCAGAUGCGAUGUCAACAAGACAUUCCAGAAUAUUGUUAACUAGUUUAGCUUAUCACUUAAAAAAUGAAUGCAAGUUGUUAUAGAUUCGUGGAAUUUACAGCUUUCACAGACCGCCUUGUAAACACCCAUCCUAACUGCCCUCGAUUUCCAAACCUUCUGUGGCUUUCGAAAGGCUUGAUCGCACUUUGGGAGUAACCAGCCACAGAGACUCUUUUCCUCUUCCUUGACCAACUCGCACCAUUGUCCCACCCGCAAAAUAGUUUCUUCACACAAAUUGCACAUCUUCGUGGUCCUUUGCUCAAUUCCCACAAAUAAACCCUUAUUUCAUGAAAGGUCGUUAUGCAGAUGACCGUCACCGCCAGUUUUCAUCUCUUACAGUGGAGAAAUUAUCAAUAACUGAACACUCUUGGUACCUAAGCCUCGCGAGAGGAGUUGACAAAAGUUUAAACUUCGACGCUCAGACGCCUUAUCUUAACGAGCCCUCCAACUAAUGAAAAGCAGAAAAAUCUGCAGCGCCACUACAAAAAAUCAACUGGCCCUAAGCAACUGCCUCAGAGAGAAUACAAUCACCAAAAAGAUAGACUGGAAUACAAUCCCGCAGAGAUGAUUAAAAAUUCGAAAAGAGUAAAACAUAAUCUAAAUUCAAAAAAUACAAACAAAUUUAGAAACAAUGACAGCUACGCAAACUGAAGGAAACAGAAAUUCGUACGCAUGAGUAACCAGACAAAGCACUUGCUGCCUGAAAGUAAACCCCCAUGGGACUGUCAAAGGGUCCUCGUACCCAAAAGGGCUUUCUCCCGAAAAAUCACCUCCACAAAUGCUGUGUAAUCAUACAUUUUCCCAGAAUUAAUGUAUAUAACACCCUCCUAUUCCAAUAAGCAAGGCUCAUAUAACAGCAAUGAAAAUAAUCAACGAUACAAAAGUCAACAUAAUUCGGAAAACAAUCCACGAAUUAAACAAGUAAAGCCUGUACAUGAGCAUGGCAGGGAAACAUAAUUGACAAGGACGAUACCAAAAGACUAGACCAUCAACCGACAGCUAAUGUGUACAAAAUUCAAAAAGAGGUAGAACCUGCGCCAUCAAUCUCAGCAGCGAACAUAUCGACAUGGAAAUGACCAUAAAAUAUCAAGUUCACCAGCCAAACAACUAAAAAAAAAAAAAAAAAAAAAAAAAAAAAUCAUCCUUCCAAAGGACCAUCAUCAAAACAAUAAAAAGAAAAUAACAUCCCAGAGACAAACGCCAAAACAAACCAUGCGCAGUGAAAACAUGAUAUUCAGUAGUAGAAUAAGAGACAUAUCCCACAUCUUACCUAACAAACAUUCAAAACAUCAAAAACGAAUUCAUUUAAAAAAUCAUCGCGACCACCUCGAAAUCGAACACACACGAAAUCCACACCAAGGAUUUCACCACAUACACUCAGAAAAACCAUAAAAAGCUCCUCUCCACCAAGGACGGUGGGAACACGGCCUCCCACGCCGAUUACCUGCACUGCUCACCACCACACCGCACAACUUCCCCCUCGUCGUUAUCACCAUGUCCCACAAUCACAUACCCCAAUGCUUCAUCCCCCCCCCACCCCUCUGUACACCCAUCCACUGCUGUAAUAUGCACCGUCGGUGGGGGCUCGCCACCCCGCACCUCUCAUUUCAUUACGCCAUUUCUUUCUUUUCGAAAAAAGGUCUCACCCACGUAAUGGAGCCAAAAUACAAAUACAAAAAGGGCACAAAUCAACCUGGGCACAAUCAAACCCCACGUCCCCACCAAGCCUGCACAUAUGUCACGCUGUCAUAUCUCCUCCUCGCUCGCUCGCUCGCUCUGCUGCGUCUGUCUGUCCUCCGUUCCUACUACCUCGCCUCCUGCUCCUACUACUCCCUACCUGUCGUCUUCCCCGUCCCCGUCCCCGUCGUCGUCUGACUUAUCUAAAUCCACGUCCGAGCCACCGCCUCCCCCCCUGCCUCCGCCGUUGCCCUCCGACCCCUCAUGAUCGUCUCUUCUGUCCCCACCCGUAUCCUCCUCCUCGCUCUCCUCCUCUCGCCUGCCCCCACCCGUCUCUUGCACACUACGAUGACCCCCCUUCUCUAGACCCACAGACUGAACGGGAGAGUCCACUACCUGAACUCUCUCCUCCUCACUCCCGCCGCCGCCGCCGCCGCCACCGCCGUCCCCGCUGAAGUCUGACACGAUCGCCAGCGCCUUCCGCAGCAUCUCCUCGUAUUCCUUCGCCGCCCGCCUCCCGCUCUCCAGCUUCUCGAAGUCCUCCUCAUGCUCCAGCGCGUCCAUCUGCUUCACGAACGCCGCCGUGUCCGGGUACAGUAUGUGCGUCCUCCGAUCGCCCUUCUCCGUCCCGUUCCUGUCCGCCUCCACCGCACCCCCGCCGCCAACUCCACCUCCUCCUCUCCACCCUCGAGACUGCGGCGUCGCUGCCAUCGCGCCCUUCUCGUGCGAAGCCCCCGACCCCGGCGGCCUCCCCCUCUGCCCGCUCCCCUUCGGCCUUCCCACCACGCCCCCGUAUCCCCCCCGACCCCGCUUCACCCCCCGCCCCGCGCCCCGCUCCGCCGGGAUCAGCGGCGGCACCUUCCCCUCCAAAAUCAUCACCGGGUCCGCCCGCGAGUCCAGCCACUGCACGUCGUUCUUGUCCAUCCCCUUCAGGUCCACCCACUCGAAGCUCUCGUCCGGAGUCCCGCUGUCGUACGCCAGACAAUGCAGCAUCUCCUCCCUGUUGAAGUCCACCACCACCGCCUCGUAGUGUAUGUUGUCGUCCGGCCACCGUAUCCGCAGCCUCCGCCCCACCCACGCCUCCACGCGCGAGUCCGUCGACGGCCCUGCGCCCUUGUGGUUGCUCCAUGGUGCCGCCCCCCUCCCGCCCCCCAGCCCCCCUGCUGCUCCUCCUCGCCCUACCCCGCCACCUCCACCUCCACCUCCACCCCCCGCCGCCCCCCUCCCCGGCACCCCGCCCGCCUCCGUCACGCCUUUGCUCCGCGACUUCUUCCCGCUCGACGGCCCUCGUCCCCCUGACGCCGACGGCAGCGCCAAGUGCGGUGCCGCCUUCAGCAAGGGAGCGGGCGGAGGCAGAAUCGGUCCCGCGUGCCCUACCUUCUGCUUCUUCCUGUUCUGCGACACCGAGGGACUCGGCGACGGCUCCCGAUGAUGCGCAACCAUUCCAGGAUCCUCCCCUGUCUGCCUCCACGUCCGUAUCCUCUGCAGUGUCUCGUCCUGCCCCACCUUCCCCAGCAUCUCCCUGUGCUGCUCAUCCGCCACCCGAAGCUCCUUCCUCAUGUCCGACAUCAGCCCCUCCUUUGACCAUGUGAUCACCUCCGAUUGCGCGCUGAAUGCCCGAAGCAGAGACAGAUACGCAUCCAGCUCUAGCUGCCGGAUCUGCUGCUCGAUGUGGAACGAGCUCGACGGCUUCCCGUUCCCGCUCGGCCGACCCUUCGCACGGGCCACCCCCGACGACCGCAUCACCUGCGUCGGAGGGAGGUCGUCAUCGUCGGUCCCAUCGCUGUCCGACUGGUUGUACACCAUUAUGCCACCUCCUCCCCGACCUCACUCACCUCACCUCCUUGCGUCCACCUGCAAUCCCCCGCAGCGCCCUCGAUCGCUCACUCACUCACCGGGACCCCUCACCGCACGCGACAACACCAUCAAACCCUGAAACACACAUCACACCACCUGUGAGCACCACUCGCUGCGCCACGUCCUCCGAACCGGCGACCCUCAUGCCCCGCCCAAAUUCCCAUCCCCCAUACUCUCUCCGUCGUCUCCCGCUCACAAAUUCCUAAUGCAAUUCCUCCUGAAUCCUGAUCGUACCCGACCCUUCAUAACUCCACCAUCGGCCCCUUUCUCCCCCCGACCACACCGCCGCGACCGCGUUCUGCUACUCCCUUGCCAUUGCCGUCCCACGCCCGAUCUCCCAGAAAUCACUGCAACCUCACACCCUCAUACACCUUCCUGUCGCACUCAAACAUCUACCGCCUACCACAGCCGCUGCCUCGUACCCCGCUUUCACGACACCCACAUGUUCCGGGUCGUCCCCGCAAAGUGUACAUACACAACAACCAGCACAAACGCGCAGAACACGAAAAAAGAAGAAAGAAAAAACGCCCUCAGCUAACCAGUGCUGCGAAACAUGCACCAAAACGCACAUCCUUGGAAACUCCGCCUCCAAACUCUUCUUUUCUGCAAGCUAGCCCGAGAGAAACCAAAAGAGAAGGACAAAAAUGUGAGGCCUAGGGUUUCGUACCUCCAAAGAUCGUCACCACUCCGGAGCGCCACGGACCCCGUGCCCGCCUGCUGCUCACAGCUAGCGCCAGCAAAGCAUCGAACACAGAGCAAGGGGCUCCUCUUGAGAACGAACGCCGAGCACAACCCACUCAUGGAGCGCAGGGAAAAACUCACAGCGCAGAGCUACGGCGGAACUGCAGAUAGCGGGAGGUCGUUCGUUCGUAGUGGUUGUAGAUGAUCCUAAGAAAUCCAAGUGCUGCUACCAUCACACCGAGGUAGAAAGCUAAGGGUGACGGUGAUGGCUAGGGCAGAGCAGCAUUGCAGACGAUGUCGCAAAACGUGCGUCGCAGCGCCGGGCUGGUCCGCCAUUGUUGCUCCUUUUCCAGCUCGCUCUCUCUCGGACCUCGUCUCGUCCUCCUCCUCCUGCGCAUCCCGCCCUUCUUCCCUCCCUCUGUUGCUGUUUGUAAAGCUCUUUCGAGUGGAGAGGGUGGUUACCGGUUUGCCGGUUUGCGUAGCACGCGUGUUUCCGGGUUCCACAUUCAUCCAUUUGAUGAUUUGAGUCGCUGUUGAGGGGUUUUUCGUGGAUGAGAAUGGAUUCUGUCUUCGUUUGGAAGUGAAACCAUGUUCGCCCCCCUCGUCGGCGCUUUCAGGUACCCGUCUUUAAAUUGCCGCUUUCUAACCAUUUUCUGAAUGAGCAUGGUUUACAAAUAUAUAUUUAUAUAUGUUUGUAUUUAGAUGUUUGUUAUGCUUCAUAUUUGCAUCUAUGAAGUCGGGUCGUAUGCAUGAAUUUAAUGUGGUUUGCCAUGUGAUUGUUUUCGUACUAUUGCCUGUAUAAUACGUUCCUCGUAUUGUAUUGGAGAAAGAGUUCGACAUAACCUAUCUGCACUGUUGCUGAGUAUACUGGAAAAUUUAAUUGAGAUUGCACUGUUGAUUGUUUGAAGAGUGUUCAAAUGCAAAGGAUUGUUAAAUAAGUGUUAGCAACGUCAGGUUGUUCUUUUCUAUUGUAUUUGAUAAGUGUAAAGUGUAAAUAAACACAUGAAUAAAUUAGGCGAUAAUACUUAUUUCGUUUGUUUGAAUGCGUAAAUAAUUUAUUUCAGAGCUCAUGGUAACUUCUACAACUUGUGUACCUUUACAUGCAUAUUUGGAAUAUUUGCCAAAAUAUCUUGAUAGAGUAUUUGCUUCAAAACGAUUUUUGUGCAUAAUGCUUGGUAUAAUCUACGUACCAUGUAUGCACAAUCAGUCUUUUUUCACAAAUUUUUGCAGGAUCAAAGAAACUGAACCAAGUAUUCAUCAAUUAAUUUUAUCUAAAUACCAUUUUUUGCAAAUCACAGAAUUAUAUAUUUUGAAUAAGUCUUUACUCGUUCUAAUCUAGAAUAUAUGGAAUUUCAUUAAUAUCAUUAACAUGAUAUAUUAAUUGUGUCAUUAUGGGGCGUUCAUGCAUACAUUAUACAAGCUUUAAAUUACUUGAUAUAAUAUGCAUAUACAAAUGUACACGAGACAUUAAAUUGUUUAACAGCUUUUGGCUGAUUUUUACAUUAAAUACAUCACAUCAUUUUAAUGUAUUACACAGUUUAAAAAGUUGACAUUUUAUUUAAGAUGCUGUAAUACACAAGUUUAAUUGGAAAAUAUCAAAUUAAUUGUUCGUUUUCUAUUAAAGACGAUUUUAAACAUGAAGCAAUUUAUUAAAUAACAGUUCCAGACAAUAUGGUUUUUAGUGUGUUUUGUUUCCUCUUCUUUAUAUUUAUUGCAAAAUUAAGUUUUGCUUGCUUUGAAGUUACUUUAAACUUGUAAUCUAAUCUUCAUAGUGUAUAAUAUUUGCUGAUACAUUUUAAUUAUCCUAUACACUCUUCUCCAUAUGAAAAUAUGGUUUGAUAGCAAACAAUGUUAAAUGAAAAUAUUCAUGUUAAUUUCCUACUUUAAUUAAGGCAGUAACUCCAGUUAAAAAGAAGCAUGUUGUAGUUGAUAAUUUUAUUUUUCAGUUUGAAACUACAAAAAAAUAACUAAUAACUAAUUUAAUCCUUAUAUAUAUAUAUAUAUAUAUAUAUGUUUAGGGUAAUUUUUUCACUGUUAAGUUUGGGGGAGUGGAAUAAUUGUAUGUAAUGUUUACGUAUUGGUCAAACAUUUACAACGCUUUUCAUCUCAUGUCACACGAGAGGAAGUAAAUAGAGAAUAAAAAAAAUUCACUUCUUAAGGUUUUCUUUGAAGUCUAAUGUUACUUUAAGUAUUGAAAUUUAAGCUAAAGUGGGGAAAUCAUAAAGUAAAAAGUUGCGAAGGUUGACGAAUGAAACAUGGGCGGAUGAAAUACAAAAUGGAUGAAAUACGAACGGAUGAGAGUCGGACGCACGAUUCCUCCACGGAGGAGGCUUGAAGGCGGAGGCUUUCGUCCCGUGGGUUGAUGAUACCACGAUUGUUCCGGACAGAACGAUCGUCGUCUGCGCAAAGAGAAACCAGGAGGAAGAGGAGGCGGGGGUUUGGAUGAUCGCGACAACUCUAAUUCAGCUCUCCUCCUCCUCGUCCUCGUAAUACAUACAUAACAGCCCGGAAAGCAUACCAUCGGGGCUAAGAGAGCUGCCGAUCGAUGUCACAGUGGACACUGCGUGUGACCUUCUCGGAGGCGCGCACAGUGGUGCGAAGCUCUGAGGCAGAGCUCCGCGUGCGGCGUCGUGGAGGACAGCCUUCUCGGGGCUUCGGGAAUAGGUUUAAGAUUCUGGUUGCUGGAAAAUCCGUUCAUUCAACAUAGUUUUUCUUCCUUUUUUUGGAUUGAGGUUAUUCUGGGAGGUGUGUGAUGGUUGUUGACGGAUCUGGUUGAAAGAGCAUCCGCUUGAGGGCCGGGUGUAGGUGUGGUGCAGGCGUGGUGUUACUGCGCCUACGGGAAGCGGUGUUUGUUUCGGGUGUGAAUAGCUCGGGCGUAGACAUGGCGCGGAGUUUGUAAACUGCGAGGACGGGAUGGAGUGGAUGUGCAGAGGCUUGUGAAGAAGGUGAGGGAGAAAAUAAGCGGUGAUGGGAUCUCCGAAGUCGUGGUCUGCCUCUAGCAGGGUCAGGCGGACGACAGCUAUGAGAUGGGCGCGGUUUUGCUACAAGGUGCUCUACGCCGUGUCGUUCUUGGCCGCAAUGUAUGCUGUGCUUGCUCAUUUCCGCUCCGCGCCUCCGAUUUCCAGCUCUGGUACAUUUCCGUCUAUUGUGAGAUUCUUGCAUCUGCAUACAAUGCUUUAGCUAUGUACGUGACGUAUUUACGUGUCGCGCGUGUUUUUGUAGAUGCGUGAAGUCUUUUUCGUGACAGAUCUGACCAGUUGUAUAGUGACUAAUGGUUCAGACGCUCGUUGGAAAAUGUACUGCUCUAAGGCCUCUAUCGAAUACUUUCUUCUCAGUUGUAGCUGCCCAUUUGUUUCUGAUCUAAUACAUGAGAGAGACGUAGAAAAUGGCUGAGGAUUAGGGACUGUUGGCUUCGCACUCCGCCAGCGAAUUUGAUUUCUCUUUGACAUGUAUUUAAACCAACGGAGACCCGUUCGGGAAAUGCACUUAUUUUCGCUUUGCACAUACAGAGGAAUCUUUAUUCGAAGCGAUUCCUUGAGAAACAAUUUUCGCCUCUGUUAUGCAAUUGUUUCUACUCAGGCGCUUUCUUGGAAUGAUCUCUUGGAUCUAUCCGUCGUCCAUGAAUACGCGCCUUUGAAAUUCCUGAAGGCAUAAUUAGCUGAGUGGACUUGCAGAUUCAGAUGAAGAGGCGCCCCCAGGACUCGAUUCGUUAGUACACAACACAACAACUAUUGUGUUAAGCCCUAUCACACGAGCAGAGCAAGAGCAGCGGCGCUGGAUAGAGAAGCCGAACUCUCUAUGUUUUGGUCUAGGCAAUGUCACCAUCUUAACUGUGACCAUAGACCUCCCAAAGGUAUUUACUCCGGUACUUUCAUCAAGAACAUGCUUACGUAAUUUAACAAAGAGAUUGACAUUGUGCAGUUUAUUUCGCAUCCAGCAGAUUCUGGUCCAAAUCACAGUUUACACCUUAAGAUUUUAUCUACCAGAAACAGUCAUUUUUAAAGUUUUUAAUUUAUUUAUUUAUUAAUUGAAAAGACCUUACAGAUUCAAUUCAGACAUUACCAAUCAAGUCACGGUUGUCAGGAAAAUGUACAGCUAAUUCUAAUUUGUGCGGCAUCUUGAGAAGUGCGUGUUUUUGGUAGGGGACAGUUUAAAGGCGCAGUUCUCUUUAUUUGGCGAAAAAUUACUCCUUCCUUUCUACGUCCAGUUGAAAGCGGUGGCAAUGACGCCUACGCAUACAUUAUGUAUGGUUUAGUUGCUAGAGCGACAGCGAGAGAAACAGAGAGCGAGAAAGUUUUAGCGUAGUGGUGGAAUUGAAGUAACUGAAUAUCAAAAAGUUGCAGGAUCUCGAUUGCCAAAGAAUCAAGCUGAGUAGAUUUGUGGAUGUGCCUAUCCUGUUGAAGACGAUUAGAGUUCGUAGGUCUUAUGGGCCGCUGACUUUGGCAGCAGGGUUGAUACCAUGAUGGCAGGCUUAUCUGGUGCAGUUGCGGAGAAAUCGGUUGUCAUACGCAUCAAUUCACGGAUACAGAUACUGUGAAGUAUCAACUACCUUGGAAUCUUCCCGCCCUCCGGCGUGGACGAAGGUGAAAGCGAUGAUGUUGUUGUUAAGCUUUACCGACAUCGUGGUCGCUAUGGAUGCAGAUGCAAUCAUCCGAAACAAUACUAUAAGGAUAGAGAGUAUCCUUGAGCUAGAAGUUUAUGAUUUGAAAGAUAAAGACGCUAUAUACACAAACGAUUUUCAGCAGGACAGGCAGAGCGAAGCCACUCCAAAGUCGUUUAUAAACACUGGUGUUUACAUUAUGCGCAACACCCCGUGGAUCAAGGUGGGUCUCUUCAAUUUCUUUAGCUUUUUAAUUGUGGAUUUUAAUUUUUAAAAUAGUCGAUGAUAAGUUCUUAUCGGUCCACGUUAGAAUUGGUUGAUACAGUUAUGUUCCUCCAGCAUCAAGGUAAGUGAUUUAUUGGUGUGUGUUCUUGAACUGUUGUAACUUCUUCCCUUCAAUAACUUGGAAAUAGUUAGUUGAAGAUUAUACAAAUUUAAUGCAGUGGAGGCAAUAUUAAAAGAAAAAGCAUCAGUCACACAGCUUGCGUACUAGAACUGUAGAACCUCUAAUGACUCGGAUUCUGCACCCUAUCACCAUGGAAGUAAGGUAUUAUAUACACAUGUAUGUGCGUGCGCCUCAUGUUAGUGAUCGGUUGUAAUGUGGACUAGAGAUGGAUCUUGAUGCUUGAGAUUUUCACUUCCAAAGAGAUCUGUUCGAUUGGAUGAUUAUUCGUAGCUACUCUGCGUAGAUUCAAUGAUGGGCCACUGUGGCUUGAGCAGGGAUUCUUGGAAUCUGUGCACAAAUUCUACCAAUCCUCCAUGUUUCAAAAGAAUUUGGAGCGUGAUGAAGUGAUGCUGUAUCGCAUGAAGAAUGCUGACGAGUUCAAUGAACAUGUUGCCAUAAUUCCAUUCAGGUUUUGUGCUUUAAUCCUACGAGUACUAUUUCUUGAUUGCGUGUAUAAAUUACUCUCCACGUGUAGUCUCUGAAUCGUUUUACUUGUUGCAGCACUUAUGUAUUUCAUAAUGCAUUAGUAAGUGCAUUUAGUGUAUUGUUGGGUGACUUUAUGGAAGACCAAGCACGCUUGUUUCUCUCAGGACCGUUGUUUACGGAAUAUGCCAGAGGACAUUGUCUCAGAAGUUUUGAUAGCUGUCUGCAGGUACAUGAAUAGUCCAGUUACACAGGAUCUGGAUAAGUAUGAAGAUGGAGACUUUGUGGCACACUAUGCAGAAGAGCACAGCCCAGAUAAAUACAGGGAACUUGCCUCGCAGCUAGCUACAAUGAAUGUGUGAACCAUGCUGGUAACCUUCACAGCACCGACAGUAUCAUGUUUUCAUCAGACGUACCAUCAUGUUGCAGUAAUUAACUGGAGAUGAGUUUAGGUCAUACGUUCGUUCCAUGCCUGAUCUCUAGCUUUCCUUAGAGGAUGGAGUUCGAACAUGCGAUUUGUAGACGAGCAGUGGUGCAGCCACCUUGCAAUUUGCUUAGAUGAGUAAAUUUCGUUCUGUUUCUCAUGAUUCUUACGCUAAAAAAAGUCACAUCUCGUAGUUCGGUUUGGUGGACAUUUGUGGGCGUUCAUUCAGUAUUCGAAGCAAGGUUCUCAAGUUGCUCCAUGCCUCGGGAUUGUGUGUGCUCAGCAGCGAAUGAAGUAUUUCAAUUUAUGAAAACAUGAAAUAACUUUGUCUCAUGACUGGCUGCCCAAAGCGAAGGUUAAACGCCAACAAGAAUUAGAGCGUUUCUUCAACUCUGGUUUUACACAACCUAUUUGUUCUCAAGAUUGUGUCGCGAGAAUUUUUAACCCGAAAGAAUAUUGUCUGGUCGAAACAACCAACCUCAUGUAGGUAUUAAUCGAUGAACGAAAUUCUUAUGUUCUACAACCUGGGUAUGAAAUAAAUGAGUAGGAUGUUUGUGCAAUUAUAUUCGUAUUGAGUACUAUCUAUGCUCUGUUAAGUAGACAGUAUAACUAGCAGAAGUGUAAAUAGCCCAUUGAUUGUAUUGUAUUAUUUGUAAUUAAAUCUUCUUCUUUGGAACUUCAAGUAUAGUGUGCAUCAGACAAGACCGAGUUAAAAGUUUCUGGUUCAUCAGUAAAUUUUACAUUUGGCAGUUGUGGCCAAAGUAAUAAUUUUGAAUUGAUUAGAAUUAGAUUGCGUUGUAUAAACAGUAGCACUUAGGUUUUGGAAUAGGAGAGAGUUGUUCUACAAAGCUAUUUUAGACGCCUAGAUGAUAACAAUAACAUAAUCUUUUAACAUGUGCUGAGAAAAAUCAAGGCAAAUCGCGUGUGUACAUUUAUAUCAAGCAUUAAAAGAUAUUAUUUGAAAUGCAGACAAUGUUCAAAUCCAUAAUGUAAGCUUAAAUAUAAUUCUUCUUCCAGAACUGUGCACAACGUGUUUGAAACAUUUAAGAUAUAAUGGCUUUUACUUUAUGUGGUCAUCUAGAUGUAAUUGACACAACAAGAACAAUCUUCAAAAGUUAAAAAUAAAUGGAGGGAAUUGUUAGGUGCACACACUCCACAAAGAAAAGCCAUUAUCUUAAUUUUUGUAGUAACUUUAAUUUUAUACAAAACGUACAUAUAUAUGAUGAUUGUCAAUAAAUAUCAAAGACAAUCUUUGGUGUCUGUAUCUCUCUCUUCGUGUGUGUGUGUAUAUAUAUAUAUAUAUAUAUAUAAGAAAAAGUUAAAAUGACCCACCCAUUUACAAAUUUGGCCUACCCUAUUGUGGAUAAAAUGAGGGUUUGGAUGAGAGCUCUUAACAAAGGAAAAUGAAUAAAGAGGGAGGACCAAGAUGGUGAAGGUUGGAAACAAGGGGAGUGUGGAUUAGCAAUAAGAGGGGUUGGGAUGAAGGACAUGAUUGUAACAAUGGAUUAUAAAGAUGAUCUAUUUCUCAAAUGAUGGUUAUGAUAGGGUGAAUUGAUUUAGUAAAUGGAUUGAUCAUUUUAAUAUUUUCUUCUACUUAUGUGAACCACAAUAUUUAAUUAUUGCUAAUUCAAUGUAAUUCAAUCUCAUCAUAUGUUUCAUAGGUGCAAUAGAGUUAUUUACUCAAAUAAUAACUAAAAUAAAAUAUUAUUAAUUAAAUAAUUUAAUUUAAAAAUCUCUUGUAAGUGUAGUUUUAGAAGAAAUUAAGAAGAUUGGUAUGGGCUUAUUUAUUAUGUUUUUUAAGUAACUAUACAUAUCUAUAUAUUAAAGAAUUUGGUUUUUAAAAGAGUAUGAAGGAAAUUGUAUUUUUGGUAUCCUCAAAAACAUUACUUCACACUAAAAUUCAAAUGUGAUGAUUAAAAUAAUUUAUUAUGAUAGAUUUAUUUGAUUUUUUUUUGAAUCAAAAGUACAACCUCUCUCUUAGAAUAUAUAUAUACGUACACAUCAAUGACGAUACCCUGUGAAUACCAGCUGAUGAAUCAAAAUUCGCGGAAGUACGUGGUGUGUCACGCGCGACGAAAACCAUCAAACGAAGUAAGUGUUUUGUUGGACGACAUUCAUUCAAACAAAGCCGAUGGUAAUGGCAGAGCGACGCACUGGGAAAUGCGCGAGUGGGUGACCUCAGAGAUUCAGGAAAGAAAGUGUUGGCCAGCUUCAGAGCGAGGGAGGAAAGACGCGGGACAAGGCUCGAAGGAAACAGGGAAGCUCCGCCAUCGGAGCUCGAGAUCAGGAAAAGGGUACCACCACCAACACCACCUGCAACGGCGAGACAGACAUCCCACACCAUGUGUCCACACCACGGCGCGUUACAAUUGCACAGCUCGACGACGCUCAUCUCGCUCUCGCGCACUAGCUCCCGUUCUUCUGCGCUCCGGAAAGAGCGUUUAACAUAGGUCUGUGCAUUUCGCGUCCUCGAGGCAGGCUUAGCAGACACACUCUGCUGGACGGCUCCGUGUACACCACGACUGGAUUGAGCUCGGUAGUCGCUCUGGCCCGGAGCCUCUAUACUGUGUUGAAUGCUUUGCUGGCAAUAGCUGUGAGCAGCAGGCGGGCACGGGGUCCGUGGCGCUCCGGAAUGGUGACGAUCGUUAGAGGUACGAAACCCUAGGCCUCACAUUUUUGUCCUUCUCUUUUGGUUUCUCUCGGGCUAGCUUGCAGAAAAGAAGAGUUUGGAGGCGGAGUUUCCAAGGAUAUGCGUUUUGGUGCAUGUUUCGCAGCACUGGUUAGCUGAGGGCGUUUUUUCUUUCUUCCUUUUUCGUGUUCUGCGCGUUUGUGCUGGUUGUUGUGUAUGUACACUUUGCGGGGACGACCCGGAACAUGUGGGUGUCGUGAAAGCGGGGUACGAGGCAGCGGCUGUGGUAGGCGGUAGAUGUUUGAGUGCGACAGGAAGGUGUAUGAGGGUGUGAGGUUGCAGUGAUUUCUGGGAGAUCGGGCGUGGGACGGCAAUGGCAAGGGAGUAGCAGAACGCGGUCGCGGCGGUGUGGUCGGGGGGAGAAAGGGGCCGAUGGUGGAGUUAUGAAGGGUCGGGUACGAUCAGGAUUCAGGAGGAAUUGCAUUAGGAAUUUGUGAGCGGGAGACGACGGAGAGAGUAUGGGGGAUGGGAAUUUGGGCGGGGCAUGAGGGUCGCCGGUUCGGAGGACGUGGCGCAGCGAGUGGUGCUCACAGGUGGUGUGAUGUGUGUUUCAGGGUUUGAUGGUGUUGUCGCGUGCGGUGAGGGGUCCCGGUGAGUGAGUGAGCGAUCGAGGGCGCUGCGGGGGAUUGCAGGUGGACGCAAGGAGGUGAGGUGAGUGAGGUCGGGGAGGAGGUGGCAUAAUGGUGUACAACCAGUCGGACAGCGAUGGGACCGACGAUGACGACCUCCCUCCGACGCAGGUGAUGCGGUCGUCGGGGGUGGCCCGUGCGAAGGGUCGGCCGAGCGGGAACGGGAAGCCGUCGAGCUCGUUCCACAUCGAGCUGCAGAUCCGGCAGCUAGAGCUGGAUGCGUAUCUGUCUCUGCUUCGGGCAUUCAGCGCGCAAUCGGAGGUGAUCACAUGGUCAAAGGAGGGGCUGAUGUCGGACAUGAGGAAGGAGCUUCGGGUGGCGGAUGAGCAGCACAGGGAGAUGCUGGGGAAGGUGGGGCAGGACGAGACACUGCAGAGGAUACGGACGUGGAGGCAGACAGGGGAGGAUCCUGGAAUGGUUGCGCAUCAUCGGGAGCCGUCGCCGAGUCCCUCGGUGUCGCAGAACAGGAAGAAGCAGAAGGUAGGGCACGCGGGACCGAUUCUGCCUCCGCCCGCUCCCUUGCUGAAGGCGGCACCGCACUUGGCGCUGCCGUCGGCGUCAGGGGGACGAGGGCCGUCGAGCGGGAAGAAGUCGCGGAGCAAAGGCGUGACGGAGGCGGGCGGGGUGCCGGGGAGGGGGGCGGCGGGGGGUGGAGGUGGAGGNNNNNNNNNNNNNNNNNNNNNNNNNNNNNNNNNNNNNNNNNNNNNNNNNNNNNNNNNNNNNNNNNNNNNNNNNNNNNNNNNNNNNNNNNNNNNNNNNNNNGGUGGGGACAGAAGAGACGAUCAUGAGGGGUCGGAGGGCAACGGCGGAGGCAGGGGGGGAGGCGGUGGCUCGGACGUGGAUUUAGAUAAGUCAGACGACGACGGGGACGGGGACGGGGAAGACGACAGGUAGGGAGUAGUAGGAGCAGGAGGCGAGGUAGUAGGAACGGAGGACAGACAGACGCAGCAGAGCGAGCGAGCGAGCGAGGAGGAGAUAUGACAGCGUGACAUAUGUGCAGGCUUGGUGGGGACGUGGGGUUUGAUUGUGCCCAGGUUGAUUUGUGCCCUUUUUGUAUUUGUAUUUUGGCUCCAUUACGUGGGUGAGACCUUUUUUCGAAAAGAAAGAAAUGGCGUAAUGAAAUGAGAGGUGCGGGGUGGCGAGCCCCCACCGACGGUGCAUAUUACAGCAGUGGAUGGGUGUACAGAGGGGUGGGGGGGGGAUGAAGCAUUGGGGUAUGUGAUUGUGGGACAUGGUGAUAACGACGAGGGGGAAGUUGUGCGGUGUGGUGGUGAGCAGUGCAGGUAAUCGGCGUGGGAGGCCGUGUUCAUCGUCAUUUGUUUUUGGGGCGUUGUCUCUUUUUUGGGAUUGGUUUGACUUUUGUAUAUAGAGUUGCUGUUCGCAGCUUGUUGUUGUGGUCGGUUUCUUGCUACUUGUAUUGCAUUAGAUGUAAUAGGGCUUUUGGAGGUUUUUUUGUUUUGUUACUUCGGUAUUAGAUAUCGUGGUCUUGUGGACUUUGUUGCUGUUACAUUGCCAUGGUAACCGAGUUAUUGAUUGCAGCUUUUCUUGUCUGUUUGUUUUGCAAUAUGUUGGGACACUGCCCCGUUUAUAAUCUUGUUUAUUUGUCGUUAUAGUAAUGUUUGCGAUGAUGGGUAUGUUAGGACUAACAAUUAGUGGAAGCAUUUGCUUGUUUGGGAUUGUGUAUGUAGCAUUCUUGAUGUGGGAAUUUGCCUUUGAUUGGUGGUUUGUACUGUUGGCGGUCAAAUAUUUGCAAGUGUAAAUGAUCCCCAUUGGGUAUGAUCUUGUACGUUUUACUGAACAAUUAUUUUUUAGGCAUGUAAUCCAUGGCUUGCAAUUCACUGUUUGAGUUUGUUGAUUUGAAUAAUGUUUGCAUGCAGCCUGGAAUCACCGUGUUUUGUUUUAUCUCUAAAUGCUGUGCAGGGGGGAUUCUCGUUCAGCAAGAAUAGGAACGCUUGACGAAGUGCUUGCAGUAGUUAUUUGGAUUGAUUCAGGACAGGUGUCUUUGGCGCUCGUCUAUGUCAAAUUUCUGUCUAUAUUCGAGGCUCCGUUGUCUCUAAAAUCAUUUUUGACGUUAGUUAACAUGUGUGUUCUUCUGUCUGAAGCCUUCCGUUUGUGUUUGGCAAGUGUGAGUUAUCGGGGCGUUCUUUUAUAUGGAAGAAUUUUGCAUGGUUUCGUCAGAAUUUUAAAAAAUUCCAUGUGGUGUAUCCUAACGUCUGCUGUUUUGUAACUUGUGGCGAGGAAGUGCUGUGUAUGUUCUGAUUCCUCGACACAUUUUUUCAGCAAUUGGCACAACGUGAGCCUUACUCCCUGUUUCGAUGUCUAGAUUGUUCCUUAUUGGUCAGCUGUGUGCGAGGUUGCACUGGAAGAAUCUGAUUGUGCAACAACGCAUUUGUCAGCAGCCGCUUACAUCCUAUUCCCAGUGCAGCAACUUUGGUAUAUUUUACGCGAAGUUCCACGCAUAGUCCUCUAGAUUGUAAUGGUGAAAAAAUAUGAGUGUUUAAUCACCUUCGGAUGACCAGACGGUGCUGCAUCGAGCGAUAUUUUUCAAAUCGAAGUUCACCCCCGAAAAGUGGGAGUGCUACGCAAAGCUUGCUCUCGAGGGAAGUAGCUGAGUUUCUAUGUCCCGCCACGUAAACUAUGGUGUAUGUUUAUUUGUCGUGAUGAUGCUUCUCAUAUCGGAAAUGUUCUGGUGGGCAGCGUCUCUAAAGAUGUUAGCUACUAAGAUUUGCCACUAACGUCCAAAUGCCUUCUAUGAUAUAGCCUCUGAAAGUCCUCAGAAUCUUUCGACGAGCUAAAUGAGCUAAUAAGAUUCUGAGCCUUGUAACAGAGAGCAGUUAGCUUUCUGUACGAACAGGACUACCAUGCUUAAAUUAUUUAGUUCUAUGGUUACAAUGUUUGGAAUUUGAACCAGACAUCGACUCCUCCGAAUAUCACCAAAUAAUUUAAUCAAACGGAAGAGAAACCACUAUGGAGAUGAAUUACAAGGCUUCCGUUGCCUUUCUCCUGGAAUUAUCUAUGCACCAAACAUGGUUUGGUUUUCCAGCAGCUUUUGCUCAUGUGAAUAAAAAAAAGAUACAGUUCUAGAGAAAUGACAUCAUGUUGAUCCUCGAAUCGAAUCACUUAUAUGACCGUAAUAUAGAAACUGUUUGGAGAUUGCUAAGCCACUGCCAACAUGGCUGCAGGAAUUAAAACGGCAGGACAGAGGGACACAACACAAAGCCUUAGCUCUUCCACCAGCGAGCCAUGAAAAGAUCUUCCCGACUGAAAAUUAGAAGGUGUGGAGUCGGAUUAUCGUGCGCAAUCGUAUUGUGCGGAAGGCAACAAUUACGAUUGCCAAGACGGGACACAGAGAGCGAAGCUCGUGGACACGGCGACGGAGCCGGACUCGCGACGUGGCACCGUUUGGCAGGACCCGCUUCCCCUCGAUCCCGCCCACACAGUGGCUUGGGAACAUGUUCUCUUCGUUCCCUUACUGCUCCCAAACUUCCCUGCUGGGGUUUACCGAGUUGCAGUGUUAAAAGUCCAGAAAUUAUAUGUAAACCACAUUCCCAUGUGAAUUAUUUUCUAUAUAAAAAAAAAGAAAAAUUAAAUAAUAAAGAUUCCGUUCUAUUGGAAUUCUAUCUCUUAGACCUUUUCUAAUAUCCUAUUGCAAUUUUGUUUGGUUAUCUUUUGAGGCUUAAAGAAUCAUUUCUACUACUAUUGAUAUACAUAGAUGUAUUAUAACAAGCGAUUAAUUUGCUAAUUUGUUUAGGUUGUUCGUGGAAGUUUGAUACAAUAUUGGUUUGUAUGUUUUUGAAAUAAAGGAGUCUUUUGUGCUUCAUUUAUCAGACAUCGAUGGUUGUAAAUAUUUGUGAUUUGUUUUUGGAGUUGAACACUAAUAUUUAAUUGUGGUAAAAGGAAUGUAUAUAUGUAUAUAUAUAAACAAAAAGAAAAUUUUAUAUCAUGAAAUAAUAUGUUGAUUAUUUAUAAUUAUAGUAAUUUUAUUGUAGAUAUUAAUUCUUAUUUAAUAAUAUAAUGAUAACAAUAAUAGAAAUAAAGUUUAAUUAUGUGUACAUUCAAAGCAAUGGAAGAGGAACCCUAUUUAAUUGUGAGGAUGUCAGUUAUAAUAAUGAUUUUACAUGAAUGUAACGUUUCAUUCUUUUCAGCAAAAAAUCGGUACUAAACCAAUAUUAAUAUAGUAAAAAGGAUAGAUUACAAGUGCUUUACAGAAACUAUAACAGUGAAUUAUGUGAACAAGCUGUCAGCAUAAAAAAUAAAAAAAUACGAAAGAUUAUACACAUUAUUAUUUUAAUCUUAAUCUUAAUUUAAUGCAUUAAAUUUUGUAGCACACUGACAUAUAUUUCACAUUAUUAUUAUUAUCAUCAGUAUUUUCCAAAAACAUGCAAUAAAGUAAUAUAAUUUUAAGCAUAUAUGGUCAUUAAUAAAUUAGUGAGCAUAUUUUUACCCAGGUUUUACUUUGAUUCAUUUUAUCUCAUUUGAGCCUCCUUAAUUCACUGAAACCUUAAUAUAUAUGAGCAUAUGAACAAUAAAACCAAUAAAUAAACACUUGCACAUGGGCUCCUAAAGAGGAAAGUAAGAAAGAAGACAGACAAUUUCGAUGACAUAUUAUUAUAACCUCAAGAUCUGGUUUAUUAUGCUGAUUAGUGGCUAAACAAGACAAAAGAAAAGCACAAGAGACAGAUGAAUCACGGGCGGUGUCCCAAAUGACGGGAUGGGCACGCGGCGGAGGCACCUCGCCCGUGCCCCGCACGCUCCUGCAUACUCUUCACCACUUUCUCGUCCUGCUUGGCUUGCGUUGCCUUCGCGAUGCCGUGCUUGCUGCUGCUGCAGCUCGCGAUCUCGUGGCGUGGCGAUCCAGUAUGGUGCUCACAAAGAGAGACGUGGCCACUGUGUUCGAUGACGGAAACGUCAGCCUCCAGUUCGCGAAGGGGCUGGCGGGCAGGAGGACGGGCAAGAGCAUCGGGGAGACGACGAUGCCUCGCCAAUCAGGUGCGCUCCGUUUCACCUCCUCCGCCCUAGGGUUUCAGAAUCGAGCCAUUUGGGUGGAGAUCGUUCUCUCACAGAGAGGAUUGAGGCUGGGUGGUUCGCUGAUGUCCUUCUCAAACCGCAAUUGCCCUAGGGAUUGGAUGAAUUGAGCUGUCCGCGGGAAUUGUGUUACAGCUACAGAGUCUCUGAAAGCUUCGGAAAAAAAGAUUAUUGGGAUCAGAGACGAGAGCUGGGCGUUGAUCGUAUCUCAGGCGACUUCGCCCAUGGUGAUCGUUACAGGGAACCUUGGUCCCGCUGGGAAUUGAUCGGAAUUGGAUGCUAGUGGUCUUAGUCUGGGGAGAUCUGCAUUUCCUCAUCUUCGUGUUAUAUUGAGCGCUAUCAUUGCUGUGAAGAAUUUCGUGUCUAGCUAGUUAAGUGUAAACGUGAGCAAAAAUUGAGGAAGACUUAUGAGCAGCUGAUUCCUUGCUGGUCGUUUCGUAACUUUUGUGGGUGGAAUCAAGUCAUUCUUGAGUUCGAAAUUGAGCUCUCCAAUCGGGCAAUAGUACAAUUUUCAAGCACUCCGGAGAGGAGUAGAGCUAGGGUAGUUGAAUUUGCUUGAUUCUGUUGGAUAAUGUAAAGAAGCAACUCCAGAUUAGUCAAGUCGACGGUAAGAUACAUCGUAGACUUAAAAGUAGAAAAAGAAGAUUGCGGUACUGGACAGCGUAAGUGAAAAACGGUGAAAAACGGUGAGUUCAGUCGAUAAAAAAAAUUAGAAACUACCGCAUGCGGUGAAAUGUUAAUCUUGUAUAUAUAGCGAUCAGAAAUGAAGUAUAAACUACGAUCUUUAAUGUAAAUUUCCUUUGGAUUCGUCAGUUUAUUUACCUACAGCUAGACUAGUUAUCCUUGCAUGUUGUGUCUGGAACUCUGAUACCAUGAUUUGUGAACCACAAAAUGCGAGUAUUGAGUUAUCCGUGGUUGCAGACAGGAACCGGAAGUCCUCAAAGGGGACUAUGUCGGAGGCUGAUACGCAAUCCAAUUGUAACAGCAAAUACAUAACCCACGAUUUGGGCUGGAAGUUAACAGCCGUAAAAUGGGGUUUAUCGCUGGCUAUGUGUUUAGUCGUUGGAUGUUAUGGAGCCAUUCUUGCAGCCUUUCCAGUAGAAUCUUUCCAAAACAUCAAAGAAACUAUUUUCCAGAAGAUGGUAGAUACGCCAUUUGGUUCAAAGGGUGGUAAGCUCUCGUUUGUUCCUUCUCUUCAAUAUCAACUAGACAGUGGUGAAGACGCAUGGCUGCCUUACAAGUGGAUUUCGAUUCAAUCUUCGUGCACAUACAACAUGCUUACGCUUACUAGUCAGCUAAACGCAUGAAAUGAACUUCUUAUUUAGGAUCAGAAGAGGGCAUUGUGUCUCCAAGAAAUCCUGGUUUUGGUGGUUCAGCUGAAUUUUUUCAAUAUCUAUCCUGACCUGUUCUGUAAUGGAGAUAACUAAAAUGUAAAAAAUAACUCGAACAUGCUUCACAAGAAUGUUCUGAUAUCAUAUUAUCUCGUGGGUUGGUUCUUUUUAGGAGGCCUGCUUGUACUUUUCGCUUCACCACUGCUUGUGCUUACACUUUUGGCCAUCAUCAAUCUGGAAGUCUCUUCCAGGAUGGUAACCUUCAAGUAAAGUUCCUCGUUUCAAACUUUAUUAUAGAGUACAAUAUUAGUUACGGUUAAGAUUGCCUACCAGUAUUUGAGCUAGAAUUUCCAGCGCAGGGAUUUUGAAGAUGUUGUCUUCUCAACCAAUUCCGACACAACGUUGUCGACACAAACUUUGAGGGGAUUGAUCUAUCUAUUCUUUUGACUAAACGUGGGCGAUGUGUGUGCAUAUGUAGCAGGGAGAAAGCGAAAGGAAGAGCAAGCUUACAAAAGCAUCCACUUUUUAUAGGAGGUUGGAUGGGCAUUGUUUCUGCUGCUGAGUUUCUCUGGAUCCUUUUGUUUCUUGUCAUGUUUACUUGGAUCAUGGGAAACUACUUGAUUCGAGAUUCCAGACAUUUUGAUGUGACGUCUUUGAAACCUGUCGAAACAGUGUAAGUCCUCCAUUCCUCAUACAAGGACCUCGUCGUUCAGUAUAUUGGUCGUUGUCCGUUUGAUUUGUUUCUUUUUCUUUUGUUUUGGUUUUAUUUUGGUUUUGUUUGUUUGUUUUGUUUUUUGCUUGCUUGCGUGCUUGUUUGUUUGUGUGUUUGUUUUUUUUGCAGUACCUUCUAUGCCGUGGAUUUCUGUUCACUUCUUCAGGAUUACCUUGAAGAUCAGUGAAAGCGUUAAAACGUUAUGAUCUAAAUAUUGAUGGUUAUCUUGACUUUGUUUAGACAGGUGGAGUAAGAAGUUGAAGCGUACUGCGUCACAUCUUGGGUUCUUUGGACUCAUAUGUUUAAAUUUUCUAUUCUUACCUGUUUCUCGAGGAUCUGUCCUUCUCCGGGCCUUAGAUAUUCCAUUUGAGCAUGCUGUCAAGUACCAUAUAUGGUUGGGUUACUUCAUGAUGACAUGUUUCACUCUGCACGGUCACUUCUACAUCAUUGCAUGGUAUUCCGAAGAUUCUUUGAGCAAAGUAUGUUCUCAUGUCAACCGCAUGCUUGUCAAAAGAGUUGGAUUUAUGGUUCAAAGCGUCAUGAUUGUUGAAUUCACUUGAACCAGGCAUGUUUCUUCACGGAUUUUUGUAUUCCGUCUUAUACCAGUUGUUUAUGCUGGUUUUUUGCAGAUAUUUAAUUGGGCACCUCACAAAGUCGCAAACUUUGCAGGAGUUAUAGCCUUGUUGGCUGGCAUCACAAUGUGGGUUACAUCUAUAAGUUGGGUUCGAAAGAGAUACUUCGAGACUUUUUUUUGGGUUCACCACCUCUAUAUUGUAUUCGUAUUCUUCAUGGCCUUCCAUGUCGGAGGAGUUCUCUUCAACGUGGCAUUUUGUGGAAUAUUUUUAUUUGUCUUCGAUCGUUUUCUACGCUUCUGCCAAUCACGGGGCAAUGUUGGGGUCCUCACAACCAAGUUGCUGGCUUGUGGAAUCUUUGAACUAACAUUAAUCAAGCCCCCAGGUAUUUUGAAUAUCUCUGCUUGUUCCUGGUAUGCUUGUUGGUGUGUGGUAGCAUAUCCUCUUGACUGAGAGCAAAUUUUGAAAAUUUGGUGGUUUGAUACUUGUACAAUGCUCUAGAGAAGAUAGUCUAAUCUACACUUCAGCUAUGGAUAUAUGAGUUGUGGCUAGUGGAAGAUAUUUCAUUUGGAUUACGUUGAGAUGGACAUCAAGAUCUUCAUUGUGCAGGUAUAAAACUUCACGCAUUAAAUUACAUUUAUCUCAAUAUUCCGGAAAUCUCCAAAUUAGAGUGGCACCCGUUUAGUGUGUCCUCUAGCCCAUACGAUGGUGACAACUGGCUGAAGGUGUUGAUAAAACCUUCGUACGGAGGUUGGACACAUCGAUUACAAGGACUUGUCUCAGAUGUUGUGAAACGGGGGCGGUGCCCUUCAAAUAUCAGCGCUGCUGUUGAAGGUCCUUAUGGUCACGAGUCUGAUUUCUUUCUCCAGUAAGUUGCAAAGGUGCUUCAAGACAUUAUUCAUUGCUAUUUACUUCAUGUUAUACAAUAGCCUUCACCAAUGGUUUGGAUCGAAACAUGUUUUUUUAGCAAUUUGUCUCAAUGAUACUCUAAUUGGUCUUACUUAUUCUAGCAGUACAAGUCUCGUGUUCGUGGAACACGUACUAGAGUUGUUUAUCCAGAGAAGAUAUUACAAAAGCUGCGUCGGCCUGAAAAGCACUUCGUCUUGGGCGCAUGAUUGAACUAUGUCGAGUGAAUCUGAAAAGGAAGAAUAAUUUGCCCUGCAGGUAUGAGACGCUUGUACUGGUUGCGGGAGGAAUUGGCAUUUCUCCUUUUGUGGCUGUUUUGCGUGACUUGCUUCAGCGAUAUCAGCGGCAGCAAUCCAAUCUUCCAUCGAAUGUACACCUUAUUUGGGCAGUACAAAAAUCAGAGGAGCUUCAACUCCUUGAUUUAAUACCCGCAUCUGCAAUCUGUCCCGAUUACCGACUGAAAUUCAACCUUCAAAUUCAUGCCUUCGUGACACGCGAGAGUUCUCCUAUUAGUUUAGAAUGUAAACCUGAAGCACCUGCUUCGCAUCUGGUAGACCAAUUCAAGAAGUCUCGUAUUUUAGCAAGUGUCAGCAAUGCAGAAGCUUUUAACAAACCUAUGUCAAUGGUAGCGGGCACUGGGAGUAAUCUCUGGAUUACUUCAUGUUUUCUUGCUUCAUUACUAGGGUACAUUGUUGUUUACUUCUCGAUUUAUUACUUUGUAGUGCAGCCAUUUGAACAAGAGUCCGCUGGAGAUGGGAAGCCUCGUGAAGGUUUACCCCGGUGGGUCAAGGGUCUGUUCAAUGUCAUCAGCCUGAUAUUGGGGGUAGCGAUAUUUGGAGGAUUUGUAGCAUCAUUGUGGAAUUACUUGGGUAGGCUGCAUCAGGGUCUUUCAGAAAUUGGCGACGAGAACUCUCGGCUUUUAUCUAUAUCAAAUACCGAAGACACAGUCUACGCGAAUGAGAGUGCAGACUGCCUGGUGCACCCAUCAAACACUCAUUUUGGACAAAGGCCUAACUUAAGAGGUAAGUUAUUGGUUCUACCUCUUAUUCUGGAACUUGGUUUCUAAGAUAAAUGGUUGUUUUUUUUGUCGUACACUAAUCCAUAUUAUGUCAACUUUGUACGGAUAGCUAUAUUGAAAUUGCUGCAUACUUAUAUUAAUCAGAAGGCACGGUUCCAAAAACGACCGAAAUAGAUCAGAUGAUUCUCGAGACAGAACAGACAAACGUGGAACGUUGUCUUUGGUUGUUUGUGUGGCCGCAUCGCUGUGUUCCCUGAUUUGUGAAAGGUGUUGGAAUCCCUUUGCAGAAAUUUUUGAUGGUUGUGCAAAGUCGCAACAACCUGGUGCAAACAUUGGAGUCUUAGUUUGCGGUCCUGAAAGUCUCCAGAUCAGUGUCGCUGAAACAUGCAGAGCUUUCAACAAUAUUGACUACGAUUUGCACAAAGUGGCCUUCAGCUACCAUUCUCUUAGCUUUGAUCUGUAAGUUCCCCUUUGUAUGUAUAUGCUGAACACACAUUUUUACAGUAGGCUCAGAAGUUCACAUGUCUUCACCAGACGUGGUCGCCACAAUUGACACUUCAAUUUUUCUUCCACCCUUAGAAAGUAUGAAGCUGACUGUGAUUUGGAGAAUUAGGUGAAUGACCUAUCUAGGUGUAAGAUGUGAAGCUUAGGUUUUGUAUGAUCUGUUGCUGAAGAAUAAUGUAAAUGCAAGCUGUUGAUUGGAUCAGAGUUGUCAGGCUACUAUUAUUGUUUCUUAUUAGUGUUUUUAAGUGGAAGACAUGGAGUGAUUUUUUGGUGUGCUUAUUUAUAAUAGUAGUCCAAGCGUGACAAGGGUGAUGAGCUCAAGUGAAGGUAUAUUAUCUCAAAGUUAUAGUAUAUGUAAAAUAAUUAAACAUGUGGAGUUUGAUAAUUCCUCUGGUAAGAUUGGCGUUUUAAUUUGGAUUAUAUAUAUAUAUAUAUAUAUACAUAUGUUACGAGACAUUUAUGUUACAUGUGCAAGACUCUUUGGCACUUGUUUUUAUGAAGUGUAAAAAUAAAUUUGUAGCAAAUGAUUUUGCUUUUUUGCUGGGGGUUUCUUAAGCUUUGAAGAGUAGCAAGCGGAUGGUUGGAAACAGGGAGUGAAGAGAAAAGAGAAAAUCCUUCGCCAAAACUAGACCUUAGGGAUGAUAAUUAGUCAAAUGCCUCACAAGAUAUUCAUGGUUAUAACACAAUAUUCAAGGUUUGACUUAGAUGUAAUUUUUCCAAAAUAUAUGAUAAUACUAGAUAUAGUGAAUAUUGUAUUAUAAUCACAAAUACUUCAUGAGAUAUGACCAAUGAAAAAUAUAUAAUUUAUAAAUAAAUAAAAUUGUAUGUUUUCAACACUUGUAAUUAAAUAAAUAUUCUAAAGUGAUUUAUCUUAUUUGUUGUUGAUGUUUUUAUGUUUUAUUGGAUAGCAAAGAUUAAACAUAUUUUAAAAUAAUAUUAAAGAUAAUUAAAAUAUCUAUAAUUCAACUUUAAACUUUUAUUAUUUUAAAAACUUUUUGAAUGUAAUACAUUGUAAUUAUUCAUGCCUUUCAUUGAAUGCUGAUUUUUAACAAUCUCUAUAAAUAAUCCCGUAAUAUAGUAUAAUUAUUAAUUGAUAAGAAAUUGUAUAAAUAAUUACUUUAAUUGCAUAUAACCAUUUAUGAAUAUUUUAAUGCCAUGAACCACUUAUUUAUCAAGACCAAUAUUUUAGAAGCCAUAUUUAAAUAUUUGUAUUAAUUAAUAAUUGAUAUUAAAACAAAAUACUUGAUUACAACAAAUGUUUUGGUUUUAGCUUUGGUAUGUAAAUAAGAUAAUUCAAAUUUUAUCUACUUAUUUAAAAUAUUCUUUUAAAUAUCUCUUUAAUAAUUUGUGAAUUCCACCAACGUUAUUUAAUUGGUGAAAUUAUUAAUAACCAAGUUUUAAGAUUGUUUGGAUAUAAAAAAGAAAUAAAGAUUAAAAAUCUUAUUUGAUUAUCCAAAUAUUGUUUUAGGAUUUAGAAGAGGUCUAAUAAAUUAAAAGAGUCUUGUUAAGCAAAAGAUAUAAAAAAUGAACUUUUAAUAAGUCUUAGAAAUAAUUAUCUUAAUUAUUUUAGUAUUUUUUCUUAAAUAUGAUAAUUUGUGUUUAGUUUCAAGAUCAAUGACUUAUAUGAUAUUCUACUCAUAUGUAAUUCUUAUUAAAAUCUUAUUAACUUUAGUUAAUAAAUAAAAGAAGCAUGAGAAAGAAACUCCAUGAUUUUUUUGUAAUUUUUAUAAAAAUUAGGAUUUUUUUAUUGAUUUGAAUAAAUUUAUUGCUAUAAAAUCUCCAAGAGGAGAAAAAAUUAGCUUAAAGAUAAUAUUAGCAUCUUAAAACUAUUAUUGGGAUUUUUAGAAUUUAUUUAGAAUUUAUUUAAGAAUUUUUAGGACAUAUUUUAAAGACUUUGGUAAUUUUUUUUUCCACUCUAGGUAUUGACAUAAAUCAUAAAAAAAUUAAAAAAAAUUAAAAUACACUCUUAUAUUUUCAAAAGAGAGAAAGUAGACAACUAAAAGAUAGAUAUAGAAUUGAACUAGAAUAUCUAUAGCCAAAUAUAAAAUGACUAUGAAGUCUUAGACCAAUGUACAACUCAAAAAAGAUAUUGGCAAUAGUGAAAAUGGCCUCACUCUUGUCUCUAUACAUAUUAGCUAUUAAAGAAAUACAUGAUAAUGUCCUAUGGGCCAUAUGACGCAUGUCUAAUUUGCAAGACAAGUUUCCAACAUGUGCACCACAUAGCCAAUUUGUAAUACAAGUGGCUUAAUGUACGACAUAUGGCCAACUUGUUAGCUAAGUUGUCAACUUACAAAUCACUUGUAAACACAUGUUAAGUUUACGAAGCUUUUGGAAAGCUUCUUAAUAAGAUGUCUAUAAUUCAAUCUAUUUCUAUUUAUUUCUAUCUUGUUUUAUUUAUCUAAGUAAAUAUAUUAGUGAAUAUGGCUAUUUAUUAUGUUAUCCUCUAUUCUUGCCAAUAAGUUCUAUAAGGAAUUAUGUCAAUGUUUAAUAAGCUGUUGAAGUCUAAAAUUAAUUGAAUAGUAUUAGCAAGAAAUUUUAAUAUUUACAGUGUACAAAGAUAGUUUGAUAGGUUUUUUUAUCCAUUGAUAAUACCCUAUAACACAUAAAAUAGACCAUCAAGUUAUUUGAUCAUUAUUGAGGCUUUUAACUUAUUUGAUCAUUAUUAUGAUUUCCAUGUGUAUAUCUUCAUAUCAUAUUUGAGCCAAGAUAUGAAAUGUUCUAAUUUUUUUGGCAUCACCUUGAAUCCAAGACCUCCUCUAUUUCAAACUCUUUGUUGUUAUCUAUUCUAAUAGAAGAUGGUGGUGACUACUUUCUUCUUAAUAUGUUGAUUGUUGUUUAAGGCUUGAUAAAAGAUAUAUAAAAUACACAAUAUAUCCUUAUUGGUAGUGGUAAUGGCUAUUGAUAUGCCACUAAAAUAGUUUAUUUCUUGAUAAUAAAUAAAUCAAGUCUUUAAUAAUCCAACGUGUCACAAGGUUGAUUAGUCUUGAUAUUACAACAAAGUAAUUAUACUUUAUCACCAACUUUAAAUAAAAAUUAUUCUUUCUAAAAACAUUUAUACAUUUUUUUUUUUAUUGUUCUUGUAGCUCUUAAAAUUUUAUCUUUAUUAUUUUGUAAAUUUCUAUUAUUAUAAUUACUAAAUCCUUUCAUUUUGGAUUUUUAAUUUUAAAAAAACUAAAAUUAUCAAAUUAUAGAUAAUAACUAUGAUUGGAAAAAAAUGGAGUAAAUUGAGUAGAAGAAUGUAUCCUAUUAUUAUACAAAAUUUUACUAACGGCAAGAAAAUUAUCCAAUUGUCUUAGUAAAAAUUGAUGAUGUAUUGCAAAUAUUGUUUUAAUACUUGAUUCAAACAUUUUAUUUGUCUAUCAAUUUAAGGAUGAAAAAUUAAUGACAACUUGAUAUCAACUUGUAAUAAAUUAUAGAUUAUAAUCCAAAAUCUUGAUAUGAAUUAUGGCUUGUAAUCAAAUAUAUUUUUUAUUAAAAUUCUAUGAUAUUAAUAAAAAUUAUCUAAAACGAAUUUAAUUAUUUUUAAAUUCAUAAUAGUUUUUUAAAAUAAUUUAAAAUAAUUAAAUAUAUUAAUUAAAAAAAUUCACCAUUAAAAAGAUGGAAUUAUAAAAAUUUUAAAUUAAAUAUUUGUAAUAAAAUCUAAUGAAACAAAUGACUAAGGUUUCUUUAAAUAAAAAAGUAUUAAAGAAGGUCAAUGAGAUAGUAUCUUUGUUCUAGAACAAGUAUUGUAUGAAUGAACAAAUGUUUUUACUUCAUUUAUCAUUUGACGCCAUUAAGAACCUCUUGAAAUAAGUUCUAAUAUUUUAUUAUAUUGAAAAAUUUUAUUGCCAAAAAAUCAUGUUGUGCUUGUAAUGCAUGUAAUUUUAUUUUAGCUUUAAAAAUAUAUAAACAUAUUUUUAAAUAAAAGAUGUUAUCUUUGAAUUUAAUUUUUUGAAAGCCAUUAUAAAGAUUAUUUUUAAUAUCAAAAACCAUUAUGGACAUACAUAUUUAUUCUAAAAAUUAUAUAUAUAUAUAUAUAUAUAUAUUAUGAAUAAAUAUAAAUAGAUAAGAAUAAAUAAAUUUCAUAAUAUCUUGUAGAAAUGCUUCCUUAAAGCUUCAUAGACGUGAUUUUAUCUUUAUACAUGUCUAUAGGUGAUUGGUAGGUUGAAAAUUUGGCCAAUAAUUUAGCCAUGUAUUGCACAUGCUGGUGGCUUAUAAUUCAAGCUAAUCAUAUGGCACAUAUAUAUAAAACUUCUAAUGCAAGUUAGAUACAUGUCAUGCUAGUUGAAUACAUAUUGGAGGUCUUAUUGAACAUUGCCACAUAGUUCUUAGUUAGAUAGUAUAUAUAGAAGUAAGAAUGGGGCCUUCCUCACCGUUAUCAAUUCUUUUCUUAUUUCAAAUCUAGUUUUGAGAAUCUUUAGAUUUUUAGUCUUUAGCAAUAGCCAUUUCAAUUUCUUCUUGAAUAUACAUACUUUUUUAUUUUUAUUUUGUUAAUUCUCUAUAGUAAAUAUUUUACUUAUUUAUGUAUCUUCUUUGAGAUCUUUUCUUUGAAUGUUUGAUAAGAAUACAUUUAUAAUAUGAAAGCUUUGCCUUUUUAUAAAAAUUAAGAGUGGAUUAUUAUUUUUUCUUGAUAAGACAUAAGCAUAUUAGAAAUUGUAAAUUAUCCACUUUUAAAUUGAUAUCUUUGUAGUAUUUUCUUUAUUAUUAAAUUAUCUCUUUUACUAUCAAGGACAUGAAUUUCAAAUAAAGAAAAUCCUCAACAUACUCUUGUAUCACUAAAAAGAACUAGAAAGUCAUUGAAAGAUGAUAUAAUAUUGAACUAGAAUAGUUAUUGCCAAAAAGAAGAAGACUAAAAAGUCUUGAAAGAAGACUAAGGACUAGAAAGGCAUUGACAAGAAUGAAGAAGGCUUUAUUCUUGCCUCUAUAUAUACUCUUAACUAGGAGUUAUAUAGCAAUGUCCUAAAGGUCCUCCAAAAUAUGUUGACUUUACAAGACACAUAUCUUAAUUUGCAAGGCAAGUUUUUUAUAUGUGCAUCACAUAGUUAACUUAUUCCACAAGCUACCAAUAUACAGUUAAUUUGUUGACGAGGUUUUUGACCUACCAAUCAAUUACAAACACAUAUAAAGUUAAGCAGCAUCUAUGAAGCUUUUAGGAAGCUUUUCUAAAAGGUCUUAUGAAAUUAACUUACUUUUAUCUACUUUUAUCUAUUCCUACCUAAUCAUAUAUAUAUUUACUAGAAUAUUUAUGUAUAUAUGUGACAUUACCUCCCCCUCCCCUUUUAGGAAUGAGUUCCACUAGGAAAAAUUUUCACAUGUUGAAAAAAUCUAAGAUACAACAAAUUGUAUAUGUCACAUACUCCAAUCUUUGUUUUCUUUGAAGAUGGUUGAUAGGCCUUCUCAGCCAUCGAUAGUGUCUCAUACCAUAGCAAGAAGACCACUCUAUUAUUUAGUUGUUGUUGAGGCCUUUGUAACUUCUUUUAAAUAAAACAUUUAGAACACUAUUAAGAGUUGUUCCUACCUCUAAUAAAAUCACCAAACAUCUAGAGUCUCUUUCAAGGUUGUGAUACCAAAUACAUUGAAUUUUGCCAUCUAUUCAAAGAAAGACAUCUUGGUCUUAAAGUUCUUCAUCUCGAUUUCAUUGUCUUGAAGGUUCUAAAAAUUGCAAUAUUUCAUUUGAUAAGUCCACAAAAAAAAGUUCUUGAGUUAAAUCUGCUAGUUGUUGAUUCUCCAUCUCCUUAACUACACAGAAGCUACAAAGAAGGAUAGAAGGUAGAAUGUUAUCUUCCUUUGUUCUUAUUUCUUUUAUAAUAAAGAUUUGUAUUCUUUAUCUUGAUUUUGAUGGAUGUUAUUGAUAAAAGCUUCAAUUCUCUUUGUUGCAUUUAUAAGAUUCUUUACUCGCUUCCAUGUGCAUUCACUAAUAUCAUAUGCAUGCAAAUGAACAAGAUAUUCUAAUCUAUUUCAAUGUUGCCUUAAAUUUAAGACUUCUUCUACCUCAAAUUCUUGAUUAUUAUCCACUUCUAUAGGAAGAGGUGGCAUUUGUCUUCUUUCUGAGAUAUUCAUUGUCUUAUAUGGCUCAAAAAGGGAUGCAUGAAAUAUAAGGGAUGCAUGAAUAAUAUUAUAUGGCUCAAAAAGGGAUGUAUAAAAUAUAAGAGAUGUAUGAACAAUAUUGUAUGGCUCAAAAAGGGAUGCAUGAAAUAUAAAAGAUGCAUGAACAAUAUUGUAUGGGUCAAAAAGGGAUGUAUCAAAGUCUUUGAAGAUCCAACUUGUUACAAGGAUAAAUAGUCUUAAUAUUAUGAUAAAGUAAUCAUACCUUGUCACCUACGUUGAAUUGUGGUUGCUCCUUAUGAUAUUCAUCCAUGUUGGUCUUUUGUUGUUCUUGAGCUUCUUUUAAUUGUGUCUUCAUUAUUGCAUGUAGCUCUGAUAAACAAUUUACUAAAUCUUCUGUCUUAAGAUUAUAAACUUUUGAAAAGUUAAAAAUAUCAAGUUAUAGAUGAUAAUCAUAAUUGGUAAAAAAAGGUGUUUCUUGAAUAGAAGAAUAUACCAAAUUAUUGUAUGCAAACUCUGCCAAUGGCAAAAGAGUUGUCCAAUUGUCUUGAUGAUAGUUGAUGGUACACCUCAAAUAGUGCUUUAGAAUUUGAUUCACCCGUUCUGUUUGCCUAUCACUUUGAGGAUGAAAAGCUAAAGAGAGCUUUAUAUCCACCUUUAAAAUCUUAAAUAGGAUUUUUAUUAAUCUUGAUACAAAUUGAGUCCCCCUGUUUGAUAUAAUAUCCUUUGGCAAUCCAUGAUUACAAUAUAUAUUGUCAAAUAAAAGCUUAGCUAUUUCUUCACUUGAAAUAAAUUUUGUACAUGAUACAAAAUAUUAUAUUUUGGAGAAGUGAUAUACAGUUACAAAUAUAAAGUCAUAUGAACUUGAACUUGGAAGAUUUGUAAUAAAAUCCAUAGAAAUGAAAGACCAUGGUUGUUCGGGUAUAAGCAAUAGUUGGAGGAGUCCAUAAGGUUGAUGACGAAGAGUUUUUGAUCUUGAACAAAUGUCACAUGAUCGGACAAAGUCUUUUAUCACCUUCUACAUUUGCAGCCACCAAAAAUCUCUAGAUAUAAGUUCUAAAGUCUUAUUGUAUCCAAAAUAUCUUAUUGUUAGAAAGUCAUGACGUACUUGAAGAAUACAUAAACAUAAUUCUCUUUGUGGAAUACAUAGGCGUUCUUUGAAAUAGAAUAGGUUGUUCUUAAACUCAAACUUUGAAAUAUCAUGAGACUUAGAAGAAAGAUUCUUGAUAUCAUGCAUAAGAAGAUCAAAAGACAUACUUGAUUGAAUUUAUUUCACAAAUAUCAAAUCAACAAUCAAUAUUGAUUUCAUUACUUGAAGAUGAAAAUGCUUUGGCUUCAAGAAGAUUAUUCUUUGUUGAUCAAAAGAUAUGUUUUUUUCUUUUGAUAUAAGAUAAGAGCAUUUAGAAAGAGUAUCUGAUAAACCUUUUUGUUCUUUAGGUCAAUAUGUGAUCUUGAAAUCAAAUCUUAAUAAUGACAUGCUCUAACAAACUUGGUGACAAUUCAAAACACGUGCCAACAUGAAAUAUUUAAGAUUCUUUUGAUUUGUAUAUAUUGUGAUUGAAUUUGAAGAGCCUUCUAAAUAAUGAUACUUUCAUAGUAAGAAUCUACUUUAGAUAGAUUUAAGAUCCACUUUUUAUUCAAGUUGGAUCCAAUAUGCACAAAACCUUCUUAAAUUCUCCUUUGAGUAUUUAUAAAACUAUAUUUAUAAUAAAUCAACAAAAUUUAAGCUUAAAAAUUCAUAAUCCAAGUUCUAACAAUUCAAAUAAGCUUAAAAUUUAGGAAUACGGAAUUUAUAUCUUUGAUCAUUAUUAAAAAAACUAUUGGCUACAAAUUUGAUACCGAUUGUCUGAUAUCACCAAAAUCUUAGAAAGUACUUUUGAAAGUUAAAACCAAACUAAAAACUUGAAAAUUCAUAUGCCAAGAUCAAGCCAUUCAAAUAAGUUCAAAAUUUGGAGGUACAAAACUUACAUCUUUGAUCAUCAUUAUAUAAAAUUUUAGCUACAAAUUUAUUAUCAAUCUUUUGAUAUUACUAAAAUCUUAGCAUGUACCUUUGAAAGUCAAAACUAAAUUGGAAACUUGAAAAUUCAUAUCCCAAGAUUUUGUCAUUCAAAUAAGCUUAAAAUUUGGGAGUACAAAAUUUACACCUUUGAACAUUAUUGUACAAAUUUUUAGUUGCAAAUUUGUUACUAAUCGUCUGAUAUCACCAAAUUCUUAAUAAGUACCUUUGAAAAUCAAAACGCUAGAUACCUAAGAAUAAAUUUUACCAUUUCUCCAAAGUUAGAGUCUCAAUUGACAUGAGAUUUUAGACAUAGGCUCUUUAUAUUAUAAGUGACAUGUAGACAAAAAAUAAGCUUCAAAUUCGUCUUGAAGCUCAAGUUCUAGCUUAAAACCAAAAUCCUCUAUUUUUCUAAUUUCUUCAAAAUCCUAGUUUUAGUUUGCUGAUUUUAACUAGCUAUAUCUCACAUAUUCUAGACUCAAUCCUAUUAAUCCUUAAAUGUAAAAUUUUCAACUUAAAGUCUAGUUUUUAAUCCAAUUACUCGAUUUCUUACUAGUAUAUUAAAACUCCUAAUAUGCAUGGAAAAGUGAUAGUAGUUAUCAAAUUAAUAGCCUAAGUUUAAACAAGCAUAAUUCUCUCAUCCGAGCUUCAAUUCAUUUUUUUUUCCCACCUAAAUUCAUGCCAAUUAGCUCCUUUCUUUGAAUACUUCUUCUCUACUUGCCUAAAAAAAAUCCUCCUUGCUUCCAAACUUGCCAAAGAAGUCACAGUCAAGGUCUUUAAAGUCCAAGUCAAAAACUAAUAGUUUAAGUUAAAUAAAUACCAAAUCUAAUCCUCUAAGUGAGCACUAUUAAUGGCAGCCAACCAAUUCUAUUCAAACUUCCAUUUAUCCUUAAUAAAAAUCUAAAUACAAUCUCAAAGUCAAAGUUCUUCUUACAUCUACAAAUAUAACUUUGAAUCUACUAAAACCAAAGAUUAGAAAGAAAGUAAAAUUAAUAAAAGAAGUUUUUAAGGCUAAACCAAAGAUAAAGUUAAGGUUAGAGAUAAAAAAAAAUUUAGCCAAAAUUUUAGAAAAGAAAAAAGAAGAAAGUGGUAAAAUUUCUCCAAAACCAUAGAAAAUCUAAUUUGAUAAGAAGAAAAAAGAACUUAAUGAAAGUUUGAAGAAAAGUAAGUCAAGCAAGGUUUCUAUAUAUGAAUGUAUUUACAUCAUAACAAUGCCAUUCUUCAAAUGAAUCCACAAUUAUAAAAAGUUCUUUGAUGUAGAUUUUAUAAUUAAUCUUGGCUACUAAAAAUUUUUUGGAAUGAAAAGCUACUAGAUGGAAUUUAUCAUCUGUUCCCAUUUGCAACAAUACUACAUCCAAGGCAAAGUCUAAUACAUCUAUUUCCAUAAAGAAUGCCUUAAAAAAAUUGACGUGAUACAAAGUUGGUACAAAAGUAUUUUUUUUUUUCAAAGUAAUAAAUGCUGCUUCAACUUCUUUAUUCUAUUUAAGUUUGUCUUUAUAAGUCAAACAUGUAAGUGGAGCUACAAUUUGAGAAAAUUUCUUAAUAAAUAUUUGGUAAUAAUUGGCAAAGCUCAAAAAAUAUUGCACAUUACUUAUUGUUUUUGAGAUCUUCUAAUCUAUGAAAGCUUGGAUCUUGUUUGGAUCUAUCAUGACACCUUUAUUGGAAAUGAUAUAUUCCAAAAAAUCAACUUGAGUAGUAUGGAAUAUACACUUUUUCAUCUUCAUAUAUAAUCUUGCAUCUCUUAUUUUUAGUAACAUACAAUGAAUAUGAACUUCAUGCUCUUUUGUAUUCUUAGAAUAGAUUAAAAUAUCAUCCAAAUAAUAGAUGACAAAAUCAUUAAGAAACUCACAAAAGACAUCAUUCAUUAGAUUUGAAAAGCAGUUGGUACAUUCAUGAAUUUAAAAGGCAUGAUGUUAUAUUUGAAAUAUCCAUAACUAAUUCAGAAAGUAAGCUUCUAUUUAUCUCUAUUUUUGAUGCGGAUUAGGUUAUAUACUACUUGUAGAUUUAAUUUUGUAUAGAUCUUUGUUUAAUUUAGUUGAUCAAAAAGUCUUGAAAUCAAAGGUAGAGAAUACCUAUUCUUGAUGGUGAUCUUAUUAAGUCCUCAAUAAUCCACUCACAUCCACAAAGAUCCACCUUUUUUCUUCACAAAUAAGAUAGGAGUGUCAGUUGGAGAUUUAGAAUGGCAUAUAAAGUUCUUAGCCAAUUUUUCAUCAAUGUACUCUUUGAGUGCACCCAAUUCAUUUUGUAAUAGGCUAUUGAUUGGUCCAAAUGAUAGUUGAGUUCCUUCUUGAAGAUCGAUGGUACAAUCAUAAGGAUGAUACUCCAAAAGAAUAUUUGCAUUCUUUUUUUCAAAAACAUCUUAGAAAUCUAGAUGCCGACUAGGAAUACCACUUGAUAUCUUCUCACCAUAAGCAAUGGGCAUGGCAUAUAUAGCAAAAUAUGGUCCUUCAUUUGCGACAUGUAUGAAAGCUCUCGUACCUACUAAUAAGAGUUUGGAUGUGCUAGACUUAUGGAUUUUUACUUGCCUAGUAUGACUUUGGACUAAACUAUGGAAGAAAUCAAGAUUACAAGAAAUCCAAUCUAACUAAGAGUUAUAUCUUUCUCAUCAUGAUAAUCCUAAAAUGAUUAGAUUAGAAGAAGGUUUAAUGACAUUAAAUAUUACUAAACUAUUGUAACUACUAGUUGCUACUUCUAUAGGAAUAAUUUCAUAUGUAACAUCUCCAGAAGACAAUAAAUAUCCAUCUAUUACUUCUACAUGUACAUAUUUGAUUUUUUUAAUCAAGAAUAUAUUUUAUUUUUUGACAAAAUCUUCAUCUAAAAAACAAGUUGAGGCUCUUGAAUCCAACAAGGCUAAGACUUUGUAAUUUUUUGGUCUCAAAAAAACUUCUAUUAUAAAAUAAGAUGAGAGAUCAGAGAAGAAAAUAAGAUCUUUAUUAGAUAUUGUAUAUGAUUCCAAUCACAUAGUCUCUAUUGUAAUUGGAGCACCUCGUUUUCUGACACAUUGUCUUUUUUGGCAAUCGUCAUUCUCAUUUUGUAAUUGUGAUAUUUCUUUGGAUAAUGUUGAGUUGUAUGUUUAGCUUCUCUACAAUAUAAGCAUAAGCCUUCUUGACGUCGUUAAUUCUUUUCCUUCUCUGUGAGGAAUUUAAAACAUAUCAUAUCAAUUUGCAUUGGUUCUGACUUUGAUAAAUAAGUUUUUGAAAACUUAGGAGCUACCAUCAUUAUUUGAUUUGUUCUUCUUAAGCCAUAUUUUUAUUCUUGACAUCUUUCAAAUAAUCAAUUGUUUUAUGUAAUGGCUUUAACAAUAAAUUAUUCCAAAGAUUUUAUCUUUAGUAUUGUCAGUAGUAAGUCUCUGACAUUAUCCUUCAAUACAUAUCAAAAUUGAUUGAUAAGGGCUUUGUCAUUCUAAUCCAUGUCGCAAGUGAGGUUUUGGAAUUCAGCAACAUAUAUGGUGGUUGACCAUGAUCCUUGCCAUAAAGAUAAGAGCUUGGUCUCUACUACUCUUUCUCAAUCACUUUCUCCAAAUGUAGCUGCAAAUAUUUUUAGGAAUGAAUUCAAAUCAUAAAAGAGUUGCAAAUCAUUUUCUAUUAAAGAUGUAAAUCAACAAAGAGCACUUUGUGAUAGAAGUGUACCUAUAAAUCCAACUUGAGUAAAUCCAUUGGAGUAUUGGAAAAGAUGCAACUUUACAUAGAGCUUAACUUUGUUGCAAAAAUCCUCAAAAUUUUGAUCUUGUUCCAUCAAACUUCUGAAGUAUACUAAUCCUUAUCCUUGUCAUAUUCAUAGAAGAAAAACUCCCUAGAUUUGGUUAUGAGGUCGAUCUACUUGCUUCUUUUAGUUGCACAACUUCUUGUUACAGACUUUGAACUUCUUCUUUAGGUAUAGGCAUAGUACGUCUAUGAUUUAUAUUGGAAAUAUGUGAAAUUUCCACUCUUAGAGUGUUGACAAGCUUAUGAAGAUUUGCAAUAGUUGCAAAUCUAUACUUACUUCUAUUAAGAGUAGCAUCCAUAAUUUUUCUUUCUAUAGAUAAUUCAAACAAAUUCAAAAAUUUAAAUUAGAAGACGAUAAUGUAUAAAUUUUAAUAUAAAUUUCUACAAAGAGAGGUAAUCCACUUUCUUUAAGGAAAAGAUCAAUGUUAGAAAAUAAGAUUUUUUGUUUAAAGGGAGAUGGUACGUAACUUUCAAAAUAUAACAAUAGAAGUAGAAUAAACUACUCAGUUCUAAAACAAAAUAUAAAUAAUAUGUUAGCACUCUUAUCAAAUUGUUAAGGACAUGAAUCUCAAAGAAAGAAAAUCCUCAACACACUCUUGUAUCACUAAAAGGAACUAGAAAGUCACUUAAAGUUGACAUAAUAUUGAAUUAGAAUAGCUAUUGCCAAAAACAAAAAGAUUAGGAAAUCUUAAAAUAAGACUAAGGAUUAGAAAGGCAUUGACAAGAAUGAAGAAGGCUUCACUCUUGCCCCCAUAUAUACUCUUAACUAGGAGCUAUAUGGCGAUGUCCUAUAAGACCUCCAAAACAUGUUGACUUUACAAGAUAUGUAUUUUAACUUGUAAGACAAGUUUUCUAUAUGUGUGCCACAUAGUUAGCUUGUUCUCCAAGCUACCAACACCUAGUUAAUUUGUUGACCAAGUUUUUAACCUAUCAAUCAACUACAAAUACAUGUAAAAUCAAGCAGCCUCUAUGAAGCUUUUAUGAAGCUUUUUUAAAUGAUCUUAUAAAAUUAACCUAUUUUUAUCUACUUUUACCUACUCCUACCUAAUCAUAUAGGUAUUUAAUAGAAUAUCUAUGUGUGUCCAUGAUAUUUACUUGUCUUCAACAAUAUUAGACAUCUUCUUUUUUCUUGUGUGAUUAUGUCAAAUCUUGUUGAAAUAAAGAGUACAAUGGCCCAAAUAUAAGAACAAUUGAAGAAGUUAAUACUUGUAAUGCAUUAAUUAAAUUUACCACUAUAUAAAUAAUGAGAUUAGCAGGAAGUAUAGAAUGAAUUAGUGUUAGAUAACAAAAAAUGUUAAUUUAAAGAUAAGAAGUUUGUAACCUUUUAAAACAUAACAAUAAGAAGUGAGAUAAUCUAACCACUUUUAGAAUAAAAAAAUAUAAUAAAUUAAUAUUCUUAUUAAAUCAUUAAGAAUAUAUACUAUAAUAAAAUUCUAAAAAUAAUAAUGUACUCUUAUAUCACCAAAAGAAAGAAAAUAGACAAUUAAAAGAAAGAUGUAGAAUUAAAACUACAAUAGCUAUUACUAAAUACAAAAGACUAAAAAAACAUCAAUAAGAAUGAAGAAAGCAUUAUUCUUGCUUUAAAAUAUAAUAUCUAUUAUAGAACUACAUGGCAAUGUCCUAUAUAUUAUAUGAUAUGUAUCCAAUUUGUGGUAUAUCUAUCUAAUUUAUAAGGUGAGUUUUCAAUAUGUAUAUUACAAGGCCAAUUUGUAAUACAAGUGAUUAAAUGUGAAACUUUUGGCUACUUUCUUUGUUAAGUUAUCAACCUAUAAAUCAUUUACAAAUAUGUAUAAAAUCUACAAACUUCUAAAAACCUUUUUAAUAAGAUAUUAACAAUUCAAAUUACUUCUAUUUACUUCUAUCUAGUUUUAUUUAUCUAAGUAAAUACACUAAUCCAUAUGGUUAUUCUUUAUAAUGAUAAUAUUGGCUAUAUAAUAAUAUUUUUUAUAUAAAUAUAAAAAUUAAUUAUUUUUAAAAAUUACUUUAUAAAGUUAAUAUAGAUAAUACAUUAUAAUUGUAAUAGUUGAAAUUUGAUUUAGUAAUUUUAGAAUUUUAUGAAAAUCUUUGAGAUUUAAGAAUCAAAUCUAGAACUAAAAAUUUAGAAUUAAGGAUUCAAAUCUUAAGAUGUGAUUUUAGUUUAUAAGAAUUAGAUGCAUAUCUUUGCCUAAGUGAAGUAUACGAGUCCUAGUAGUUGACUUGGAUUUUUUAAAAUAUAGUUAAAAUUUCUAUAAAAAUAAAAUAAAAUAAAAUAAAAUAUAAAAAUUAAAAUAAAAUUUUUAUAUUUUUUUGAAUUUAGGUUGAACAAAGAAAUUAUAUAACUAUCAAUUAUUAUAUUGUAAUUGUCACGGCCAUAAUCAUGUAAGCUAAUAAUUACAUAUAGAAAUAGGUAGAAGUAAGUAAAAGUAGAUAAAAGUAAGUUAAUUCUAUAAUAUUUAAUAUAGAAGCUUCCUAGAAACUUCCUAGACACUGCUUUGACUUCAUAGGUGUCUUUAAUUGAUUUUUUGGAUUAGAAACGUGGUCAACAAGUUGGCCAUGUGCCACACAUGUUGUUAGCUUGAAGAUCAAGCUAACUAUGUGGCCCACACGUAGAAAAACUUGCCUUGUAAGUCAAGGCAUGUGUCCUACAAAGUCAACACAUAUUGGAGGUCCUAUAGAACGUUGCCACGUAGCCCCUAGUUAGAUAGUAUAUAUAGAGACAAGAGUGAAGGCUUCUUCACUCUUGUCAACUCCUUUCUUGCUUCUAGUCCAGGUUCAAGAGUCUUUAGUUUCUUGUCUUGUGGCAAUAGCCAUUCUAGUUUCUUUUUAAUAUACCUACUUGUUUAUAUUUUGACUUAUUAUAUCGAGAUAGCCUUUUUGUGUAUAUUUUCCCUCAUCGAGUCUUUGUCCUUGACAGAUUGACAAGAGUACACUUACAAUAUCAGAGCUUUGUUUUUCUUGAGUGAAAGUGGAUUACCCCUUUCUCUUGACAAGACAUAAGCGUAUUAGAAGUUUGCGGAUUACCCACUUCUAAACUGAUAUUGUUCUUAGUAUCUUCUUUGUUAUCAAGUCUUUCUUUUCUUUUGUCUUGAGCAGUAUCAAACAAAUUUUUCUUAGUGUCAUUAUGGCAGAGCUUGUUAAAAUGAAGAGUGCAAUGGCACAAAUGCAAGAGCAAAUGAGGGAGUUAAUGCUUGCGAUGCAUCAACUCAAUUCACCAACACAUGAAAGAACAAGAAUAGUAGAAAGUGGGGAUAUAGAGAUGAUCGGAGCUGCUUCAACAUCUAUAACAAAUCACGUUCCUUCUCUAAUUGUACAACACCCUGUAAGCACUAGAGAACCCAGAAUUGCCUUAUCCGAGAAAUUUGAUGGUACGAGAUCUAAGUUUCGAGGGUUCAUCAAUCAAGUACAAUUGGUAAUUGAACUUCAACCGCAAAGCUAUCCAACUCCAGGAUCAUAAGUCAGGUUUAUUGGCACUCUACUUUCUGAUUCUGCAUUAUCAUAGUUUUUGUCUUUUCUUGAACAACGAAAUCCAAUAUUAGAAAAUUUGGAAGCUUUUUUGGCGAAGUUUCGAUCUAUGUAUGGUGAACAUGAUGCAACUCAUGUUGCAACAAAUAAGAUCCGAAUUCUGCGACAAGAAAAUCGCUCAGUAACAGUGUAUGCUUCACAAUUUUGACAACUUACAAUUGACAUCAAGUGGGAUGAUGCUGCACUCAUUAGUCAAUUUCUUUAUAGAUUGCAAUACGAAGUAAAGAAAUUGAUGCUCAACUUACCUGAUCCUCAAACUUUGAGUCAAGCAAUCGAUUUUGCGGUAAAAUGUGAUAAUCGACUUUUCGAAUUUCGAUCCAAAAAUCAUUCACGGGAACCUCAACGUUAUUACUCAAUGGCAACAUCAACAUCUUUGCCAAACGUACAUUCCGAAGUAGAAGACAUGCAAAUUGACGCGGUACGUUUUAAACCCCUAACUGAGCAAGAAAAGAUUCAUCGUCGUCAAGAAGGAUUAUGUUUAUAUUGCGGAGAACCUAAGCACACUGCUCAACAUUGUCCAAAGAAGUGACGCAACUAUAAAAUGAGGGGUACGACGGUCAAAGAAAACAACAUGUCGGAAAACGGAUUCGUCCAGCUACAAUAGGGACCAUGUAGCUGGAACCUUGUACAAUUCCUAAUGAAGGUUCUAUCCUCUCCUCAGAACCCUCUCCUUGUUUUAUAAUAGACUUAUAUUUAGGACCUAAGAAUUACAAAGCCUCUGCUUUAUUAGAUUCAGGAGCCUCAGCAUGUUUUUUAGAUGAACAAUUUGUUAAAAGUCGUAAAAUACCUUUUGUACAGAAACCUAAACCAGUACAUGUAGAAGUCAUAGAUGGUCGUCCCUUGUCUUCUGGAGAUGUCACUCAUGAAACUCAUCCUAUAAAAGUAACAAUAGACGGUCAUGAUAGCUACAUAGCUUUUAACAUAAUUAAAUCUCCGUCCAAUCCAGUUAUUUUAGGUUUAUCCUGACUAGAAAAAUAUAACCCUCGAAUAGAUUGGAAUUCGCGUAAACUUGACUUUUCCCAGAGCGUUAUUAAUAGUUCUCCUAACCAAGUAAAAAAUUAUAAGUCUAGUAUAGUAAAACCCGUACUGAUAGGUGCAAAAGCAUUUAUACACGCAGCAAAAGAAGGAUCAACUUUUGCUAUUUAUGCUGCACCUAUUUCUGAAAACGUAAAGACUUCAAGUGGCAUUCCAAGUCAAUAUCAGGAGUAUUUUGAGAAAAAGAAUGCAGAUAUUCUUCCUGAGCAUCGUCCAUAUGAUUGUUCAAUCGACCUCAAGGAAGGAACUCAGCCACCAUUUGGACCAAUUUACAGUUUAUCGCAAGAUGAGAUGGCUGAACUCAAGACAUAUAUUGACGAGAAUUUAGCGAAGAAUUUCAUACGCCAUUCAAAAUCUCCAGCAGGAGCUCCAAUUCUAUUCGUAAAGAAAAAAGAUGGAUCUUUACGAAUGUGUGUUGAUUAUCGAGGACUCAACAAGAUCACAAUCAAGAAUAUGUAUCCAUUACCUUUGAUAUCAGGACUCCUUGACCAGUUGAAUCAAGCUAAGAUUUAUACAAAAAUAGAUCUAAGAGGAGCAUAUAAUCUAGUACCGAUCAAAGAAGGAGAUGAAUGGAAGACUACGUUUCGAACCAAGUAUGGACAUUUCGAAUAUAAUGUCAUGCCCUUUAGACUCACGAAUGCACCAGUUGCUUUUCAACAUCUCAUGAAUGAUGUAUUUCGUGAAUUCUUAGACAAUUUUGUCGUCUGCUAUCUAGACGAUAUCCUGAUCUAUUCUAAGAACGUCGAAGAACAUGAAAUACAUGUUCGUCAAGUAUUACAAAAACUUAGAGAUGCAGGAUUGUACGCCAAGAUAGAAAAGUGUGUAUUUCACACUACUCAAGUUGACUUUUUAGGAUACAUUAUUUCAAAUGAUGGUCUCAUGAUGGAUUCUAAGAAAGUCCAAACAAUCAUGGAUUGGAAGAUUCUAAGAACAGUAAGAGAUGUCCAAUGUUUCUUAGGAUUUGCCAAUUACUAUCGGAUCUUCAUCAAAGAUUUCUCACGAGUUGCAGCUCCACUUACACGCUUGACUAGUAAAGAUAAAUUUCAAUGGAAUCAAGAAGCGGAAGCAGCAUUUGAAGCCUUGUAGACAUCGUUUGUCUCUGCACCAGUCUUAUAUCGUGUUGACUUUUUCAAGGCAUUUUUUAUGGAAACAGAUGCAUCAGAUUUAGCCUUGGGUGCAGUUUUAUCACAAAUGGGAACAGAUGACAAACUUCAUCCGAUAGCUUUUCAUUCAAGAAAAUUCUCAGCAGCCGAGAUCAAUUAUGAGAUCCACGAUAAAGAACUUCUUGCGAUUGUGGAUUCCUUUCAAGAAUGGCGUCAUUAUCUAGAAGGCGCUUCUAGUCCAGUCACUGUGUAUACAAAUCAUAAGAACCUCGAGUAUUUCAUAUCAGCACGCGUGUUGAAUCGUCGUCAAGCUCGUUGGAGUAUGUCUUUGUCAAGAUUCGAGUUCAUUAUCACUUAUCGGCCAGGAAAACAACAAAGUUUGUCCGAUGCCCUAUCUAGACGUUCUUAUUUUGUACCAAAAGAAGGAGAUGCAGCUUUUGAGCAACAGAGAACGGUCUUCUUGAAACUGAAGCAAUUUCAUCUCCGAGCAAUGAAAUCAACAUUGACUGUUGAUUCAACUUUUUUCAAGCAAAUCCAGUCCAGUAUGUCCUCAGACCCUCUUGUUCAUGAUAUCGAGAAUAAUUCUUCCAAGUCUCAUGAUCCUUCUAAGUUCGAGUUCAAGAAUAAUCUAUUAUAUUUUGAAGGACGCCUAUAUGUUCCAGAAGGAGAAGCACGUUUACGUGUUCUUCAAGCACGUCAUGACUUUCCAGCAGCAGGGCACUUUGGAUAUAAUAAGACUUUAGAACUCAUAUCAAGAGAUUUUUGGUGGCCACAAAUGUGAAAGUCAAUCAAAGACUUUGUACAAUCAUGUGAUAUUUGUUCAAGAUCAAAAAUUCCUCGUCAUCGACCUUACGGACUUCUUCAGCCAUUACCUAUAUCAGAACAACCAUGGUCUUCUGUUUCUAUGGAUUUCAUCACAGAUCUUCCAAGCUCAAGAUCUUAUGAUUCUAUAUUUGUGAUAGUAGAUCGUUUCACCAAGAUGGCACACUUUGUGCCAUGUACAAAAUCUAUCACAGGUGAAGAAACAACUAAGCUUUUCAUUGAUAAUAUCUAUCGCUAUCAUGGAUUACCUAAAGAUAUCAUAUCGGAUAGGGGAACUCAAUUUGUGUCGAGAUUCUGGAGGACCCUUUUCAAGAUUUUAAAAGUGGACAUAAAGCUAUCUUCGGCUUUCCAUCCUCAAACUGAUGGACAAACAGAGCGUGUAAACUAAGUCUUGGAGCAGUAUUUAAGGUGUACUAUCAACUACCAACAAGAUGAUUGGAUAACCCUUCUGCCAUUGGCAGAGUUUGCUUAUAAUAAUACGGUACAUUCUUCCACGCAACAAAUACCUUUCUUUGUCAAUUAUGGCUAUCAUCCAUGACUUGAUACUUUUGAUUUUUCAAAAGUUGAUAAUCCUGCAGCAGAAGAUAUGGCAAAUCGGUUGUCAGAGUUACAUGCAAUAAUGAAGACACAAUUGAAGGAAGCUCAAGAACGACAAAAAAUAAACGCAGAUCUAUAUUGUAAGGAGCAACCACAACUCAACGUGGGUGAUAAGGUAUGGCUACUUCGUCGCAAUAUCAAGACUACUCGACCUUGUGACAAGUUGGACUAUCGUAGGCUUGGCCCCUUUUCUGUUUCUGAAUAGAUCAACCUAGUUGCAUAUCGGUUACAUCUACUGGAGUCAAUGAAGAUCGAUCUUGUAUUCCACGUGUCUCUUCUUAAACCAUAUAAGACAGUGGAUAUACAAGGAAGAAGACAAAUGCCACCGCCUCCUAUAGAAGUAGAUAAUAAUGAAGAAUUUGAGGUGGAAGAGAUAUUAGACUCAAGGCGGUGCCGAAAUAAGCUGGAAUAUCUUGUUCAUUGGCGCGGAUAUGAUAUUAGUGAACGCACAUGAGAGCCAUUCAGGAAUCUAGCAAAUGCAUCAGCUAAAGUCAAAGUUUUUCAUCAACGACAUCUAUCGAAACUAAGAUGAAAAUCUCUCUUAUAAAAGAGACAAGAUUGAGGUAAGAUAACAUUCAAUUUCCUAUCCUUGUUUGUAACUUCUUUGCAUUUGUGACGCUAAUUAGAUGGAGAGCCAACAACCAGCGGAUGCAACUCAAGAACCUUCGUUUGCUGACCUGCCGGAUGAGACAUUACGAUUGUCACAACCUUCAAGACGACGCAAUCGAGAUGAAGAUCUUCAAGAACGACAUGUUCUUCCUCGAAUAGAUGGUGAGAUACAACGCGUUUGGUAUCACGAUUUGGGAAGGGACUUCCGAUGUUUGGUAAUUUUGCUAGAGGUAGGAACAACUCCUGAUGGUGUUCCAAAUAUUCUAUUCGAAGAAAGUUACGAAGGCCUCAACAAUGAUCAAAUAACUGGGUGGUCUUCCCGCCCUGGUAUGGGACACUACCGAUGGUUGAGAGGCCCUAUCAAUCAUCUUCGAAGAGAAUAGAGAUCAGAGUAUGUGGCGAAUACAAUUCGUCGCAUCAUAAAUUUCCUCAACAUAUGAUGAUCGCUCUUCGUGGAACUCAUCUCUAAAAGGGGGGUAAUGUCACGGCCAUAAUCAUGUAAGCUAAUAAUUACAUAUAGAAAUAGGUAGAAGUAAGUAAAAGUAGAUAAAAGUAAGUUAAUUCUAUAAUAUUUAAUAUAGAAGCUUCCUAGAAACUUCCUAGACGCUACUUUGACCUCAUAGGUGUCUUUAAUUGACUUUUUGGAUUAGAAACGUGGUCAACAAGUUGGCCAUGUGCCACACAUGUUGUUAGCUUGAAGAUCAAGUUAACUAUGUGGCCCACACGUAGAAAAACUUGCCUUGUAAGUCAAGGCAUGUGUCCUACAAAGUCAACACAUAUUGGAGGUCCUAUAGAACGUCGCCAUGUAGCCCCUAGUUAGAUAGUAUAUAUAGAGACAAGAGUGAAGGCUUCUUCACUCUUGUCAACUCCUUUCUUGCUUCUAGUCCAGAUUCAAGAGUCUUUAGUUUCUUGUCUUGUGGCAAUAGCCAUUCUAGUUUCUUUUUAAUAUACCUACUUGUUUAUAUUUUGACUUAUUAUAUCGAGAUAGCCUUUUUGUGUAUAUUUUCCCUCAUUGAGUCUUUGUCCUUGACAGUAAUCUCAAAUAGACAAAAUUGUUUCUUUUGAUAAAUUAGAUUUUAUUCUCUUUUUACUUCAAUAAUAAUUCAAUAAGUUAUUAAAAUAUAUUUUAAUAAAAUAUAUGUAUGUAUAUAUAAAGUUGUUUUUGUUUUUGUUUUUUGUUUUUUGUUUUGUUUUGUUUUUUUUUUUUUUUAUGAUUAACAAUACAAAAAGUUGUUAGUAUCUAUUAUAUCUACAUGAAUUGAUUCAAGGUUUGAACUAAUAAAAUUCUAAAUUACUUUUAAAGAUAUAGAAAUUAUAGAAACAUAAAAAUAUUACACGAUUGAAAUAUAUGUAUAUCUACAUAUACAUAUUUAUAUAUAUUAGACUGAAUUUUUAUAAAAUAAAAUAUUAAUUUUUUACAAAAUACCUAAAGCCAUUUUUAUUGAAAAUACAACAUAAAAUUUUGUUAAGCUUUAGUCAAACAAGGAUCUUUGAUAAAAAUAUAAAAAUCUUCAGAAAUGCAAUAAAAUAUAGAUUCUAAGGUUUAUAUAAGGUUUUAAAAAUAAUGAAUUUAUAUAAAGAAGUACAUAUAUAGGCAUUUAUAUGCUUUUUUACUACAAAAAAUUAAAAUUAAAAUUAAAAUUAAAAAUCCCAUCUAGUACAACUAAUUCUUAAUCAACUAUUCUUGUUGCUUUGUAGAUUAUGUAUUUAUAAUUUUCAGAAGAAUUUUUGCUAGAAAUUAAAAAAUUAAAAAUAAUUUAUUUAAAUUCAUCAUAUAUAUAUAUAUAUAUAUAUAUAUAUACAUAUAAAAGUUACGUAUUAAAAUUACAUUUUCAUAUUUUGAUUCAAAAUUCUUGACUGAAAAAUGUCUAAAAUUAUUGCAUAUGUUAAUAAACUUUAUAAAGUAUUUAAUUUUACUUGUUAUAUUUAUUUCAUUUUAUUUUAUUUUCUUUUCUUUAAAAAAACUAAAAUCUUGCCAUACCUUGCAAAACGAAUUUGUCAUAAAAUUUAUAUUAAACUCUGUUUACAAACACUGCAUUUGACCAUUUUAUUUGAAAAUAUCAUAAAGGGGUCUUUAUUCUUAGGAGAAAAGAUGGAAGGCCACAAUUUUUUGAAUCCAUUGCUUCGUUAGUGUUAAGAAGCAUCACUUAGUUGACUUCACACCUAGAAAAAUUAAUCCAUGGGUCCAAAAAGAAAAGAGAUGGAAUACAUUUUAUUUCUUAGAUGGCAACUAGUAGUAUUAUCUCCUAAAAUCUGCUUAUCUCAAAAGCUCAUGAGUACAAAAAUUAAAGAUUUUUUCAAAUUUUAUUUAAAACAACCAUUAAAAAGUAAAACUUCUACAAAACUUAUGCUUCUCAGAAUUAUUUGAAUAUAAAUAAGCAAUGCCGUUUGAAAACUUAAAAUAGAAGAAUAAUUUGGUCAACAGUCAAGCCCAGACUCACUAAUUUCUCAUGGUGAUUGUCUUCUUUCCACAAUAGAAAGUGCAACUGAAUCCCACAAAUGAAGAAAGACAACUGCGACUUGACUAGGUAUGUGUUUUCUUUUCUCUUCUUUGCUGUGGUAAAACAUUACACCAAAUUCUAUCCACUUGUAGUCCACGAAGGACAAAGGUGUGCUGCGGUGAAAGGUUACGGCCACUGUUCAGCGUUUUAUGAUCACACUGCACAGAGCUGCAGAGUUCUGACGUAAGUGCAUCUUGGAAUCAACAACAUUAUUCAAUUCCAAAAGUAAAAAAUAAAAUAAAAAACAAUAAAGCUGCAGACUUCGUCCUGCCAGCUUCACCUUUGGACCGAGUCUAAGUUGGCAUGCCAGCACCGAAUAAUGCUGGCUUGUGCUAUUUUUUCAAAGAGCUCUCAAUCAUGCAUCCCUCCAGUGAUUGUGGACAUCUUCAGACGCGGACUAAAACUUUGGGGGUCAGGAGCGGAUCACAUCUAAAUUCUGACCGCAUCCAUUGCAUCACUCAGACCUAGCCCAUUUGUGCCGGAGUGAUGUUGGUGCAGCUUCUUGUUGGUUCUUGCAGCCCAUUGCAGAUCUCAACGUCCUAAGGCACAAUCCAUAUCUGCUGUAGGAGAUAAAUCAUUUUGCUGCGUUUGUAUUCAAGCUAUAAUAUUGUUUUGGGAGGUUUGUUUGUAGUGCAAGCGUAUUUGAGACGUAUUCGGCGGUACCUUUGCUGAGAGGGAGGAGCAACAGCAGCAGCAGCUAAACGAAUGGCGAUGUUCAGGACUUUUCUACUGGUUUUCAUCUUGUUGUCGCUGUUUGUUGCUUGCAGUUCCCAAACUAUUAGCAACACUGCAUUGAGUGCAGAUUCAACCCUUUGCGGAGUAUCAGGUGGUUCAUAUGCCACGUGCGGUUCGAGCUCUGUAUACUCUGCUGGAUGCUACACUGGCUGUGCAAGAACAUAAUGGCGCUUCCACAUGGAACUGGGUGGUCUGUAGGUGUUUGGUCUGUAGAGAUGCAGGAAUGCAAGUUACUAGACCCGAGAGAGACACUUGCGUGAUAGUUCUUGAAACUCAAGAUGUGAUUGUGUAAGCACAUGCUGCUGCUCCUCGUCACCUGAGGAUGCUGUUAUCGCAGUCCUUGGCUACAGGCGAUUGUGCCGAAGGUGUGAGCUCCUCUGGAAUGCCUAAAGCCAACUUGUUAUGUUCAAAUAAACAUCGGGAUGGAACUUGUGAUGGAAACGCGGCGUUUGUACUUGGUGCCUUGAACCGAUUUCUGAGACGAUAAUAAACUUUCUCGUUGAUUCCCCUGUUUUAUCGAGCUUCCACCCUGUCUUGGGAUGCGCUGGUUUUAUGGGUUGUUGCCAUUCGUCUGCCGUUUAGACUUGCAACAUGUAGCGCGGACCCAGGGUAUGGUCAGCUUCUGGAUCGCAACUUACCAAUCUGAGAUAUGGCAGGCUUGAUUGGUUCAACGCCAGCAUCGUGUUCAGAUCGUCCAAAACCCUACUUAGCCGGGGCAUAGAAAGCAUUCAGUAACGUGUACAGCCGAGUGGGCUGGAACGAACCAGCAUCACCGAGUAGAUAACGAUCUCCCAAGCCCGUCCUUGAUUCUUUCUCUUAAGGUUGAUGUAAUGCUCUUGAUCAAUAUGCAAAAAAGAUAGUGAUCAUAGAAAUCGAACAACUGCUUCAACAGGUUGUAUCAAUGCGCAAACGAUGGUCAGUCAUGGUCGCGUGUAAGCAGUGGUGCAGGAGUUACAGCAUGAAUGAGGGCGAUGUCAUGAAGUGGUCUCAGAAGGGUUCCGUCAUGUGAUUGCUGGUCGUGGGGACUCGCUCGCUGAAGCUGCGUGAGUGUAGUGACGAUGCGUUGUUUCUCGCAUGCGCUGAUGCAGCGUUGAUGGCCGCUUUGAGAAUGACACAGAACAGAAAUUGGGGUAGCAUGGAGGUCCUUCACAGCACGACUUGAGACGCAAAAGGCAACUCAUUCCAAUAGCUCAUGAAACAAAGUACUUCACUCAUGCCUUUUCAUGCUCUUGAGUCUAAUUCGAACACUAUCCGGGAGGAAAAUUGUAUGAUACAUACAAGGUGUGUGUUUAUAUGUAUACUAGUGGAAACUCGUGCAUGUUUAUAUGUAUAUCAGUGGAAACUUGUGCAGUUCGGCAUGAACUGCACUGCAAUCGAAGGCAUUGCCAUCCAUGUAUUUUAACGUUCCUUUGUUAACAUGUUUGAGAAGGCUUCUUUGUCUUCUAUCCCGAGCCGUUACAUAGAAAAGACACUUUUACAUAUGUUUUCUAACCAAUUUUUAACUUUGGCAAAAAUUUGGUUUUUUGAACGUUUCCUGCCAUAGUUUAGGGUUUAGGUUUUAGGAUUUACAUGAACUCGUUUUUUUAUAAAACCUUGUUUUUUAAGAAUUGCUAUAAUAUUUUCUGAAAAUGGGUAUUUGUAAUUUAAGAAAAUGCUUUUUAAACUAAUUUAUGUGUUUUUAACUUCAUUUUUGCAAUAUUGGGCACUUUAUUUGUUUACUUCAUUCUUUAUUUGUUUGCUUGUAUAACUACCUUUCAUAGAUCUUGUACCAAAUUUUAAAUCUUUAGAUUUGUUAUUUGAAAGUUGAUGGAAUCCUUCAUUUGGAUUGUUGUUCAUAAUGUCUAAUUAUGUUCUUUUUGUUCUUAUUUAUUUUCCAUAAAUAUUGUGGUUUGUACCAUAUUAUUGAGUCUUAUGAUGAUUCUUUUAGUUUUAUUUUUAAUAUUAUUAUUAUUUUUUAAAUUUAAGAAAUCUGGUUGAAUUUUGAUAGUGGGUAUAUUUAACUAGGAUUAGAGACAAUUACACAUUAAUAAUAUUUUGUUUCUUUACAAAUUGGCAUAUGCAAAUUGUAUAGGAAUAAAUUUGCUUUAAAGACUAGAAAUAAUAUUUCUUAUUUAAGGAUGAAAACCAUGGUUAUCUUCAAGUUUUUGACACGUGAUCAAAUUAGACAUUGAUAACUUGUAAUGUAUUAAUUAAUUUUUGGAUGAUUUAAUUAGAUAUUGGUAGUUUGUAAUGUGUUAAUUAAUUUUUGGGUGAUCUAAUUAGACAUUGGUAGUUUAUAAUGUGUUCAUUAAUUUUUGGAUGAUCUAAUUAGACAUUGGUAGUUUGUAAUAUGUUAAUUAAUUUUUGGGUGUUGCUUAUACUACCACAAUUUUUCUUAUUGCCACCACAACUUGCCAUCUACUAUACAUCAUUAUAAUAUUUGUUAGUGCCACUACAAAUUGCCCUAAGUUUGCAUUGCAUACCUCAAUGUACUAUAUAGAAUACUAAAAUAAACAUCCAUAAAGAAUGUGCAUUUUAUCCAUUUUGAUGUACAUCAUCAAUAUUAUAUAUUGUACAUUGCAAUGUGCAACACAAGUUUAGAGAAGUUUGUGGUGGUAUUAGUAAAAACUGUGAUGGUAUAUGAAAGAUAGCAAGUUGUGGUGUGAGUGAUAAAAAUUGUGGUUGCAUUAGAAAUAUUCUAAUUUUUGGAUCAAAUUAGUUUAUAUUGGUUUUUAUCAAGUCGUACAAAAAUAUUACCUAAAUUGGUCUUAUCUAUGUAUUUUGUAUCAUAUAUUGCUUUUACAUCUUCAAAAUAUCUAUUGGUAUAAAUGAGAUUUUCUUAAUUUAUUGUAGUAGAUACUCUACAUUUAUUGCUUGUCAUAUUUGUAUAAAUGGAAUAUUUAUAAUUCUUAUAUAAGAAAAAUCAUUGUUGUUGACUAGUUGAUAUUUGACAAAGAAUUUGGAAUUUACAAAGAAAGAUAAAUUACAUAUAAAAUAAUAGCUAACACAUCAUAUUAAACAAAUUGUUUGAGUGUUUGAUAGUAAAAAACUCAUCUCAACUUUCAAAGAUGUAUCAUAUGGCAAGGUUGUUCUACAUCAUAGAAAUUUUCUAUUAGAUUUUACAUUCAUAUGGUGAUUCAUUGAUAAAUUAUAAAUCUUCAAGUAAUUUUUAGAAACUAAUUAAAAAUAUUAGAUACUAUAAAUAAUCAAAGAAUUAAUAAAAAUUAAAUAAAGUAUAGAAAAGAUGGUUUUAAAUAAGUUUAUUAAUUAUUUAAAAGAUCAAAGAUAACUUUUAGAAAUUAAAGGAUAUUUUAAUAAAAUAAUAGAUUGUUAUACUUUUAUAAUAAUUUAUAGACUGAUAUCUAUUUUUGAUGUUGAUAUUAUUUCUAUUCUUGCAUCAUUAUGUUUGUUAAUAUAAUUGCCACUUGAACUUAUUCUCUUAUAUGUCCUUGGUUAAUGGAAUUAAAAUUUGUAGUAAUGGUGCCAUGAUUAUAAUCUAUAUUUAUGCAACUUGACAGAUGACCAAAAAUCACAUAAGAAUCAAGUUAAAUAUGUAGUUUUUUUGACAUUAAAAUGCUAUGAAGAUAUUAAAUCUAAGUUAAUUUUAGUAUUAUUAAAUAAUAUUUUAAAAAUUGAUAGAAGCACAAAUUCCAACACAAUAUGAGCCACACUUAAGAUAAAGUUAGUUAAGUAUCAUAAUAAGUAUUAGAUUUAAAUCCAAUAUGACUUCUUUUGUCAUCUUAACUUCAAUUUUAUUAUAUCCAAAAGUAAAAUAAAAUUAUAAGAAAUUCUAAUUAUAAUCAAUAAAUAAGAAUUAAACAUAUAUUUUUAUUUAAUAUUAAAUUAAAUAUGAAUUAAUUUGUAAAAUAUUUAAAAAAUAAACAUAUAUAGAAACUAAAUUAGAAGAAUUUUUUUUGGUUAUUUUCUUAUUAUGAAUGUUAUUAUGUAAUAGCUUUAAUAUAUAUAUAUAUAUAUAUAUAUAUACAAUGCUUUAAAUAAAUAGAAAAUAUAAAUUUUUUUAAAGAUAAGAUUAUUUUUUGAAAUAUAAUUUAUUAUUUAUAUAUAUAAUAAAAAAUUCUUUUUUUAGAUAAAUAAAUAUAUGUAUAUAUAUUUAUAAGGACUUUAUUAAAAAUAUGUUAAAAAUAAUAAUUAAUCACUUUAUUUUAAAAAUAAAAUUUUUGUAGUGUCUAUUAAAGAAAUAGAACUUUGAAGUCGCAAAAUCAUGGCAAAGAUACAAAGAAUUAUAGAAGGUCCAUACUAAUAGAAUUAGUGGUUUUUGAAGAAUCAAGUCUCAAUGGAUUUGCACAAAUAUUCAAGAAGUUUUUAAAAAUCCUAAAAAUUUCUUGUUACUUAUUUAGAUUUUUAAUUUAAUCUUAUUUAUUAGAAAUAAAUUAUUGUGAUUAAUUAAAUUUAGAUUUUUUUAGGAAUCAAGAUAUCUUUAUAAUAAGAAAUAUCACAAUAAUAGUUUGAAUGUCAUCAUGGUUUUAAAUGUCUAAGACCAUAAAAGCUACAAUCUUUCUAUUUGGUCCAAAUCUAAGGCCUUCAAUGUUAUCCAAUGCCUUCACCUUCAUUGUAAAAGAUGCAAAUGUACUUUUAUGUUUAGCGUUGUCAUAUCACAAGGUGUUUGGCUUGAAAUGUACUGGGCACUUAAUUGUGGAAGAUAAAAGGAAAAUUGCAACAAUAAGUCCUAACAACUCUAAUAGAUUCUUAAAAAAAUUACAAUUAAAGAUUAGUAAAUAAAAUCAAAUUUUAAUCAAAUUCAAUCAAAAUUUCAAAAGAAUUAUAUAAUAAAUAAAAAUUAUUUCUAAAGAUUGUUUAAAGAAAUCAUAAAUAAAUAAUAUAGAAUUCAAAAAUAUAUUAAAAUAAAAAUCUUAAUAAAAUAUUAAAAUAGAAACCUUAAUUAAAUCUUAGUCAAAACCUAAUCAAAUCCUAAAUAAAUCCUAGUCAAAUCCUAACAAAUCCUAAUUAAAUCCUAAUCAAACUCUAAACAAAUCCUAAUCAAAUCCUAGUCAAAAUCUAAAUAAAUCCUAACCAAAUCUUAAACAAAUCUUAACCAAAUUCUAAAUAAAUCCUAGUCAAAUCCUAAACAAAUCCUAACCAAAUUCUAAUCAAAUCCUAGUCAAAUCCUAAACAAAUCCUAACCAAAUUCUAAUCAAAUCUUAACCAAAUCCUAAACAAACCCUAAAAAAACUCUAACCAAAUCCUAAAUAAAUCCUAGUAAUUCCUAUAGCAAAUAUAAAUCUCAAUAACUAAUGAAUGAACUAUUUAUUUUCACUUAAAUUUUACAAACUUCUUGAAAAUUAAAUUGAAAACAAGCACAAAAUUUUUGAAGAAGAUCAAACUCACCAAAAUAAAGAUCAACCCUAAUGUUUGCUUGGAUGUUGCCCAACGUCCUUCUCCAAUCUAAAUGUUGAAUUUCCAGUACCAAUAUCUCCUUAUUGAACUAUUUAAUUUAUCUCAAAUUUCUUGCAUACUUAAGAAAGCAAGUCUUCUACCUACAUACUUAAUUUUUAUUUCAAUCCAACUAAUAGAUUGCAAGAAAACUUAAAAAUCCUCACUAGACCUAAAACUCUAUUUUUUGAGACUUUGACUCACUUAAAUCUCAAUAAUCCUUGAUCCAACCCUUCAAUCAAGCUCAAACUCAUAGCAUAUAUUGAACACAUAUAAAUCCACAAACCUUCAAAAUUUCACCCAUGCAUCUACUACCAAAUUUAUAACAUUCUCCAAAACGUAUCUCCUCUUUUAUUUCACAAAUCCAAAGUCAUCCAAAACAAACCUUAACUUUGCAAAGCUCUUACAAAGUCAAUAAAAAUCUAAAUCACCCCAAAUAAAUGCUCAUUGAAAUCUUACCAAUUUUUCUCUCUAAUCCUACUCUUUAAUCUGCCAAAGAACUCCAAAAUCAUCAUGGAGGUUUGGUUUUGUGCCUUGGGGACUGAUUUCAAUCCUAGUUCAUAACCAAUCUUUUUUGGAUAUUAUUAUCUAGUUUUUUUAGCUAAUUUUUGCUAUAAUUUUUUCUUAACUUCUUUCUAAAUAUGCUUAUAUCAUUUAAUUUUCAAAUCUAUUUUUUUUGCCUUAUUUAUGGCCCUACAAAGUAAGAAGAAGUCAAUUUUCUAAAAAGGUAGUAUUACUACUAAAAGUUUUACUAUCUUCCUAUCUUUUAUUCAUAUUUUUUUACUUUAUCUUUUAACAUGAUUCUUCUAUAAUAAGAUCCAUAUUAUCAUCUUUUAUCAUAUAGUUGUAUUAUAACAUGACAAAGCUUAUUGGUUUUGUAGCAAAUAAGUGUCUAUUAAAGAUUGAACUUUAAGACUAGGUUAACAUCAACUUGAUUAAUCUUAUAAGAUCCGUCAUUUAAAUUUUAAUGUUAAAAAGAUAAUACUUUGUCUUGAAAUUUGUAUUAAAAUUUAGUACUAAAGUAGCUUUUAUAAAAAGUUUUCUAUUACUUGAUUCAUAUUUUUUAUACUUAUAAUUAUAAUUGUUAUAAUUUGAUUCCCAAUUGUCACAGAUAUACAAUUGAAGAAGGUUCAAGAAGGUUCUAGAAGGUUUUAGAAGGUUCAAGAAGGUUCUAAAAGAUUUUAGAAGGUUCUAAGAAGGUUCUUAUAGAUCCUAGAAGAUUCUAAAAGGUUUUAAUAGGCUCUAAGAAGAUUCCAAAAGAUUCCAGUAGAUUCUAAGAAAGUUCUAGAAGGUCAUAGGAGAUCCAGGAGGUUCUAGGAUGCUUUAGAUGAUUUAAGAAGUUGCCAAAGAAAGAUCUUAGGUUUUUUUUGUUUCCAUAAAGCCAUGAUGACAUUCAAACAUGUUAAAAAUGUUAUCAUGGUUUAAGCUUCAUCAAAACUUCUCAAGAAGCUUCUUAGGACCUAGUAUAUAUAGGAGUUGAGGUUGGAUGGAUCCUUAGUCUCGACAACUCACUUCUUAUAGUUUAGACAAGAUCUUCUUGCCUAGUAUUUAAUUAUUAUUUUUAAUAUCGAGCUAACUCCAUUUCUUGAUCUUGAAUCCUUCUCUUGUACAUAGCCCCUAAUAAUUUUACGAGCAUCUUGACGAUUUUGUUAUGAUCUAUUUGGGUGAAUUUUUUUAGUCUUUUCCAAGAAUCUACAAGACUACAAAAAAUAUGUCGGCUUUGUAUUGGAAAAGCUACAAAAAAUUGGAUUAUAUGUAAAAUUGAAAAAGUAUGUAUUUCAUGCACCUCAAGUCGAAUUUUUUGGAUAUAUUAUUUCCAACAAAGGCCUUUUUAUGGAUCCAAAGAAGAUACAAGCAAUCAUCGAUUGGACAAAGUCAAAAACUAUACAUGAUGUCUAAUGAUUUCUUGGAUUUGUAAACUUCCAUAAGAUUUUUAUUAGGAAUUAUUCUAAGAUUGUUGCUCCAGUUAUGCAAUUGACAUGCAAGGACAAGUUGGGUUGGGACUGCAAAGUAGAGAAAGCUUUUCAAAGCUAAAAAGAUGCUUAUACAAUAGCUCUAAUUUUGAUACAUUCAAAUUUCAACAUGUCCUAUUUUAUGGAGAUCAAUGCCUUAGACUUUGCAUUGGAAGCAGUCUUGUUGCAAUAUGGAAAAGAUGACAAACUUUAUCUAAUUACAUUCCAUUCUAGAAAAUUCUCAGCAAGAAAAAUCAACUAAAAAAUCCAUGAUAAAGAGUUCUUUGCCAUUGUAGAUUCUUUCUAAGAAUGGCCUCACUUUCUUGAAGGUACCUUUCAAUAGGUGAUUGUAUAUAUAAAUCACAAGAAUCUUGAAUACUUUAUGUUAGUCCAAGUCUUAAAUCACCACCAAUUACAUUAGAAUAUAUCUUUAUCACAAUUUGAUUUUUGCAUCAUGUAUCAAUCCGGGAGCCAACAAGGGUUAUCAAAUGCAUUAUCAAGACGUUCUUACCCUGAACCAAAAGAAGGUAAGGCAAUAUAUGAUCAAUAAUGGACAAUCUUAUUAAAACCUGAAAUCUUGAUUAAUUGAAUAAGAUGGCACAUUUUAUACCUUGCAAGAAAUUAAUUACUGGUGAUGAGAUAGCAAGCCUCUAUAUUGACAAUGUCUAUUAUUACCACAAGUUGCCAAAUGACAUUGUGUCAGAUCAAGGAUCACAAUUUGUGUCAAGGUUUUGAAAGGGACUCUUCAAGAUUCUUAAAGUUGACAUGAACCUUUCUUCUACCUUCCACCUUCAAAUUGUUGGCCAAAAAAAGAAGGUCAAGCAAAUUCUUAAGCAAUAUUUGAGGUGUGCUAUCAACUAUCAAUAAGAUGAUUGAACUUCCUACUUUGGUGCAACAUAAAAACCAAUAGGCCAUAUGAUAAGUUGGACUACUAAAAGUUGGAACCAUUUGUGAUUUAGAAACAAAUUAAUAAUGUAACUUAUCACUUGGAAUUAGCUUCAUUCAUGAAAAUUCAUCUAAUCUUUCAUGUUUCACUUUUGAAAAGAUAUAAAGAAAUGAACAUACUAGGUUGAAUACAAUUACCACCUCAUAUGGUUGAAAUCAAUAAUCAUAUUGAAUUUGAGGUAGAAGGGAUAUUAGAUUCAAGGAUAAGAUAUAGAAGGCUUGAAUAUUUGGUCCAUUGGCGCAAAUAUGAUAUCAACAAUCGCACGUGGGAACCAACUUACAACCUUAUAAAUGCAUAAAUGAAGGUUCAAAAGUUCUAUCAAUGACAUCUAUCUAGACCAAAAGUAACAAAAUGAAUAAUAGUAGCUUGGUAAGAUGGCUUCACUAUAAAGAUUUUUAAUUCUUAGCCUUAUAAAGAAGGAAAAGAGGCAAUCUCUGAAGAGGUAGUUUUUUCAAAUGUUUAGAAAAAUAUAAGUCAAUAGUUUGAGUUCACGACCAUAGUCUGUUUAUAUUCUUUUGAUCUUAUCUACUUUAUGUAAUAUGGAUAGUCAAAAAAUAGAUACCCUAUCAAUCAUACCAUCUCAACUAAGUAGCUCAUGAAAACAAUCCCAAGAUAAAGAGCCACUUGAACUACAAAGAUAUCAAAGGAUAUUUAGUAAUAGGUCAUUGUUAAUUGUGUUUGAGGUAAAAUCUAUCUAUGAAGGACAUCCAAAAAGAGUGUUUGCAGGAAAAUUCCAUAAAAAAGAUACUGAAGUUCAUGCUUAGUGAUAAGUAGAAGGCUUGGGGUACUAUCAAUGCCUAUAAGGGCCUAUAAAUCAUUUGCCUCUCAAAAAACAAUUAGAAUAUAUAGUGGACACCAUGUGAUAGAUCUUCAACUUCUUGUGCAUAUAUUGACUUGAGCAAUAUUAUUUCUUGGAGACCUCAAAGCUAGAAAAAGAGGUGAUGUCAUGGACAUAUAAUUGAAGAAGAUUUGAGAAGUUUCUAGAAGGUUUUAAAAAGGUUCUUGUAGAUCCUAGAAGAUUCUAAAAGAUUCUAAUAGAUUCUAAGAAAAUUCUAGAAUGUCAAAGGAGAUCCUAGAAGUUUUUAAGAGGCUUUAGAUGAUUUAGGAAGUUGCAAAAGAAGGAUCUUAGGCUUGCUUUGUUCUCAAGUUUCAUGGAAAUAUUUUCAAGAAGCUUCCUAAGACCUAGUAUAUAUAGGAGUCAAGGCUGAGGGGAUCCUCAAUCUUGACAAGUCAAUUCUUCUGGUUUAGUCAAGAUCUUCUUACCUUGUAUCCAAUUAUUGUUCUAAUAUCGAACUAACUUCAUUACUUGGUCUUGAAUCCUUGUCUUGUACAUGGUCUCUAACACCAAUAAUUGAAAGAUAUUAAAAUAUCCUAUUAGAUUUAUUUUUUAAAACUCGAUAAUAUUUUUUAUAAGAUAUUUUUAGAAGUUUGUUAAAUAAUUGUCAAAGUAAUAUAAAUAGAUAAAUAUAAAAAAUACUUAAAAAAUCUUCUAUUCCAUAGCUAUACUUUUAGUUUUAGAUGUAAAAAUCAUUCUUUCAUCUAUUAUCUUACUAAUAUCCUUCAUUAAUGAAGAAAAAGAUGUAUCAUUGGAAUAUAAAGAAAUACCUCAAUAAAAUAGUUUUUGUCUUAAAUUAAAAGACAAUAUUGAUGACUAGCUACAAAAAUCUAAGUCAAAAACUUAAAAAAAAAGAAAUUUGGAAAAAAGUUGAACAUAUUAGAAGCCCAUCUCCCUACAUACUCAGCACCUUCAAAGCAAAGCUCUAAUUUCCAUACAAUGUAAGUUCUAGAGAUUGUGUUUAAGCUAAAUCAAAUUACUUUGGUAGCAUAAGAUUUAUAGGAGCAAAUUUCAUAUAAUCCAUCUUGGAUCUCCUCUUGUCAUAUACCAUGCUACCUUUCAAUAAGUAAAAAUAGCAAAAUAUUAGCAAAAAAAACUUAGACAAAGAAGUCAGCAACAAGAUUUGUAAGCCUCUUUUUUAGAAAGAAGCACCAUAUUUCAUCAAGUCUCUUUGAAGCGUUAGUGUAGGAUCUUAUCCAAUUCUCCUCAAUUCUAAUAAAUGUUGAAAAGUAACUUCUAACUUGGACCAAUUAUAUGUAAGCAUACAUCAAAUCAAUAACAAUAUUAUCUUAGUAUCCUCUCAAGCAAGGUCCAAAGUACUAUGAUCACUCUACCUAUCAGUAUUAUUUAAAGAAUUAAGAGCAUAUAGCAAAGCUCUUGGGAUUAGCUUCAAACUCAUCUUGCAUACAUCUUUGGACCUGAUAGUAAAGCUCUUUUAGCAAAGAAUUUUAAUUCUAUUUUAUAGAUUAAUUAAUACUAGAAUCUCUAUACUAAAAGUAUUAUUUGCCAUGACUUAGCUAUUAUAGAGAUUUUUUAUAAUAAUAGCACUUUUUAUUCUGACAAAUUAUAAUAUCAAUAGACAAAAAUAGAAGAUUUCAAAGUCAAGGUUUAUCCAAAAUAAGAAAUGAUUCUAGAGGAAAAAUACAUGUUUUUAGUGUAAUUGCUUCAAUCUCAAAGGUAGUAACUUAAAUCCAAUUUAAAUUGACAUUGUACUAGACUUUGGUCCAAUUUUCCAUUCAAUAAAUAUGAUUUUUUCAAAUCAAUCAUCAAUAAAAAAAUAAAAAAUAAAAAAAAUAUUAAAGAAGAAAAUAUAUUUUCUACUAAUAUCUUUGAAUCAAACUAUAAAAUAGAAGUAUUUCUAUUAAAAAAAAUUAAAAGUCUAUAUACUCCACUAAAUCCAAUUUUAUACAAGAAUUUAAUUAACUUACUUCUAUGAUUAUUGUUCUUAAUUCCCUUUAUUGUUGUCAUUUUUUUUUUUUUUUUUUUUUUUUGUUUUGUUUUGUUUUAUUUUGUUUUGUUUUGUUUUGUUUUUUUUUUUCUGACAAGAAUCUUAAUAAACUUAAUACUUAAAUGAGCACCAAAAUAAAUCUUAAAAUAUAUACAUAUAAAUAAGGAAAAAAUUAAAAUAAUAUGCCUAUUAUAGCUAUCUUGACAAUUAAUUAGAUCCAAUCUGGAUUGUUGUCAUGGACAUAUAUAUUUACCUAGAUAAGAAGUACUAGAUAGAAGAUAAAUAUAGAUAGAUUUAAUAUUAUCUUAUUGUCAAGCUUCUUAAAAGCUAUAUAGAUACGUAUUUGAUUUUAUACAUGUUUAUAAUUGAUUGAUAGGUUAGAAACUUGGUCAACAAGUUAACCAUUUAUUGUACGUAUGGAUAGCUUGUGUUACAAGUUAAUGAUGUGAUGUGUAUAUAGAAAAAUUAAUUUGCAAGUUAAGACAUGUGUUUCAUAAAUUAGACAUAUAUUGGAGGUCCUAUAAGAUGUUACUACAAAGCUUCUAGUUGGAUAGUAUAUAUAGAGGCAAAAAUAAAGCCUUCUUUAUUCUUCUCAAUGCCUUUCUAGUCCUUAGUCUUAUUUCAAGACUUUUUAGUCUUCUUAUCUUUGGCAAUAGCCAUCUUAAUUCAAUAUAGUACCAUCUUUGAGUAAUUUUAUAGUCUUUUCAAGUGAUAUAAGAAUAUAUUGAUCUUUUAGUUGUCUUAGACUCAUAUCCUUGAUAAUUUGAAAAGAAUGUUAACUUUUUGCCUUUGCUUUGUUUUAGAAGUAAGUGGAUUAUUUCACUUCUAUUAUUGUAUUUUGAAGGUUGUGGAGUAUUUACCUUCAAACUUACUUUUAGUCUUUUAACAUUGAUUUUUUUUCUUAAAGAGAGUAGACUAUCUCUCUUUGUAGAAAAUUUUAUUUGAUAUUAGAGGUUGCAAAUUGCAUUCUUUUAAUCUUCAAAUUUUUUUGAAUUGCCUAUAAAAGAAAAAAUUAUGGAUACUACUCUUGGAGGAAGUAAGAAUAGAUUUAUAACUAUUACAAAUCUUUACAAGCUUAUUAAUACUUUAAUAGUAGAAAUUUCACAUAUUUCUAAUAUUAAUCAUGGAAGUAAUAUUUUGGCAUCUAUAGAAGGGAUCAAAAAUAAAUUUUGAAGUUUAUACUAAGAAAUUGUAUAAUUUAGAGAAGCAAAUGGAUCAAGCUUAAAAUUAAAUCUAAGAAGUAUUUUUAUUCCAAAUAUGAGAGAAAAAAGGAUAAAUAUGCUCUAAAAUUUCAAUGGAAUAAGAUCAAAAUUUUAAGGAUUUUUACAACAAAUAAAGCUUUAUCUAAGCUUGCAUCUUUUUCAAUACCUUAAUGGAUUUACUGAAGUUGGACUCAUAAGUGUACUUUUUUCUAGAAGUACUCUUUUUUAAUUUGCACCUUUAAUAAAAAAAGAUUCGUGUCUCUUCUAUGAUUUGAAUUUAUUUUUAAAAGUAUUUAUGUCUAUUUUUAGAAAAAAUUAUCAAAAAAGAUAGUAGAGACCAAAUUUAUAUCUUAACAACAAGGAUUAUGUUGUUGUAUUGUGGUUUGGCUACUAUGUGAAAAUAAUGUAUAUGUAUAUUUAAUGUAUAAUUUACUAUACAAUGUGAUGAGAACCACGUUGUUAAAUUCUAGUUGGUUACAAAAUAUGGUUAGAUUGCUACUUUAAAGAAGUUAGUUCAAAAGAACUAUUAUUGAAGUUGAUUUUAUAUUGAUAAUAGUUUUUAUAUAUUUAGAGCCAUCUUUAUUACAUAUUAGAGAUUCUUGAAAUCUUUUUUUAUUUCUUUUAUUUGGUGUUUAAGACACAUUUUAUAUAAAACUUAUUAGAAAAGAGAUUAAAAAAAGGUUUUUGUAUAAAAAGAGGUAAUUAGAUCAAUCAUAUGGAUGAAUGGAGAUGGAUGAUACAAAUCUCAAUUCCUAUUGGCCAAUAGUCAUGCCCAAUAGGCUUCAUGGACACUGCCUAAGGCCUUAUUAGGAAUUAGGAUUAUUCUUUUGAAGACAUUUGAACAUCAAAGGUUAAGGUCAUCAAGUCUAGGAUUUUGGAUAUGGUUUUGGUAAAUUUUUUGUAUGAUUUGGAGCUUUUGUGAAGGAGAUAUAGGUGCUCAAAGUCAAGAUAUUGAUUUUGUACUUACUGUCACUUUUUAGAGCAUAACAUAUAUAACUAAGUCUUUUGAGGAUCAAAUUAUGUAAUUAAUUUUUUUAUUUAAAGGGCUAUAUUUUUCAUAUUAAAAAUAAAAGUUUUAAAGUUUAUUUAAAGAAGCAACGAUUGUUUAAAGACAACACUUUUAAAUUAAGGUUUGUUAAUAAAUCAAUUUUAUGAGAGAUUUGGUUUUACCCUUAUCUCAGGUAUUUAGAUGAAUCUUUAGCUAAAAUUUUCUACAAAUAUGUAUUACUAUAUUUUAAAGCUAUAUACCAAAUUUUGUGGCACUUGAAUUUUGGAUUUUUGAAAUAUGAUAAAAAUAGUAUUUAGGUGCUUAUACAAAAUCUUUUAAGUAUAAAAAGAUUUUAUUAAUAGAAUUUCUUUUGAUAUUAUUGUAUUUAUUUGUCUUUUAUAAUAAGAAUAAAUAAUUUAUUGAAACUUGGUUAAUAAAUUAAAGCUAAAUUCUCUAUAAUUAGGUACCUAGUAUAUUUUCAGAUAAAAAAUCAUGCCAUACAACAAUGUUCAAUCACCAUAUAUAUUGCAAAAUUUCAAAUUCGUACUUAUGAUGUAGAUUGGAAUGAUAAAGAUUUUAUUGAUUUAUCAAUUUUAAUAUAGAUUAAAAAAUAUCAUCAAAGAUUUAUUAUUAAUGAUGCCAAAAAUAAGCUCAUUAUGAUAAUUUAUUGUUCAAAAUAUUAAAUGCAACAAUAAACUUUUUAAAAGACUCCAAGAUUUGAUUGGAGAGGUAUAAUUCAAGCCAUGGCAAUAACUUCUAAAUUCACAUAAGCUUAUUUAUCAAGACCAAAAUCUAAUAAAAUUAUGACGAUAUAAUUCAAGCUUCUUAUUAAGCAAAAAUGAAUUCAAUGCCAUCAAAAAGAUUUAUGCUUAUAUUAUAGAAAAUCUAAAUACAUUUCUCAAUAUUAUCUAAAGAAAAAAUAUAAUGAUAAAAUAAAGAGCACAAUUGCCAAAAAGGAUGAUGUUUUAAAAAACAAAUUUUUCUAGCUAUAAUAAAGACCAUGCAGUCCAAAUCUUGCAUAAUAUUUAGUAAAGGUCCUAUUUUCUCUUUAGAUCCUUCAUCUUGUUUUAUAAUAGAAGUUUGUUUAGGAUCAAAAAAUCAUAAAGUCUUUACUUUAUUAGAUUAAAGGGCCUUAGCUUGUUUCAUAAAGAAAGCUUUUUUUUAAAAAUAAAAAACAUCUUUAGUCAAGAAAUAUAUAUAUAUAUAUAUAUAUAUAUAUAUAUAUAUAUAUAUAUAAAUAGAAGUAUAAGUAUUUCAAAUAUGCCUUUUGGACUCAAGAAUGUACUUACUACAUUUUAACAUUUAAUUAAUAAUAUCUUUUGUAAGUUUCUUGAUGAUUUUAUUAUUUAUUAUCUAGACGACAUUUUAUCUAUUCUAAGAACAUAAAAGAGCAUUAAUUUCAUGUUUUUUAUGUGCUACAAAAACUUAAAGAUGUAGGAUUAUAUGCCAAGAUAGAAAAAUAUAUAUUUUACAUUACUUAAGUUGACUUUUUAAAAUAUAUCAUUUCAAAAUAAUGAUCUUUUUUAAGCAAGCUAAAUCAAAUAUAUCCUAUAACCUUCUUAUUUAUGAUAUUAAAAAUAAUUCUUUUAAGUCUCAUGUGAUAUUUGUUUAAAAUCAAAAACUUCUCAUCAUUAAUCUUAUAGAUUUUUUCAGCCAUUACCUAUUCUAGAACAAUCAUAGUCUUUUGUUUCUAUGGAUUUUAUUAUGGAUCUUUCUAUCUCAGAUUUGUAUGAUUUUAUAUUUAUAAUAAUAAAUUAUUACAUCAAGAUGGCAUAUUUUGUAUCAUAUAAAAAAUUUAUUAUUGAUAAAAAAAUAAUUAAGUUUUUUUUUGAUAAUAUCUAUUACUAUCGUAGAUUAUUCAAAGAUAUUAUAUUAGAUAAGGAGAUUCAAUUUAUAUCAAGAUUUUAAAAAAUUCUUUUUAAAGUUUUAAAGAUAGAAAUUAAGCUAUCUUUGGCUUUUUAUUUUCAAACCAAUGGACAAAUGGAGUGUGUAAAGCAAGUUUUGAAGUAAUAUUUGAGGUGUACUAUUAAUUACUAAUAAGAUGAUUGAACAAUUAUUUUAUCAUUGGCAAACUUUGCUUAUAAUAAUAUGAUAUAUUUUUCUAUAUAGUAAAUAUCUAUUUUUACUAAUUAUGAUUAUUAUCAAUGACUCGAUAUUGUUGACUUCUCAAAAUUUGAUAAUUUUAUAAUAGAUGAUUUUACAAAUCAUUUAUUGGAAUUAUAUACAAUAAUAAAAGUAUAACUAAAAAAACUCAAGAACAACAAAAAACCAAUGUAGAUGCCUAUUAUAAAAAAUAACCUCAAUUCCAUGUUAGGGAUAAGAUAUAGUUACUUUGUUGCAAUAUCAAGAUUAGCCCUCUUGUAAAAAAUUUAAUUAUUAUAGGCUUAUACCAUUUUAUAUUUGGAAUAAAUUAGUUUAAUUUUUUAUUGAUUAUAUCUGCCAAAGUCUAUGAAAAUUCAUCUUCUAUUUUACAUGUCUUUUUUUGAGUCAUAUAAUAUAGUAAAUAUCUUGGAAAGAAGACAAAUGCUACCUCCUCUUAUAAAAGUGGACAAUAAUCAAGAGUUUGAGUUAGAAGGAAUUUUAGACUUAAGGCGAUGCCAAAAUAGGUUAGAAUAUAUUGUUAGAUAUGCAUAAAAAGUCAAUGUAUCUACAUAGGACUACCUAGCAUAUGAUGUUAUUGCAAUGGAAGAACUACCAAAAUUCUUGAACAUUGCUUAUGCUUCUAUAAUGGUGCAAGGAUUGUGUGGAGAUAAUUUAUUUAAGCAUGGUUUACAUUAGGACUCAUCACUUUUUUAUUGUAUAGAGAGAUCCUCUAAGAAUUAUAAAAAUAUGAAAUUCUUGUUUAUUAUUAUUGUUGUGAGAAAUUUUUCACAAGCAUAAUCAAAGUUUUCUAAAAACCAGGUUUUGAUGAGGAUGUUGAUAAUCCUUUUUUGUAGUACUCAAAAAUAUUUAGCAAGUGUGGUUACAACCCAAAAACAUUCCUAAAUUGUUGUAGCAGAAAGCCCCUCACAUCUCAAAGUUCCAUCUCUCUUCAAAUACUAGACCAGCAACAUAUUUAAAAAUUAAUUGUGUAAUAUCAGCUUUGCAGCCCUCUACUCACAUAAAAAGUGGAGGACCCAAUCCAGGAUUUUUGUCUAUAUUCUGCCUUAGAUGCUACAAUUCCCUAAUUCAAGCAUGUUUGUAUCCUACACUAUUUUCCAUAUUUAUUUAGAAUGAAUUUUUUAACCUGGGAAUUAGAAUUGAACAUUGCCUCUAUUUGCAAGAUAGUGGCAACUUCAACUUAAUUGAAGACUCAUCUUCAUGCCUCUUUAAAUUAGGAUUUUUUUCAAAAAAAUCCUAAUUUCUUUAGAAAUUUUAGUAAGAUGCCCUAAAAUAAGGUUCCAACAAUAUUCAUUCACAUGAUUGGAGAAAAGGCCCCAUGAUAAAAUCCAUGGAGAUGAAUACCAAUCUACAGUCACAAUAGUCAUAUUGAGGUGUGCACAUCAAAUUCACCAUGGUGAAGGAGUUGUAUAUCCUUUAAAAAACUUUUGUGAAGACAAAGUUCGGCCUCGCACUAAAUCCACAAGAUGAAAAUAUUGACCAAUUUCUAUCAACUCGGUGCUUAUUUUGUGAGAAGGUUGGCCAUGAAAAGGUCAAUUUCACAAGGCAUAAGCGGAAGUAAAUAAUAAAUGUGAAAACAUUUUUAAUUCCUUUCCAUGUAGACAACAUCACAAUGCAUAUAAAGUCGCACCAAACCAAAGCAUGGAUAGAAUACAAUGUUGUGUCAAAUGCCUCAAAGAAGUAAUUCUUUAACCAAGUGAAUUUUAAAAACACCCUUGUAGCUUAUUUGGAGGUUGAGAAGACACUCAUGUUUACAAUCAAUCGUGACAUUGUAGAUAUAGUUAUUGAUGACAUGUUAUUCAUUACAAACAACAAGGAAUUUACACUGACUCAUGAAUAAGCAUUGUGAAUUUUUAAGUUAUUUGAAGAUGCAAAAAAUGACCAAGUUGAGUUCAAUAGAGAGUAAGAUCUGAAGCGCAAAGCAUAUAAGAUGGACAUUAAUUCUUUGUAGCUAUUAUAUUUCAUGAUUGGUUUAUCUCUUAUAGAACCUCAUUCUAAAUAAUAGCAUGUCUUGUAGAUGUUACAAAGACCAUGUUGCAUAUAGAUUACUUUAGUGGAUGUAGUGACAACCAUGUGGCUUUGUUUAUGAAGGUGGUUUGUAUUAUAAGCUUAAAAAAAAAACACCAAGUUCUUCUACAUGUAGUAGAUGUUUUUGCUUGCUCUUGAUAUCAGCUCAAAAUAAGGCACUUCUUAUCUUGAUUUCCAAGACUAAUUUGAGCAUCAAUCAAAGUUGCAUAACCUCCACUUUCUUGCCAUCAUUUUUUUUUUAUCACAAGACAAUCAAAGUAAUCUUUUCUAUAGCUACAAUUUUUUUGGAUAUUAUUGCUCUAAAAUAGAAGAUACAAUUAGUUGGAAUUAGCUCAUAUGGCAAGAAAAUGAUGAUUAGACAUACUUUUGGCAUCAUGACAAGGUUGGUUGAAGUGGCUAGUGAUAGAAUUAUUCAAGUGUGGUGUGCUCUGCAUCAACUUGACUUUGUAGUUCAAACCAAGUACGUUAAGCUAUAUGAUGACCAAUUCAUCAACAUCUUAAUGAGCUUCGUCUCUUAUCUUUGCUUAUAAUAUAAUUUUAUUGAAAGAAUAGGUUGUACAUGGCUGAAAUCCAUUGACAUAUAAUGGUCAUUUAUUAAAAAAUUAAGUGAAUUUUUAUGGCAAAGGCAUGUAGUGAUUUGCAAGUAUCUUAGUAGAAGUUGCUUGCAUGUAUUCCUCCUUCUUCUUGGUAGAUGCUACUAUUCAUAUUCAAUAAUGUUGUGGAAGUAAUCCAUCCACCAACACUUCUGAGAGCCACAUACCAUGGCUUAUAAUGCUUCAAAUUUGGUCAUCUGUGAAUCUUGAUAUGUGGCUCUCAGAAGUGUAAAGGCUUUUAUUCAAGAUCAAGAUAUCUUUGUGAUGAGUCUCAUGGCUUUGCUUCCAGCAACUGAGGCCAAAGCCAUGGUUUGUAAUAUAGUGACCUUAUUUACUAGGCUUGUUGACAAAAUUGCAUUGAUUAUUACUUGGGAUGUGAUUGCAACAAUGAUGUCAAUAAUAAGGACAUUUUAAUAGUAGUACUCUACAAUUUAUAUGUACUAUGGAUGCCGCUAUUGUGCAUUUCUAUUUGGUGGCAUAAGCUAUAGUUAGAAUUGGUUGGAUGGAACUAUCAAUCCAUCAAGGUUAUUGAGAAUGACUACCAAGCCAUGGUGCAUGCCUACUGCAAGGAGAUGACUUUCAAAGAUUCCAUUGAUAAGAGCUCUAAUUUGCAAUCAAAAUUUUACAUUGGAUAGUUUCAUUGCAAUGACAAAUUUCCACAACUUCAAAAAAUUUGUGGCAGACUAGCCUCUAUUUUUUCUAACAAAAGUCAAAAUCCAACUUCUCUUUGAUCUAAAAAUUAGAUUCAAAGCUUGACAAUGCAAAGCUUGACAAAAGGGCAUUAAAUCUUGGUAUUAACUCAUUGCAAUAAUACACAUCUGGUUAUAACAUCAACCACCUGCCAUUGGUUAUACUAGUUGGCCCAAUAUGAAGAAGUAUAUGGUAUGUCCAAAAUGGAAAAAAAGAAAAAGGAAAAAAGAAAAUAGAUACUUCUAUAAAAGCAACAAAAUUCUAGGUGUGUAUGAUCUUGUAGAUUAACUGUGAUUACUUUACAUUUUUUUAUGGUUACAAUUCCUAAUUCUAUCAUAAUUGUUAUAAGCCUUCAGUUCAUCCAAUUACAUCUAGAUUAGAAAAAUAGUAGUUAAAUUUUGGAGAGUGGUUCUUGAUUUAAUCCACAAAAAUGCUUUCAAUUGUGAUUUUUUUAUUUUAUUUUAUUUUAUUUAUUUUGUUGUUGUUGUUGUAGUAGUAGUAAAGGAGAGUUUUAUGUAAUAAAGUAAGAUACAAUGUUGCUAAGGAUGUGGUUUCUAUUUGCCAUUUUGGCAAAGAUUAUCUCUCUUCAAGCUACAUAGCAAAUACUGUGUGUAUUGAUGAGUUCUUGUGAGAAAACUAAACGGCAUUUUAUGGCGCACCAAAGGUGCCAUAAAGUUGCUACUCCAAAUAUGCCUAAGAUAGGUGAAAAGGGAUUGAUAUUGGGGUGAUAAAUUCUAUCUUUGUCACAUGUACCCGGGGAUAUACUUGUGAGCAAUUCCCUCCAUGCACAAAUUGGGAGGCAGUUCAGCGCCCUCCACACUAGAUCAUAUACCUUCCAAAUGGAGAGAGCUAACUUACAUCCUCUGAUGCAAUGUUCUAGGGUCUCUUUGACCUCGCAGUUGCAAUAAAGUUAAGUGGCGGAGAAGUGCAUGCUACCCUUUCUUAUUAAUAAAUGUCUGAUUUGUUUAAUUUAAAUCUAGCACUUGACCUACUUUAGCAAUAAUUACAAUAAAAGAUCCUACUAUACUUAACCAAAUUUCAUUUCGGAACCCAAUAUUGACUUAAUUCUAAAGUUUGGUUAAAUCAACCUCAUAUCAAUAUCAACUCUAAUCUAUAAUCUAAAAUUAAUGUGUUAUUAUCAUCUCAAUAUAAUAUAUGGUAUAAGUCUAAUUAUACAUAGAUACAUAAAAUUAUGUAUUUGAUAUCAAUUCUUAUUUUUAUUUUAAUCAAACAGUAUUUUUAAUUUUAUUUUUUUAGUUUUUUUUAAAAAAAUUAAUUGAUAUUAAAAAUUAGAUAAUCUUGUAUUUAUAUUUGAGCAACUAAAAUAGAUUUUUUAAAUUAAAAUACAUAGUUUCUUUAUUUUUAAAAAUUAAUAUUAUAUAAACUAAGAAUUAAUCAAUUACAUUCUAUUAUGUUAAAAUAAAUCUAUAAAUAAAUAAAAAUAAAGAUAUAGAAUAUAGAUAUAUAUAUAUAUAUAUAUAUAUAUAUAUAUAUAUAUAUAUAUAUAUAUAUAUAUAUCAUAAUUAUUAUAUGUUAAAUUAAAAAAAAAUCUUUAAAUUAUUACGCAUCUUUAUCAUGUGAAAAAGUUAUAGCUUAGCUUAAAUUUUGAACCAAAAUUGUGAUAAAAUGCUUGUUAAAUAUUAUCUAUAAAUAUUAUAUUUGAUCAUCUUGUUUUAAUAUAUAAUUUGAAGGUUUUUAUAUUUAAAGAAAAAUAUGAAGAGUCACAAUUUUAAAAUAUUUUUUUUGGGUGGAAUUGAGAAGCCUCAUUUAGUUCAUUUUUACUUUAAAAAAUAAAUUUAAAGGUCCUAUAAAAAAAAUAUGAUAAAAUAUAUUUUUUUUACAUUUUUACAUAGUAUAAAUGGUGUUGUCUACCAAAACUUAAAAUUGGCCUACCUUAAGAGAUUAUUUUAUAACAAUUUAAGAAGAUUUUUUAAAAUUAUCUCAAUAUAACUACAAAAAGAUUAAAAAAAAAAAAAAUCUUUUUAUUUAUUGUGAUUUUUAGAAUUAAGGUAUGAAUUGGCAUAUAUAAACUUAUUAUACAAAAAAAAAAGUUGGUCUAUUUUAUGGCCUCUUCAUACUUUAAACUAUCUAAAAAAGCCAACAUUUCUUUGUUAAAUUUUUUUGUUUAUUCAGUGAAAGUAUAUUGAAAGACUUUAUACCAUAGUCUUUCAAAAUGGGUUUUAAGAUAUAAAAGCCCCUUUAAACACUAGAGCAAAGUCACUACCAUUGUUUCCAAUGUAUAAGGCCAUCUUCCAAAAAUAAUCUCCAACCUCUAAUUCAACCACUCCUAAUCCCUUAAUUUAAUCAUAUGCAAAGUCAUUUCUACAAAUAAAACUACUAGAGAUUGGUCAUCCCCAAUUAGUCCAUAGUUCACAAUUUAACAAGGAGAUAUUCACUAACUUCUUGUGGUCAUUGUCCAUUUUUCUAUCAUAGAAAGUACAACUAGAUCUAUAUAACAAGAAAGUUUAGGUAUGUAACAAAGAGACAAAGAAACUUUCUCAAUUGCUAAAAUCAAAAAAAUUGUUAACCAACCAAAAAAAACCUUGAAUAACUUUGCAAAAAGAACUCCAAUUUACUAUCUGUAAACAGCUUCACCGUGCACAACCGCAUGGGUUCCAGCUAAUAACAUAGAAAAUGAAGAAAGAAUGUUGACAAAUGUGACUUGCCUGGGUGGGUGUGUGUUUUUCAUUGUCUUUCUUCACAGUGGUUGGAAUUUACACAAGUUUCUAGCCGCUAGAAGCCGAUGACGCACAUAUUGAAUGCUAUCCAUAGCUGGUGUGCUGCGGAGAAAGGAGACACCCACUGCAGUGUAGUGCAGCGUUGCUGUAGUCGAGAAUGGAAAGGAGUGCUGGAAGGGAGUGAGGAGCAGCAGCAGCACAAAUGGCGACGUUCAGGACUUUUCUACUGGUUCGCAUUUUCUUGCCGCUGUUUGUUGCAAUCAGUGUCGGAGGGAUUACCUAAGGUGCACUGAGUGCAGAUGAAGUUGCUUGCAAGAAAAAGGGUCAACCUUAUAGCUACUGCUCUUGGUCCACGAUCUCAUGGUCCCCAGGUUGCUACGUUAUCUGUGCAAAAUUACUAGGAGAAUGAAGAGAAUGGCGCUUUCAACAUGGAUGAAAGUGGCGUGAGAGUGUUGGUGUGUAGAGAUGCAGGAAUGCAAUUUACUAGACCCAAGAGAGAUACUUUAUACGUGAUUGUUCUCUUAGUUGGUUUUGUAAGCACAUGGUUCUCGUCACCUGAGGGUGCUGUUAUCGAAGUCCUUGGGCUACAGGCGAUUGUGGCGAAGGUGUGAGCUCCUCUGGAGUUCCUUAAAGAAAUGGAAGUUUGCAAGUAGAGGAUUUUUGUAGUUGGGAAGUGUGCUGAGGUAUAAAAAAUCUUCAAUUUGAUUUGUAGUGCCCUUUAAUGAUUCUUGUUUCGUUAUAAUUCAAAUAUGUUUCUUAUUUUCAAAACAAAGUAUUAUGUUUUUGAUUUGUCAUCUAUAGGCUUUGUGAGUUGCAAAAGUGAAAAAGAUAGUCCAAAUAGAUUUGCAAUUCUCUAAGUCUUUGAGUUGAAUAAACAUCAUUUAAGUGCAUUCAUGCGUAAUACAAUCUCUUUAGAAUUAUGAUAAAAAUCUACUUUGUAUUAACUAUUUCAUGCUUUGUAAAAGCACAAGGUAAUGAAUAAUGUAGGUUAAUUUUUUAUUAUAAUUAUAAUUAUUAUUAUUUUAUAUAUAGAAUAAAUUAUAACAAUUUGUUCUAUUGUUUAAAUGAAUAGUAAUAUUUUUAUAUAAUUUAAGAUCCUAAUGUUUGGAUUUGCUACGAUACUUGAUAAAUUAGAGUUGAGAUGUGUUAUCUUUAAAAAUUAUCCUAAAAAUGAUUUUGAAAAGAAAUAUUAGAAGGCCUAUAUUUUAUAUCAUUUUUUAGAUAAUUUUUGAUUGAUAUAGAGAUAUUGAUUAAUAUCUACUCAAAAAAUAUGUUCCAUCCAAACUUUUUAUUUGUAAGCUAAUAAAGCUAAUACAUGUCUCUUGCAAGGUUACAUCAAAAGACAUCAUAUACAUAAGUAUUGAAAUUGUAAGUAUUGUAAAUAGGUGUACCAAAAAAUUGAUAAAUUAAAGAAUGCCAUAAUUAUGUGGCAACAUGUUGAAGCAUUCAAUACCACUUAAUAGAAUAAUUUUAAGUAACAAACAAAAAAGAAGCAUAAAUAUAUCCAAAAUUAGUUUAGAAGUAGAGAUAAUAUGUAAAAAGAUAUUGUAUAAUAGACUUAUUUUAUAUAAUAUAUUAUUUAUUUAGAAAAUUAAUUGUAUGUGCUAAAUAAUUUUGAGUAGAAAUA